UUGGGUAAAAUCUAUCCGUUACUCGGGUUUCAGGUGUGUAUUGCCAUCUUGAGCAGGGAGGCUCGCUGCCCGUGCGGCCACCAGGGACGCAGGCCACGCGGUUGCCAGAGCACUUGAGCUCCUUGCUCGCGACCGCGGGAUUCCUAAUUGCCACUUGUAGGGUGCCUUGAUGGAGCCGCAUGUGACCAUCGCUACACGCGAGCUGGCAUGGAUCGGCAGGGACACUGCUGCGCGUGAGCUGGCAUGGAUCCGUGGGGUGCAUGCGACCAUGAGAGACGCGGCCACUCGAUCGCCAGGACGCUUGAGCGCCAUUGUAGGGCAGCUCGACGAAGCCUCCUGUGUGGCCACCAAGGAUGCGAGCCACAUGGCCGCUGAAGCACCCGGUCUCGCCACUCCCGACCGCCGAGAGGCCCGAAUGCCACUCCGGUCCCACGUGCCUCGAAGCCGACAGUGACCACCAGCGUCGGCGCUCCUCUCUCCGGCGACUGGUGCGAGAAACACGAAGGAAAAGGAAAAGAAAUGAGCUAAGAUUUUGGGGAGCCUAAAGUUUUGUUCUGCACAGGCGUGUCCUCGACCAUCAAAUGGAUUAGAUGGCUCAGAUUGAGCCAAGCCUUAUCAGACCGGUGGACCUACGUGACCCAGUGCGGGUGUAUGGCCCAGGCCCUGGUAACCAUGCUUAAGACCUUUGCAGCCGUUCUGCAGGCUGAAAGGCCAUAAAGAUCUAUUUUCAAGAUUCAAAUUAAAAUAAGCAAACAAAGUCUCAAUUUAAUUUAUUUUCAGUGCUUAUAAUUUCCUAUUAUAGUUAAAUAUUUGUUUAAACACUGUUAAAGUAAGUAAUAUUGUCCGGUAUAUAAAUUAACUCAUCUCCAAAUUUUAAGAGAAAACAAUAAAUUAUAUGUCUCAUGCUCCCGUUGCAACGCACGGGCAUUUUUACUAGUGUUUUAAAAUUAGACUUUGAAGAAAUGAAACAAAGAUAUUGGAUUUGAGAGGGGGGGCACUCCACCAGUGCAAUCGAUGUAGUUACUUUGAGAUUUUGAUAUAAAAGGUUUUCUUUUUUGUGAUAUUCAUCCUUGAUUGUUCUGUAUGAAGAAUUAUAUGCCAUUUCAACAGAUAAUUCUUGUAUUUAAGAUGGAAGAUGUAAACACUUGCCACAAAGCUUGCUACCUUUUACCAAGUUGUAUCAUUAUAUGAAUGGGGGACACAUUUGGUUGGUUCCAGUCACAACACGUCAUAGUCACAACACGUCAUAUUUUUCUUUAAAAAUAGAAGAAAAGUUGUCCAUGUCAGUCGGCCAGUAACAUGUUUUUGAUCGUAUGUUCAAACGAUGAUGAAUGUAACCUUUGAUGUUGACCAGCUAAGUGAGCCAUAUAUUACAAACUGAACUUGUUCAAUGGAACUCUGAAUAAAGAUCCAUGUCUCUACAAACAAGAACUGCAAAGCUUUGGAUUUAAGAAACAAAAAUGUUUUGAUGAUGUUAGCUUUUAGUUUAUUUUCUCCUGUUUUUGGACGAGAUCUUUAUUUGAAGAGAUGUAAGCCUUAUGUAGUAUUUGUCAAAUGCACUUGCCUGCAGGACCCAUCCACAUUUGCCCCUCAAAUUAAUCCUCCAUGUCCUACUCUCUUUGUUGCGAACCUUGGUCCAGCUUGUUCGGAGCAAGAGCUGAUAGAUGUUUUCUCAAGGUAUUUCCAAUAAACUGGUGCUUCAUGAGAUGAGUUACCAUCAUAUGAAAUUUUUUAUUUGGUUUGACACAUAUUUUUGUGAUUAGUUGUGCGGGAUUUGUGAAGCUCAAGAUGCAAAACAAGCUUGGAGCUCCAGUUGCAUUUGUUGAUUUCAAGGUAUAUGUGGAGAAAAGCACCAUUCUUCCUGUGCCCCUGAUUUCCAUUUUAAUUUAUUUUCUUUGAAUCAGUGAUGUGAACUAUCAUUGCCUAUUCUCAAUGUCCAGCCACUAUGCUGGACUUAAGGGUGAAAACUCUGGUAUUGGUAUAAAUACCGUUCUGUUCUGUCCAGAUUUCUACAUUUGACCCACUCGAAUUCUUAUUGAUGGUCAUUCCAAUCGUUUUUUAUUUUUCUGUUUUUGGUAAAUCUGAAAACGGGACAAAAAUGUUAUUACUAUUUUCGCUUUUCCGUUUUUUCCUGGGAUAUCCCGCUUUUGUCCGCAUAGAAUAUCCCGUUUUAGCAAGUGCAAUUAUGCAGCAGUCAUCUAUGACACAUCCUAGUAGCCUUGUCAUCUUAUGGUCUUGCACUCUUAUACUCUUGUCAUCUUAUAUGAACCUUAUAUGGUAUGAAUUAGAAUUAUUUAUGUGUUGGCAGUGUUGCCAUGCUAGGUCGGUAGGUAAGUUUGUGAUGUUUCUUGGUUCUAUGCUUUCCGUUUUGUCUGUCUGUAUCCUCACCGUUAUCGAUACGUUCCUGUUCAAAUUGAUCCGUUUUCAAUUUCCAUUAAACCCCAUUUCUGGCCUUUCCCAUUUCAAUUUCGUUUCCGUAUUAAAAUGUAAAAGUGAAAACAGGAGAGGGUUUAUCCUGACCGAUCCUGUUCAUUUUCAUCCCUAGUUGGACUAAUGUUUUUUUUGGUUAGGUGACUUUAAUAUACAGGUUUAAACUUGUAUGAUGGUUAACUGUUCAAUUAAUGUGAAAUAUAGAAGCUUUAAUUAGAGCUGACACAAGAAUUGCACACUUGAUUUCAUCAGUAGGCAGAUAUGGGAAAUGCAAUUUCCUAAAAUGAAGCCAAGAAGACAUCUUAAACCUUCAGAGUACCUAAUCAUAUUCCUUCCUAACGAUUGAAUUCUUCAGUGAUUCUCUGUUUAAUGUGUUUUGUAGUCCAAGAAAUUGAAACUGAAUUGCAGUUAUGCCGUUUUGGUAUUUGCUCUAGUGAAGCAGGUUAUGAAAGGACAACAUGUAUUACAAUAUCACUGGAUCAUUAUACAUAGCUAGUUCCAAUUAUCUCAGUUUGGCAUGUUAAAUAUUUAAGAUGAACUCAAUCAAUUAAGGUUAGGUUAUUAUUUCUUUGUUUGAAUGUUUUGUAUACUUUCAGGUUUAUCUUACUGUAUAAUGUACAUGAAUCUCAUUGGCUUGCUGCAUACACAGUUGCUGAUACAUACAAUGCCCCAUUUAGUAUUUAUAAUAAUCUACUGUGUACAGAGUUUUGAAUGCAAAGCUGUUGUGAUGUGAUGCCAUUAUAUAGUGGGUAGCAACCUUAAAUAGCUGAAACUAGAACUAUGUCUCUUACAAUAUAAUUACUCCUUAAGAUUUUUGUACACUACUGAACUACUGUUAUCUAUGUGUUUGAAAUUCUUUCCAAACUUCAAAGUAAACCCUAAACCUAAGUCCUUAUGUCUGCAGGAUUCAAUCAGUUCAACUGAAGCCAUAAAUCGUCUCCAAGGAGUUAUCCUGUACUCAUCACUUGGUGAGGGAAUGCGUUUGGAGUAUCCUACAAUUAAGAAACUUAUACUAUUAUUAUAUUUUGCUGCAAUUUUUAUCUUAGGGUUUAUUUGAUUUCAAAUUAAUCUGAAACAUCUAGUCUGAGAUUAGUUCAUGCCUGUUCAGUCUCACCUCAAUUCUUGAGAGAUUGGCAUUGCAAGUUACAGAUUACCUUUAACAAUCAUUGUAAAGUAACUAUUGUAUCAGAUUGCCAACGGGUGCUAGACCAAGUGGUCAAGCACUUUCCUGCGGCACCCCAGGUCCCAAGUUCGAUUCCUGGGUGGGACGAAUUUAGGAACCGGCUGGUGUGUGUGUGUGUGUGCGCACUUCGGUGCCGCAUCGUUCACUGUGCCGGCUGGGUAAAAAAUCCCCCUCGCUGCUGUGGCAAGCUUGGGGGGUUUCUCGGUCGGGGACUGAGGUCUUCUUCUUAAGAGUCUAGUCCAGCCUAUGUGAUCGUUGUGGGAGCGCUAUAAGUGCCGCACGGCCAUAGGAUCUGGCAGGCGUUUAAUACUGUGAGGGGGUCUUCCCCUCACCGGCCGAGUUUUAACUAUUGUAUCAGAUUAAACUAGCUUGAAACUCUGAAUAGCGAUGAUUGCAAUACUUUCCAUUCAUCUUUCUUGUACUUUCAAUCUAGUUCCUUAACAUGUUUUAGAUAUGCAAAAUCACGGAUGGGCCUUUGGAAGCGUGAUAAGCACCCCUAAGUGCAGCUGAAAGACGAUACAGCAGUUGUUCUCCAUUCAGCACAAGCGGCAGCUGAGCAUACUCAAGGAUGUUUGAUGUUCGCAGGCGACUUGUCCUGACACCCGAGUUCAAUGACAUCUUCAUGCAGCGAAUGUUCUGCCCAUGAGUUAGGCUAUGAGGUCCUUCAGACGCGUGACAUUAUGUAACAGGGUUUGGUUGUAUCUCAACAGUUAUUAUUACCUGUACACCUCUUCUUUUAAAUUUCCUUCUCUGGAUCUUGCCUCCUAGUCCUCUUCGGAUUUUAAGCUAGGAUUGCCCCCCCUGUUUACAGUUGAAUUAUUAUAAGAAAAUCAGUUGUGCAGUAUGAAAUCUGUUGUACCUGUCGACGGGUGACAAUAAGAUCCAAGUGGGAUUGUGGGGCAAUGGUAUAAUAAUGUGGGGCGAUGAGUGUACUGUGAAUAGUGUGUCUGCUGUUCGCAUCCCUUGUCUCAUGUGAAAACAGAAAUUAGGGGGUGUUUGGUUUGCCCUGUUAUAUUUUACCGUUCGUCAUAUCAAAUGCUUGGAUACAUACAUGGAGUAUUAAUAUAGACUAUUUAUGAAACUAAAAACACAGCUGAAGAGUAAUUUAAGAGACGAAUCUUUUAAGCCUAAUUUGUCUAUAAUUGGAUACUAAUUGUUAAAUAAAACAAAACUGCUACAAUUUCUGUUAAACUUUACCACCCAAACCAAACAUAUGAGAUUGUGCAGUUUGUCGCUGAAGUUACUCAUAAGAGCCUUCGAUCAGGUUUAUUGUGCUUAAACUAGAUGGUGUAUGGUCACUGUCACGUUUUUUAAUUAUUAUUACUAUAUAUUAUAUUUACCUCUGCUAAGUUUGAUCAAAUCUAUUCUUUUAUAGCUAAUUUUGUAGAAGACAAUAAAAUUCAGCAUACACGCAACCUAAAAGAUUGCCACCUGUCUCUCCACCUCAAAAAUGCUCAGAAAAAAUGCACUUGAAAAGAAAAUGCAAGAAAUUAGCAUUAUCUUGUCAUACUUUCUGCAUGAAAGUACUGUAUCUAAAAAAUGAUGGUUCUGCUGAACAAUAGCAGCUCUUUUGUUCUUCUAUCUGAAUAUAAUGAUUGUUCACGCCUUCCGUUAACAGGAAAAGUUUAUGGUCAUUGAAAGGUGCUCACUGUACUAAAGACAGAAGCUGCGAGUGCUUGCUUUGAUAAUCCACGGAUAAUUGCACAUCAUUUCGUUGAAAAUAAUCCUCUGCAUGCCUGCCAAAUAUCUGAGAGAGACUUGUCAUUGGACCUGACAGGAUAGAGCGAUUAUCUCAACUCACUGUCAAAUUCAGCUGCAGUCACCACCAACCGACCCCUUUGCUGUUGGCUGUUGCAACAGAACACCUAGGCAACCUGAACUUCUUGUACUGUACCUCUAGCGAGUGGUUGGGUUUGCCGCCCUUUUUGUUUAGAACAACACACUGGAUUAUCCCUCAGUCAUUGCCUUGCCUUGUCCCCACUUAACUUCAAAAGCCAUCACGUCCUCCAACAAAGAGAGAUCAAAAUACCGGAGCCAUUUAUCUAUAAGCGGAGAGACAAGUACAAUACCUUUUGGUUUUCGUCAGAUAUGAUACACUAAUUCAGGUGCUGUUCAUCAGAGCGCUACUACUACUAAGGCCUUGUUUAGUUCGGGUGCACCUUUCUGAAGCACUAGUGCAGUCAGACCCCAACAGCUCCCGUUAAUUGCACCAAUAGCAAUGUGAUAGUGCCCUGUCAGAAAAUUGAAGCUAGUUCUAUGGUACACUAAAAUGGUGUCUGCCUUGCAUUAUGCCACACUGUUUGCUAGCCUGCUGUUAAAAGUGACAGCUGACGUUGUUUGUUUCUCCUAUCAAUGUUUUGAGUUCAGAGAGGUACCUGCCUAGCUGACAUUUUUAUGUUUGGAAUACAAGGUCAAAAAUACAUUGUCCCUCCAAUGCGGCAGUCACAUUAUUAACACAUUGGAGCUGACUUGUUUGAAUCUAUUUGUAUUUUGCCUGAGAACCAAUUGCCACUUUGUUCUCUUUUAUUUUAAGCGUGAGUCCUUAAGCAUCCGUCAAGUGUAAGGCUCUCAGAGGCUUUGGCCUUCUGAUCCCAGCUGGAUCGCUAAGCUUUCCAGCCUCCCAUAUCCAUAUCCAUUCUCUGUACCUCCAAACUCACCUUUUUUUUAAAAAAGAAAAGAAAAGAAAAGAAGAACCUCCAAACUGCAUAAAACAUGAAAAGAGCAGUGACCUGCAUACUACUACUAGCAUUAGACUAAUGACAACCCAUCCCAAACCUUUCAGCAAGAUUCGGAUCCUGGGAGCAAGAAAGAGCAAUCACACAGCUUCCCUGACCAUGAGCUAGCACUGCAGAUCUGAAAAGAAGGCGAGACUUUGCUUUCGAUGAUUCCAUUAAGUGUUGACACCAUUAUCGAAUCGACCUAAUAUUUUAAUUGUCUGGUGGAGGAGCAGCAUCAGAUGAUGAGUAGCCCUCCUUUUCAGUUUUCACCUCGCAAGGGGGAGCGGCUCCUGCCACGGCAUGGAAUCUUGGCGCAUGCCAAACAUUCUUGGGAAGCCACCUAAAGUUUAUGAAUUGUGGGCGUCAGUUUUAAGAGACCAAGACAGCCUGCUUGCUUUCACCUUUCUUCAGAUACACUGACCAUAUCUUGCUCUUGAUUGAUGAUACCUGAAAUGUCUCUACUCCCUUGUGUCACUGAAGUGUAACCAGUAUUUGCUGGUAAAGAAAUGCAUUUGUAAUAAUAGUACUAACACUACUGUCCUAUUUGGUAUCCAGUAUAUAUUUAUGCAUUGGGACUUUGGUGACGACAGUACAAAGAUUCUGUAGGAUAAUAUACACCGGGUUGCUGUACUUUGCUGGGUGCAACAUCACUGCAUUGUUUACCAGCAAGACAAAUCUUUCAGGCGCUAAUUGCCGAGCUAACUCUAAUAAUAUAAGGGUAGCUUACAGUUGCAUCAUUCUGGGUCGCACAAUAAACUAAUGCCAGUGGUUCAGAAAUCCUAGGUGAAAGAGUGGGGGGAAAGCUGGCAAACGCUUCAGGUUCAGGACAGCAGCAGCACGGGCAUGGCCGCAUAUCAGCUCGCCAGUGUGUUGGCAGCUAGCUAGCUUGCGCUCCUGGAGGCGUCAGUGAAACGGCGAUGGAUGCAUUGUAGGACACUGACUGAAGACAUGGACGGACGGGCGUCGACGGAUGGGAAGAUUGGGUCACACACACACGUGUCAGGCCCGUGACUUAAAUUCCAAGCGUAUUCUGAUAACAUAUCCCCAUCUAACUCAUUUAUGGAUGAAGAUAUCACCUCUCUUUUCUUUUUUUCUUUUUUGGUCAAAACAAACAUUUUGUGGCACCAAACUUUGGUAGUAUAUCUCAUGACAUUUCUUGGUGACUUUGCUACAUCUUAGGUGAAGAAAACAAACAAACAUCUAUGCGUUGGUCGUCCAUGGCUUCUCUCAAGUCUCAACCCAUGCUGAUUUUUGAGGGAGUGAUGAAGUGUGCGUUCUGAAACUGAUUGUGCUCCUUCCUCUAGCUGCUCUUGUGUGCAGUUUUUUUUGCUCUCUUUUGUCACUGGUAUUCCCAGUUUUGUAUCCAAACUACUUGUCUUAAAAGCAGAGGUUUUCCUCUUUUUUUUUUUUGAAAAAAGCUGCUCUUGUGUGUGCCCACUGUUUCAGAGCUGAUAUAUGCAAAAUGUACCUCCAUAAAUCGACUGCUCUCUCGAGGUGCAGGGUGACCAUUCUAGCCGUUCCGAUGCCAAGCCGGGACUGACAUUUUGCAGGGGAGAAAAAGGUGGGAGGGGCCGGGCCGGGGCGGCAGGUUCAUUUCAUCAUGCUGUGUUUCCCUCCGAUCUCGUGCAAAAACUGGGAUUAAAUCGGUCGAGGGCAGAAACAGAAAGCGAUGGCUGUCGUGCCUCACAUACGCCUUUCGAACUAUAUAGUUUUCCAAACGUUUCGUCCGUUCAAAGGAGCGUUGACGGCCUAACAACGUGGAUUGUUUUUCCACGUGGACAAAACUCGUGCCUUACGUUGACGCAACCAGGGUAUCACUAGUAUAGUAGGAGCAGCUAAGAAUCAUCAUUUGUUUUAAAUACAUUAUACUCCUACUAGUACGUUGCAACCAGUCACACGAGAUUCUCCAAACCAAUUCCACGGCAAUAGUUCAAACAAGAUUUGGCAUCUCCAUCGACCAAACCAAACCAAACUCCCCGAGUGUUUAAGAUAAGCUGCAGUAGCAUUAUACUCCUACUAUUUCAGUCAACAAACAGUUUUUUUACACGCAAUUCUACUAGUUUGCAGCAACCUUGCCAAAUCCUCCCCUCCAUGCCAUGCCAAUUGCCAGAGCCCAGAGAGGCGGUCACGAAAACGGAGAGCGCCACCCACCGCAAAUCCCGGCGGGACUGAACCUGAACGGAACUAACUCUUUCGUUUCCACCGCAAUUCCAAUUCCAACCACCUCCCCGAGUCCGGAUUCCCGACCGAACGAACCCAUCUUCUUCAUCUCGCACGCACGCCGCGGCCUCCCUCCACCUCCUCCUCCUCCUCCUCCACUUGAGCCGACACUUCAUCCAUUCCCCAUCCCCAUCCCACGCGGCCACCACCACCACCUCCUCCCCCCUCCUCCAUAUCUCUCCGGGCCAAGGAGGAGGAACAGGAGGAAGAGUAUAUCAGUCCUCAUACCAAUAAAUUCGUCACGCCGGCUCCGCCUCGCCAUUGCCUUGCCCCAAGGCCCAAGCUGGUAGCAGCAGGCCGGGGAGCAGUCGAGCAGGAGGAGGAGAUGAAGGGGCUGAGCGGGCCGAAGCUGCUGGUGGUGCACCCGUCGUCCAACAAGUCGCCCGGCGGGGCCGGGUCGCCCGGGGCGGUUCUUGGCGCGCGCCGCCGGGUGUGCGCCGCCGUCUUCCUGGCCUGCUUCGCCUGCGUCUCCCUGGCCACCACGCUGCUGUCGGCCGCGCGGGACCCCGGUGGGGCCGCGGCCGGGAGGGCGGCGGCGGCGUUCGCGGUGCCAGCGAGGGUUGGCGCCGGCACCGCCGCCGUGGCCGCAACGGGGGAGGGGCUGCCGGGGCACGUGUUCGACGCGCUGGUGCAGUACGCGUCGGCGGGGGGGAACUCGACGGCGAGCAUGCCGGGUGCCGACGUGCGCGCCAUCGCGGCCGUGCUCAAGCGCCGCGCGCCGUGCAACCUGCUCGUGUUCGGGCUCGGCGGGGAGACGCCGCUGUGGCGCGCGCUCAACCACGGCGGGCGCACCGUGUUCCUGGACGAGAACCAGUACUACGUGUCCCACCUGGAAGGCCGGCAUCCGGGGCUGGAGGCCUACGACGUCGCCUACACCACCACCGUCCGCGAGUUCCCCGACCUCCUCGACGCCGCACGCGCCGCGCGCGCCGCCGAGUGCCGGCCUGUCCAGAACCUCCUCUUCUCUGACUGCCGACUCGCCAUCAACGACCUCCCCAACCAGCUCUACGAUGUCUCCUGGGACGUCAUCCUCGUCGACGGCCCGCGCGGGUAACCCAUCUGAGUCAUCUCCAUUUCCAAGAUCCAUUCAUCCAGCUUCUUUUCUUCUUUCCCCAAAAAGAAGAAGAAAGAUCCAAUCUUUUUUUUCAGCUCCGUCCAUUAAUUUCUCGCCCUAGAUAGCUAACGCUAACGCUAACGCCCUCUCCAAUGCGGCUCGGACAGGUACACGGCGACGUCGCCGGGGAGGAUGUCGGCGAUAUUCACGGCGGGGGUGCUGGCACGGACGCGGGCCGGGGAAGGCGCGACGACGGAUGUGCUGGUGCACGACUACGAGCGGGAGGUGGAGCGGGCGUGCUCGAGGGAGUUCCUGUGCGAGGAGAACCGCGUGGCCGAGACCAGCACGCGGUCGCUCGCCCACUUCGUCGUGCGCGGCGGCGGCUCCGCCCGCCGCGACGCCUUCUGCUCCGGACCGGGAACGGCGGCGGCGGCCCACUAGUAGUUUUACUCCUGUCUGUCCCUCACCUCACCUCUUCUUCUACCUUUUUUUUUAGGAUUUAACCUCUCGAGAUCUCGAUGACGGUUAAUGAUGAUGAUGUUGUUUGUCAUGUGAGUGGGGGGCGAAAAAAGGAUGGAAAAGAGAAAAGGUGAAUGAAGCCUGUAAAAAUUCGGUGUGACGGAAAAAAAAAAAGAUGCAGAGGAAUGUGUCUCUGUCCUUGGCGACUCCAUCAUCCAUGCCAUGGUGCUGGUUCUCAUUCUGCGUGACAACACGGGUUCAUUUUCUCAUUUUCUCGCGUUUCGUCGACUUAAGUACGACAAUGGCGGCAGACCGGACCCGAGGGCGGCAUCAUCAAUGUUGCGACUGCAAUGAAGGAGCAGCAUGGAGCGCCGAAUUGGCAGCAAUGAAGGCCUUGUUUAGUUCGAAAAAAUUUGGGAAAUCGAUACGGUAGCACUUUCGUUUGUAUUUGACAAAUAUUAUCUAAUUAUAGACUAACUAGGUUUAAAAGAUUCGUCUCGUCAAUUUCGACCAAACUGUGCAAUUAGUUUUUAUUUUCAUCUAUAUUUAAUACUUUAUGCAUACGUCUAAAGAUUCGAUGUGACGAGAAAUAUGAAAAAUUUUGCAAAAUUUUCUGAGAACUAAACAAGGGCCGAAGACGCUGCCAUUUUUGGUUCUCCCAAGCCUGGUCACUGACGCGGGGCCUGCCUGGCUGCCUGCCCACGGCCGGCCGGCCAGCCAGCGAGUCCCCACUGUUUCCCUCGUGGACCGUGGCGGGGGCCGGGUCUGGGAAGACGGGGAAGAGGACGGGCCGGUGGGGGUGGAGCGGUGGACUGUGGAGUGGAGCGUGCCUCGCCGUCGCCGGUCGCCCCCGCGCCCGCGCCCGCGCCGACGACUGUUGCCUCGUCUCAUCUCCCAUUGACGGCCUCGCUCGCCUGAGCCUGACGCGACGCGAGGUUGUGCUGUGCCGGGUCGCGCGGGGCACGGCGGUGUUGUGUGUGCACUGUGCUGUGCUGCUGUUAAACUCGAGGUCAGAUUGGAGGCCGACCUCCACUCUCCACUCGCCGUCGGCGUCGGCGUCUCCCUCGCGGCGCGGACGGCUCAUCAGCGUGCUUUUUCUGCCACGGAUUCAUGCAUCCAUCCAGCUUCAUCCGUGAGGUUUGGGUUUGAGUUCGUGGGGGCUCAAUGUACAUCGUCUUCGCCGGGGCAAUGUUACUAGAGGUGCACCGCAACGCCGGUGUUAGAGGGGAGGAUGACGGCGAUCGGCCCUGGCGUGGAUGUUGGUUGUAAAAGGGUGAUCGGCAGACGAACAAGAGGGCGUGGAGUAUUGUGAGGCGGCCGACAGAGAGGGUUGAUAUAAAGAGAAAUGAAUUGACUACCUGUGCCUACUCUCCCUCGCUCUCUGCCUCAACAGUUUGGCUACCGGAAUGCAAUGUGCUGUUACCCCCACAAUCAAGUCAACACAUAUACAUAAUUUCAAAAAAAAAAGAAGUCAACACUUAAACAUUAUUUCUUGGUGGGAGGAAGCAAAGAAAGGAUUCUCAAAAGAGCAAUGAGACAAUGACAUAAGGUCAUCUAUAUCAUGUGCGACGUAGGAGGUUUAAAAAGUGAAGGAUGACAUUGACCGGAAAAUGGCUAUUAUAAGACUCCAAUCAUAAUGGUUUCUCCCAAAUAGUUUCUCCCAAAUAGUACUCUAAUUGUUUUCUUCUCCCAAAUAGAACUUCAAUCAACUACCAUAAGCUAUAAUAGGAUUUUGCUUCAUUUAACCAUUUUUUAUAUCCCAAAUCAUGUAUUUUCUAAUAAUAAUGUCCAUAUUACCCUUUUGUACUAUACAGGACACCGAUUCAACUUAUCGUACUCGAUCUCUCGCACGACGUAUUCACGAGGCCGCCUCACUCUCUUCUCCAACCUCGGCAGCAUGCUCAGUUUCCAAGACAGCAAGCAGACGCCCCUCGACGGCUCAGGGCAUCAGUGCAUCAAGCAUGCAGAUGAACACGCUACGGCCGCCAGCCAGCUACAACUACUACUACAUCGACAUGCAUCCAUCCGUCAUCGCUGGAUCGGUUUCGGUGGUUCUGAGCCACCCCUGAGCAGCAUGAUUGGAGGAGGCGACACGGCCACCACCAUGGGCACGUGACGACGCUCGUGAGCUAGUCACUGUACCAGCACGCCGCCAAGCAGCAGGGGGAUGCGGCGUUCGUGGACCCUGGCGUGCGUCACGCGCUGGUGUACGGCGUCACGAUGCAGGUAGGCCUGGGGCAAAAAUAACCGAGAACCGAAACCGAAACCGAAAUAACCGGAAUCGAAACCGAAAUAAUCGAAACCGAAAAAUUCAGGUAGCUGUUCGAUUCUCAAACCGAACUAACCGAUCAAAUUUCGGUUCCCAGGCUCGGUUAACCGAAAGAACCGAAAAAACCGAAACUCAUAAAACAAGCCCAAUAAACCUUACAACAUAGGCCUAAUACCACCUUAACCCUAAAUAUAAAAGGUGAAUGACAUCCUCUCAUAGCCUCACAUCCUCACAUUUUUUAAAAUAACGACAUCUUGUUUUUUAAAAAAUAUUUUUUUUCUAUUUUUCUAUUCUUUUUUUAUGCUUGUGUAAAUUUUCGGUUAGUUCGGUCGGAAUCGGAACCGAACCGAACUAACCGAAACCGAUUUUACUCGGUUCCAAGAUUUGUGAAGAACCGAUCGGUUCCUAUUUGUAGAGAACCGAAUUUAUGUCAAAAACUGAAGAACCGAACCGACGAACCGAACGCUCAGGCUGAGAUGCAGGUGCUGCAGUAGUUCUCGGGCAUCAACAGCGUGCUAUACUACACGUCGCAGAUCCUGGACCAGGCCGGCGUCAGCGUGCUGCUAGCGAGCCUGGGGCUGAGCGCCGACGCGGGUGCGGGGCUCUGCAUCGCCAUCUGCUCGCUCGUCUCGUGAAUACGUCGCACGAGAGAACGAGUCCGAUAGUUGAAUUGGUGUCGUGUAUAGUAUAGAAGGGCAGUAUAGGCAUUAUUAGAAAAUACAUUUAUUUGAGAUAUAAGAAAAAUGGUUAAAUGAUGCAAAUUCUCAUUAUAACUUAUGGUAAUUGAUUGGAGUCUUAUUAGGGAGAAGUAAACGAUUGGAGUCCUAUUUGAGAGAAGCUAGAAGUCUCAUAAUAGCCAUUUUCUCGCCGUAUAAGGGCUUUUUAGCUUUGUACUGUAAUAAUUUACCUUCUAGUUCUUUUGUUUGUUUUGGUCCAUAUUACGGUGUUGUCAACAGGUUGCUCAAGGAGUGACGUGUUAGAGUUGUUUUUUGAGGUCAUGUUCGAUGUUUGUAUAAAUUGAAAGGCAAUGUUUCCACCACUUACGAUACAAUGACACGUGGAGAGUUAGCACAAACAAAACAAAAAUAUGCUUGCGGAUAAUGACGGAAAUGAUAAACCGAAAUCUAUAUACUUUUGUAAAGAAAAUGGGUGGUACGGAAUAAAAUAGAUAGAAUGUAAUGGAAAAGGAGGCACAAAUGUUGGGUUACGGGAGGAUGAUGUGAUGUGUGACAAUUAAAUUGAUUGGCAAACAAACAAAAUGUGUAGUAGGCGACCGAAGAGUUGAUAAAGAAAAAUGGACUAUGUAUAUCUAAAAUUAGAAUAAAAAAACAAAAGUACACUUGGGGAAAAUAGAUGAGGCUUGACACUUUUGUUAGAAAGAGGGGGCUCUAAUGUGGAAUGAACAAAAUAGAUAAUAUGAUGAGUCGAUGGAACAUUCAUAUUUAUGGGAUAACCAUUCCUAUUUUUCAGGAAAAAAAAGUAAGAGACAUAACACAAAAACUAGAUACUUUGUUAGAAAGAGCCUGAAUACGGUCAAACAUGGUAUGGAGUAAAACGGAAAAUAAGACGUGUAACGGAUAAUCACAUAUCCAUUCCGGCCCACCCUUAUUAGUGGAUUAGCCAUUCAUACUUUCUUUUAGCAAAACUAACACUCACUAAAGUGAUUUGGUAGUUUCCAGCACUCUUUUUUUGGCCAACCGAUAAAGGCGAUAAGUAAUUAGGAAAUUUGGCUUGAGCUUUGUCAAAUUAGAAUUUAGAGAUUAAAGUUCAAGAGUAAAGUGAUUAGAUCUUACAGGAGGAGAAGACUAUAGGAUAGACUUGCUCACACAUAUAGUGGUGGUUGUAGGGAUUGUGGUGGUGGAGCAUAGCGACUUGGGGUGAAGGAUGGAGCGGUAGUGGGAGGUGGCCGUUGAUGGUGGGUAUAUGUGAUGGUUGGUGGUGAGUAGGGUAAACAAAAAAGACACGCGUGAGAGAGAACCAAAAAAGAAAAAAAAAAGAAAAAACAUAAGGUAAUCAGAAUAGCAAAUGCAUCAAAUGUUGUUGCUGCGACUAGUAGUAUGGAAUUGUAUUAGUCUAUUGUCUAGUAGAUCAGGCAGGGGCGGAUGUAUUUUUGGUGCAUGGGGGUACAACUGUGUCCACAAAAUUUGUGUCCAAAUACUAAGUAUGCACAACCAAAAUUUUCAACUUCUUCUAGUAAUGUGGGCUUCUCCUAGUGUUUUAGCAUUCAAAAUUUAAUAUAAAUUUUUCCUAGUAAAUGUCUCCUAGUAAGAAUUCCCUAGUGCUAUGACUAGUGUUAGUGUUUUGUUACUAAUUAGAAACACUAGGAGAACUCCACCAAUAUGGUAGUGAUGUAUACAUAUAAUACAUUAUAUAUAGACACCGGCGGCCCUUUAACUUGUCGCGCUGUGCCACUUUGGUCCAUAAACUUGCAAACGUGAAAAAGAGGCCCCUAAACUUGUCAGCAUGUGCCACUUUGGUCCAUAAACUUGCAAACGCGAAAAAGUGCCCUCUGAACUUGUGGACGUGUGCCACUUUGGUCCAUGAACAUGCAAAUACGAAAAUAACACCGGCUGCAUGGCACUGUUCUGCCACGUGACCGCCUCUGGUAGGCCAUGUAUGACACCGUUUAUGGUGUUGACGUCAGCGAUGAUGUCAGCACUUCUUUUUUAAUUUACGAAAUUGAUAUAUUUUUAUUCGUAGCGUCAAAAAUAUCAAAUAAUAUAUCAAUUCGUUGCAUUUAUUAAUUAAAAGAGAUAAUUUUAAAACAAGCAAAAAUUAUUCAUUUUCUAGGUUUCAUAUUUUUCUUAGGCAGAGUACACAUGAAGAGGCUACACAAAACAUUUCAUGAAUGUAGCAUUUCAUUAAUAAUUAGUUAUGAAAUAAAUAAAUAUUUGCUGACGCGUUGAAAGAGCCUUUACACGUUUAUGGACCAAAGUGGCACAGGUCGACAAGUUCAGGGGCCACUGUUUUGCGUUUGCAAAUUCAUGGACCAAAGUGGCACAGGCGGACAAGUUCAGGGGUCACUUUUUCGGGUUUGUAAGUUCAUGGACCAAAGUGGCACAGGCUGACAAGUUAAAGGGCCGUAAGUGUAUUUUACUCUUAUAUAUAUUUAUUAGAACAUCUUAUCAAAUAGCAAUCUCUUAAGAAAAAGUGCUCAUCCGAGAGAGGAAAAAAUAGCGUUACAACUUACAACCCCAUACUACCAUGCUUUCUCCUAAUAAAGUAUAAGAGAGAAAGUAAAUCAGUGCACAAGUACAAUAUAAAAAUAACGAAACAAGUUGAGAAAGUAAAUAUGUAAAGUUGUCUCUUUUUUCUCUUCUAAACAAUUCAUUAUAGUUUCAAAUUUGUGAAGUUUGAGUCUUGACUUUUUAAUAAUCAGUCAAUUUUGGGGAAAGCAACACUCAUAUUUAUCUCUAUAAAUAGUUAAUUUCAAUUGUGUACAUCGUCAUGACAUUAAGAAUAAUAAUGGUAUAUCAUUUUUAUGGACUACUCAAUAAAUUAAGUACAAAAGAUCAUCUACUCUGAAUAAACUCAUUAAGAAUGCCACACAAGCAAGAAACUAAUGUGCUAUAUUAAGACCUUGGCGACGACUACUUGUGUACACGGAUAAAUAUUGGCAAGUUGUAUUCUUAGAUCCCAGACACUAAUUAUUUUACUAGUAUAUUGCCCGUGCUAACGCUAUGAUAAUAUUUGAUGAUAUUUAGCAGCACAAAUCAAGCAAUCAAAAAAAGAUAUAAAUAUUCACACGACACAGACAAAGAGCUGGAACGGCAACUCAGCAAAACUCUCAAUCGACAUUUCUUGACCAAGCAUAGCAAAGAGAGAAGAAUAUGCGUGAGACAAUAAAGUUAUUAUUGUACAAAUCAAUGCUUAAAGAGUAACUUAUCCAAAUUACAAUACAAAUUAAUCAUCAUAGCUAUAGGUCUUGGUAACAACAAAGCCAUGGCUACUGGCAAGGUCAGCAAGGUGUGCCUUUCUGCCGAUCUUCUCUGUAGCAAGCAUGAGAUGACCAAUAUACCAACUCAAUCAUCAAGGGCAAUAAUUCUUCUGGUUCUUGUCAGUGCUAAAACCAAAAAGGGUACCAUUUAGCAUCAUCUAAAAGAAAAAGGCAGUACACCAGUGCAGGUACAAUAACAUGUGUAUUCUAUUUUAUUAUAAAAUCAGGUGAUGCCAAUAGAAAGAACCUCCCCAUCUUUAAUCCCACCAUACAGUGAGCUGCUUGCCGAAUGAGGACCCAUCUAAAAUAUAGCAGCAAAAAUCUUUAAGUUCUAGACAACUAUUUAAAUAAUCCACCAUGAACCCAACAAACACCAACAACAAUUAAUUAUUUUAUUAUUUAUGUAUUUCCUUAAUUAGAUAUGGAUUCCUUCGAAGAAACAAACACCAUUUUUAGGCAAAUGCAUCAAGAAACAAAUAGCCCAAACAUGCAUCAACGAUUGCCACUUACGUCCCUGGGCAUGAAGAUUCAUGACCCCUUCGAGCUGUGACAUCUCCAAAUCAAACUGUCACUCAUACAGUGUUGUCACAGCUAACAUUCCAAGUUCCACACACACACACAGGAAUUUCAGAAGUCAUGAUUAUACCUGCAAAAAAGUCCUUGCAUUCUCUCUUUUUCAAGUUUGCAGUACUUAAAGUUACAAGAACACAACAUGCACCAUUUACUGAAUGUCUAAAACUCAGAUAAACCUAUAGAACAGUGUUGCAGGCGAAGAUUAUGACCCCACUCAGAAGAUAGAAACAUCCAAGCAUCCAGUCCUUUCUGCCUUUGCCAUUUGAGAGCUCUUCAACAUCGUGGGAAACAUAGUGCCUAAUAACACAUCAACAGUUAGGACUUAGCACUGGACAUAUAUGCAUAUGUUUUGUGAACCAGCACUCAUGUUUCAGUAAGGAGACCUUUUAUGAUAGUGUGGCAUUGAAAAUCAAUAAAGAAUGCAUCCACUGUCCUUUCAUCUUACUAUUAAGCACCUUGCUUUGUAAUGAGCAGAUUACUGCAGCAGCUAUAUUUCUGGCUCCUAUUAAGGUAAGUGAUUGCAAAUUAUGUUGUUGUACAAAUAGAAGCUACAAAAAUUCAAUAAAUUUCUUGACUAUAAAUGUCAUAUGCCUAGUAGGAUCAUGUUUGGUUGUAAUGAAAAAGCAGCCUGGUUUCUCAUUAAUACAUGUUCUUAAAUACCUGCAGAAAUAUCAAUAUGACUUGAUCAUCACAAAACUAAUGAUUGAAAAGGUAAUUUGAGCAUCAACAUCUGUUACUGCAAACAGGGAUAUCUUCUGUAAUCCAUAAUACCUUAAAUGAAACAACCAAUAUUUGCGUGAGAUCAUAGAGAUCAUACAGAUAACUCACAAUAAUGUGCGCAAAUUAUCACUAUCCAAAUUUGUUUAAUAUAUUUCCUUGUUGUGGUAUUGGCAUCAAUUUCAUUGGCUGCUGUCCCCUCUCAUUCUCAGUGUCCAAUCACUUGAUUCCAGCUAACAACUCGAGCUGUCUAGAAGUCUGACAUAACUAAAUUCAAGAGAUGUCUACCUAUAGCUAAAUAUCACCGGUAAGACCAUAAAGAGUCAGAGCUGGCACCUACUCUAGUUCCCACGCCAUGCCUGCAGAGGCAUGCAAGUCACACCAACGAUUCCAUAUCACUGGAAUCGCAAAUCACCUAUGAAUUAUAAAUCCAGAAUUCAAACAUAUAACAAAAUUCAGAAAAUUUUCCAUCAUGGUGUGAACCUGCAAUCUCCAAUCUGCACCAAAAUUAUUGCUGCAAACAUAAAAAAAAUUGAGCAAAAUAUUAAAGGAAUAGCAAUUUAGUGAACCGGAAAGAGUAGUACUCUCCCGCUAUAUCAAUCCUCUGCUUUUCUUCUAGAAGUUUUGUAAACUAUAGCAAAAAUGAAUGUAACAGGAAAAAGAGAAAUAAUUGAAGAUCAAGAUGAAGAAAUUACACAUCUGUUUGAUUGGGAGGAGUUGACAGGGUCCUUCCUCCUCAAUGAACUUGCAGCCUGGAUAUAGAAAAAAUAGGAAUUCAUCACUUAUCAGAGUAGACAGUAGACACAAAAAUCAGGCAUUCAAAUUUCUUACAGAGCAACAAGUAUAUGGACUGUAAGAAGUAGAUCUAACAGAUGGAAUGAGAGCAGCUGUGUGGAACUGUCAGGAGCAGCAGAAGGAGAAAAAAAUGCCAAUGGCAGCAGUCAGGAGCAGCAGAGUUUAAUUGAAUCUUAUUCUCAAAAUCCUCCACUAACAACUGCAUCAAAUUAAACUCAGGACUUAACUCAAGCUCUCCAAGUCUCAAGCUCUAUAGAUAGUAGAUACACAUGACUUAUAGUAUAAUACCCUGAAAAAGGCAUGAAGAAAAUUAGAAGGCACUAUCCCAUGUCACGCAUCACGCGGCUGAAGGCGGCGUCGAGCUCGCUCUGGGAUGCAACAAACCAUACUUCGAUGAGCCAUGUAGAAGUACAAUCCAACAACCUGUACUGCAGCUAUAAAAUGGCAACAACCUAUACACGUUGGCCUUCUGAAGAAAAAACAUCAGUUAGAUAAUUACAUGGACAUGUGAGGAGGUCAGGGAAAUUAAAAUGUUAUGACUCAUGUGAAUCUAGCUUGGAGAAAAUAUGCUAUUAAUCUGUGUUUGAUGAAGAAAAAUAGGGAGAAAAAAAUGUGCAUACAAAGUAAACACUUAAAACCCAAAAAGUGCACAGAAAUAUUACCAGAUUAUACCUUAGUAAUGGGGAAGAAAUACCCAGCUCAAUCUUUGUUGAAAGUCCACUUUUCUUCACAUUGGCCUGCGGACCAUCAACCUAUAGACCGAGGCAAUGCAACCAUUCAGUACUUUUGAAAAUUUUAUAAGAAAAUUUUGCAAAUGCCCCAGAAAUAAGCUCAACUAAUGUACAGAAUUAUAUAUGAAACUUCUAAUUUGACAUAAAAAAUCGACUCAAAGAAUCAUGAAACAUCGUACCUACAAAAAUCAACUCAAAGAAUCAUGAAACCAUGUUAGAUUUAUUGCAGAUGGAAAUAUGAAACCGUGUUAGAUUUAUUGCCAAUGAAAAAUAAGUUUUAUCAUAAGCUGGUGCCAACAACACAGGCCUUCAAAACACCUUUUAAUGGUGUAGCAUAUAAUUCACGGCGCACAGUAAGGUAUGUCCAGGCUUUACAGAUGUGAAACUGAUUAUGUGUGAUUACAAUGUUUGCAUCAGGAAUAAAAAUUCCAUUGAAUUCCAUUGGAUGAGUGGUAACAUAGAUAUUUGCGAAUAACUAUAAAUAAAAUAAGAAAACAAAUCAUGAGGACAAAAUGUGAAUAACUCUUCACUUGCUGUCUCAAGAUGGCCUUCUGAACCAUGUGAAACCUAGGGAGUAGACAGAUAUGACAUAAACCUGCAAGCAAGAUUAACUUGUGAGGUAAGUUACUUGCCUACAUUACAGUCCACUUACACAUAGUCCAUGAAUCUUGCUUUCAAAUCCAUGAAUGGAUCGUGUUCUGCACUUACCUCACUAUCAUAUCAUGUUGAAAAUCCAGAAGUUGUUGGGUCAAGCUAGUGUGAUCUCUCGAGGCCAUUGUGACUCUCGUUCAGGAGAAGAAAAUCUUGUUAAAUUAUUUUCUGCCCAAAUAUAUUAAGAACUGGGUGGACUGGAGACCACAAGACAACAAAUUACUAACAAAGAUAAGCAUGUUAACUGAACAAACAUCCUGUUGGAGAAAAUUUCACAAAAAUUUAGAGGCAAGGAUCCAGGGGGACGACCUGGGUCAUGGCCGCCGUGGCACCAGACUGGUACUGCUGUUGCUGCUGCAUCAAGAGUGUCUAAUGCUGCUGUCGGAGCCUCUGCUGCUGCUUGUGGUGGCUACCCCGGCGCUGUUCAUCUCCUCCGGCGAGGCGAGGACAGAUAAGAACCCAGAGGAGGACCAAGGCCGCACACGGAUCGAUCCAUGGAUCGACGGACUGGGGAGAGACCAAGGGGGCGAACCAAGGUGUAAUCAGAUCGGAGCUUAAGGAAGUUAGGGUUUGGGUGCUUGGUUUGACACAGCGGGAAGGGAAGAUCAAGGGGCAGAAGACGGCGACGGCCGCGACGGUGGGCAGCAGCAGCAGGCCGGCCCUAUGGCGGCUGACCAGCCGCAACACACGACUCCCUGGCGGCAACCCUCCCUCCCGAUGCGACUCCUUGCGGUGCGCGUCCCUGCCAGCACCCCUCCCUCCCGAUGUGACUCCCUGGUGACGCGCGCGUCCCUGCCGGCGUAAUGGUGCGGAGAGAGGGCGUCGAGGAGAGGCAGUGUGGCCUCGGGGAGAGGGAGAGUGGGCGUUGGGGAGAGGGAGAGUGUGGCCGGGUGUGCGUGAGACGGUGAGAGGGGAACGAUGGAUGAGUGAUGAGGUUUGAUCCAAGCAAUAUGAUCCGUUGGAUUUGAGUGAGUAAGAGAAAUGAGAGGUUAAAAUAGAUCUUGUCCCUUAAUUUCAAAAAAUAGAACUUUCUAGGUGUAAUUAUCUGGGUGUACUUAGUGUAGCUUAUGACUGUAGCAGUAGGUUAUGAGGUGCAUUUAGUUAAGUUCACAAGUGGUGGAUUAUAUAGUAGUGGAGAUUGGCAUUCAUGUCAUUGUAUUAUAUAUCGUUGGAAAAUUAUUUAUAUCACUUAUGAUCGAAAUCCGUGAGAUCAGGUGUUAAGAGCCACUAAUUAGAUCUGAAUUUUUUUGGAUUUUGACGAUGUAGUAUUUUCGUUUUUGUUUGAUAAAACAUUAUCCAAUCAUAGAGUAACUAGGCUUAAAAGAUUCAUCUCACGAUUUACAGACAAACGGUGUGACUAGUUUUUAUUUUCAUCUAUAUUUAAUGCUCCAUGCAUAUGCUGGAAGAUUUAAUAUGAUGAAAAAUCUUGAAAAGUUUUUGAACUAAACAAGGCCUAACUACCCGUACGUGUGAGGCCUUGUUUAGUUGAUAAAAAUUUUGGAUUUUGGAUACUAUAGCACUUUUGUUUGUUUGUGAUAAAUAUUUUUUCAAUCAUAGACUAAUUAUGGUCAAAAGAUUAAUCUCGCGAUUUACAGGCAAACUGUGUAAUUAGUUUUUAUUUUUAUCUAAAUUUAAUACUUUAUGUAUGUGCCGCAAGAUUCGAUGUGACGGAAAAUCUUAAAAUUUUUUACGAACUAAACAAGGCCUGAAUCUGAAGCUUUGUUCUCUGCCACGUGUGCGAGGCAGGAGGCAUAUCUGGGACGUCGAAUUGACACGGAACGCAGCGUGCACCGGCGCAUCGAUCGCAUUGAUGCUACUGUCGUCGUCGUCGUCCUCAGUCCAAUACUGCUAUCAGUGUGCAAGUCAGCGACGGGUAUAAAGAUUGGUUUGGCAUCCGCACGGUUGUCUGUUAGUGCAGACAUAGACACUAAAAGUUUAUGGAUUGUUAUUAAGUUUUUUUUUUCUUUUUGCGAUCAUUUAUGGAUUGUUAUAUGAGUUAUGAGUUUAUGACUCGCUGACAGUUAACUAACAAAGUGUUGACUGAUCGACCACUCGGUGAGAGUGAGACGGACAGGUUUAUAUAUGCGGAAGACACAGUGGUCAACGAACAACAGUGCAUUGCGGCUCGUCGGUGCUUGCCUCAACGCUGAUGGUGCAUGUACGUGCGGCGAACAGGAAACCGAAUUUGCAUUGCACUUGCACCGGUCACCGGUGGUGGAUGUAGCGGUGGAGGGAUGGCACGCACGUCCCGUCCCGUCCCCGUGCGGCCUUGCCUCCGACAAAACAAAAGCCACGCCAGUUGCAGCACAGUGCAGGACUGCGGCAGCGCCAGCGCCAGCGACUGGCACGGUGCCACCGACGCUAGCAGGAGCUGCCCCCUCCCUGCCGUCGUGCGCUGCCACUUGCUGCGAUGUGUACAUGGCACGGCCACAUCGAGUCCGGGUUAAGAGCAGCCAAACGGUUUGGGCAAAAUUUGUUUUCCAAAAUUUAUUGUUUGCUAACUUAUUUCAAGAUUAUAUGAAAAAAAAAUUUCAUCUCUAACAGUUUGAUAAAUUUUGUUUCUAAAAAUUCGUUAACAAAACAAAGAGCCCCGCUACGUGAACAAAGAGCCCCGCUAAGUAUGAGAAGAAAGGCCGAUGCCAAGCACGGAGCCCGCACGCAUAUUUGUGCGUUAGACAGGGAGAUAUAUCGAGUUAGAAAAGAUGGAGAAUUGAGAUGUCAAACUGUUGGAGAGUGGUUUUUCUCAUUUUACUAAAAAAAUUAUGGAUAGGAAGUCAUUUGCCAAACUGUUAAAGAUUUCUAAGGCACGACCUGUUUACAUUAGGUAAGCACGGCAUUGUGCCACUAUAAUAUUGACGGGCAAUGCUAUGGCGGGCUCAUGUCACUAUAAUAUUGAUAGGCAAUGCUAUGACGGGCUCAGUUGAUGACGAUGACGGGCCAAGUAGCGUACCGAUGCAUUUAGCCAUGUCGUGCAGACCUAGUAGGCCUGAUCAGGCUAACGGGUUGUGUUAGCCCUGUCUAUUUGUUGCUACUCGUCUGGUCAUCUAUUUUCAAGUAUCUUCAAAUACAAUGGUCAAGGUGGUAGCAAGGAUGUGGGAAACUAGGAUGAAAAUGGAGCAGGAGGCCAAUGGCAAUCCACCAUUCCACUAGUAGGAGGCACUCAACAAUCGCAUUCUUCCACACCUUCAGCCGACUAGCCCCAUUGAAGGAAACCAUUUUGGGCCAAGCUUGGAACCUCAAUAAUGUUUUUUUGCUUCCUUAAACUCUUAAAGUAGACCUAAUCAAAUUAGACUUGGUCCGGCCGGAGCCCGCUGGGUUUUGGCCCACCUAUGGACCUUAGAGGGUAGGGCUUGGGCGUAGAUCUCGCUACCCAUAAUCUUUUUUUUUUGCCCCAAAUAUUUAUUUUAGUUGUUUUACACUAUAAACUCCCACAAGUAGCCCACUUAGGCCCAGGCCUGCCCUAAACCUAGCCUGAAAAAAUAGGCCAAACUCGCAAUGGGAUGAUCAUGGACGGGAUUAGUUCGGCCUGAAAUAGCUGAGCUUUUUUUGGUUUGGCCUGCAAAAUGCUCACGUUUAUCUUGAAGUGAAAGAAACCGACACACCUUAUCUUUAAAAAACAUGCAAAUUUCAUCAUUUUUUUAUAAAAACAGUUGAUAAACUUCUGAUAAGUUUUUUAAGCCCCAAAAUUAUCACUAUGCUUCUAAAAAUCUAAAAAGUAUAAACAUAUAUUGGAAUAUAAAUAAUAAAUAAAUAAAUAUUUAGAGAUCAUAAAAUGUGUAUGGAAGAUUGUAGAGAAUAUUUAGCUAUGCAAAUGGAACAAUAUAUCUACAAAGAAACCGAAAGAUUACAAAAAUAAUCUUAAUCAAUGUCUGAAUACGUUUCAGAAACUUCCCACAACAAGAGUACAAGAUGCGGCCACCUUGAGUGCAACCAUCAUGAAUCCAUUCACCAUUAGUGUAGGUUGCACUAAUGCUGGAUGCAUUUCAUAUUUUUUUUAUGUGGAAAAUUUUAAGACACAUGUUAGACAUUGAUUAGAAUACUGGUUGGGAAUUAUUAAGAUCUUUCAAGACAUUUGUCACAUUUUUAUAGAGCUAAAAUCCAACUAUCGGAAUCUUUUACAUACAUUUUUUUUCUUAUCUCUAUAUAUUUUAUUUGGGUUUCUCAUAUUUAAAUUUAUCUCAAGGAUUCAGAUUUUAGAAGCUUAGAGAUCUUUUUCAUAUAUUUUAAUUAAAAACUAAUGAAAUUUUUUGAAAACCACUUCUAGCCAGGGCAAAGAUAUAUAAUAUGAAUGGCUUUGAGAUUUGAGGAAGAUGAUUUCUGACUUUAGAGUUUGUGAAGAAAAUCUAGAUUUCGAUUAUAGUUAAGAGAGGAAAAAAAAGACUCUUCUUUGCUAGCGAGAAACGUGCUAGCCCAGCCCAAACUACACUUGGUGUAGGCUUCCUUGCAGGCCCAGCGUCGACACUCGACAGCAAGGAAGUCUGCUUCAGAAAACGUGAUCAGUACACAUUUAGACAGAUAUUUUUUUCUCGGAUUAGGCCUCGUUUAGUUUCUAAAAAGUUUUGCUAAAAAUUUUAGCUCAAUUACAUAGAAUCUUGCGACACAUGCAUGGAGUAUUAUAUAUAGACAAAAACAAAAACUAAUUACACAGUUUACUUUUAAUUUAUGAGACGAAUCUUUUGAGUCUAGUUAGUCUAUGAUUAGACAAUAUUUGUCAACUACAAACAAAAGUACUACAGUACCCAAAAUCUCAAAAUUUUGCCAACUGAACAAGGCCUUAGAGCAUCUCCAACAGUUUGCUAAAAUUUACUUGGCAAAUGUUGUGUUUUGGUAAGUUGCUAAAAAACUAUACCAAAUUAAAAAGAGACUCUCUCCAAUAGUUUUCUAUUUUUAACUUGCCAAAAAAAAAGGCCCAUGCGGUAUCCAUGUCCCAGACUUUUUUUUUUGAGAUUACACAGUACAACGCAGACACUCAACACGCACGCACACUCACCCCUAUGAACACACGUACGCAAACCCUACCUCUAUGAGCACCUUCGAAGGACUGAGUCGGCAAAUCUUGAAGUUCACGAAGUCACCACCGGCGCCUCGCUGUCGACGGGCACGUCGCCUACCACUUAAUGCAUAGCGCCGAAAAAUCCUGGAAUAAAUCCAGAAUAAAGUGCCGCACCCAGGAUUUGAACCCUGGGUGGGAGCCUCCCAACCAAUGACCUUUACCAUUGCGCCGUGAACCCCUUGGCGACCAGGAGGUUCACAAGCUCUUCAUUUAUGCCAAGCGAAGGAGAGGAGGGUUGCUGGCCUCGCGAGCUUGGGGUGGCGACGGCGUCGAGAACAGUGGCGGAGGGAAGGGGGGGCUGAGGGGGGCCUGGCACCCCCCAACCUUCCCAUAACUCCCUUAAUACACCUCAUAGAUUAGAUGUUUAAUUAUCUAAUUAGCUAGUUAAUGAUAUUAUUUGUACUAAAAUUUUUAUUCUUAUUUCAUAUUAAUCUCUAAUAGUUUCUUAUACAAAUAGAAUCUAGACAUAUCUUUUAUUUUUAUUAUUGCCUAUCAAACAUCAGUUUGUCCCCUACCACACACUCUAAUUAGCUAGUUAAUUGAAAAUCGGCGUUUUCCUUGUUUAAUCCUUCUGAAUUGAUCUCCAACAAUGGGAUAUAUAUUAUUUAGCAUUAGUCUUUCUAUUAUCUUUUUUUAUCUCCUAUGCUUCUAUCAAUAUUCGUCUAAACUCUAAACCGUCAUUUAGCCCGUUGUACUCAACUUUUAAACACUAACAGUGGUAUGGUGUUUCUGUUUAACCUUCUAUUUAAAUGACCAUUUUACCUGUUUAAGUGAUCGUUUUGUCUAAGACUAAAUGAUAUGUAAAUGAUUGUUUGUCAUUUGAUGUUAGGAUCUAGUACUAAUUAAUUUUGUUCUCGUUUAACUACUUGUUUUUAUUGUGAUUCUUUUCCUGGGCAAAGAAAUAGAAUGAUCAGGUGAAGGUUAGAGGCCUAAGGCUAGUUAAAUUUCUCUUUUAUUUUUUUAUUUUUUCUGCUUUUUUUUACAUCGCAACGCAAACGGUUUAUUUUGGUGCUAUGUACACCUUUGUCAUGUAAUAUUUUGACACAUAUGAUUGUUCUUGGUUUGCACAGCCCCACUAUGUUCAAAUCCUGGCUCCGCCCCUGGUCGAGAACAGCUGCGAGCGAAGGAAGAAGCAGCGACGCGAGAGUGCCUACAUAAGCUAAGCUAGCUAGGUGGGCGGUGGUUUUUGGACCACCCUAAAAUUUAGUUUAAGGUUAAACUAUAAUAGAUGAGCUUUUAAAACUAUAAAAGUUACACAUAAAUCACUUUAUAGUUUGAUUUUACAUCUAAAAUAGACCAUCCUUGUUAGAGCAACUCCAGCAGUAGCCUCCAAAACAGGGCUCCUACUUUUUAUUUGGGUGCUUCUCUACUUUUGGGUGCCUAAAAUUUUUUACUUCCACUCCAACAGUACCACCUAAAUGAAGGCCUCCAAAUCUAAACUGGUAGACAAUGACAUGUGGGACCCACUCGUCAUUGGGUCAAACAUUUCACUACCUCAUGACCACAAGAAGGGGAGACUCGACGCUCGCGAUAACCAUGGCUGGGGCUGCUCCCGCUCAUCGAGGAGAGGCCACUCUCACCGGAACGGAUGGCGGCGAGGCCCAACGGUGGAGGUCGGAGGUGGAGGGAGGGAGCGCGGUAAUGAAAAUUAGCGCCGGAGGGAGAUGGGUGAAGCUGUGUUUGUUCGGUGUGAGGAGGUAAUUGCCACACCACGCAGGAUGGGGCUGGGCUGUUGGGCCAACAGGAAUGGAGUCUGCAGGGAAGAUUUGGGUGCCCACCCCAAAUUGGGGGCUCUAGUAGAGGCCAUGCUGGAGUGCUGUUUUUUUUUGCCUGGACAUCCAUAUUUAACUAUAGGGGCUCAAGUAGGAGCCUGCUGGAGGUAGAUCAUAGCCAGGCUACGGACCCUAAACCCUCGACCUCACGGCUUCUGAGCGGGCAAGCACACCUUCUGGGCUGAGGCCCACAGGGAAAAAUGGUUGGCCUUGGUCUAAGAGAGAGGGACGGAGGUAGGCUCGGGGAUCUUUCGGCCUAGAUGGAAUGGAUGGCGGGACAGAACGUAAUUUUUUUUUGUGGGGGGAGGGAAUCUAGAAGAAAGAAAGAAUUUUUUUUAUAUAGUUUUGGCCCACAACAGGUUUUAGAAUUUUGCAACUAAGGUCUUGUUUAGUUCCGAAUUUUUUUUGGAUUUUGGCACUGUAGUAUUUUCGUUUUUAUUUGACAAAUGUGCAAUUAGUUUUUAUUUUUUCGGAAAUUAGGCUCAAAAGAUUCAUCUCGUGAUUUACAGUCAAAUUGUGCAAUUAGUUUUUAUUUUUAUCUAUAUUUAAUGCUUCAUGCAUGUGCUCCAAGAUUUGAUGUGAUGGAAAAUCUUGAAAAGUUUUUGGUUUUCGGGGUAAACUAAACAAGGCCUAAUUUCCAAACCUAUUUUUAGAUGCCAACAUGGAGGCCAAAACAAUUCUCGAGACAAGGAUAGCUAGUGGCUGGUGCGAGCAGGCUCAGGCUAGAUGAGCUGCUGCCGCCGUCCGCAGUCAGGGGCCUAUCGUUAGCGUCCGUAGUGUCAGCGAGCCCCAUGUGUGUGCUACCAGCGGUGCGGGAGCAGGCCGGUGCAAGCACCCGCACACUCAUCAAGCGUGUGGUGUGCAUGAUCACCAAAUGAACCCGGCCCUGCAGAUCCGGCAACCCCGACGCGACGCACAGCCAAGACGACAACCACCCUAUCCCACUGCAGUACAAAGAGCCGAAGGGGGAGAUGUAGAGGCACCACCAUUGUUUCGCUUAUCUGAAAAGUCAUGGCUAAUAGUACUGUUUGCUAAUAUAUUAUGAGAGAAAAACACUAUUAGCGAUAGAAAAAGUAUAGCUUAUAAAACAAAUGAACCAGCCCAUAUCAUCUCCACUUAGUUUCCCCUUCUAGCUCCACCACCUCUUGAUCUUGUACACCAUUAUCAUCUUUUCCUAUUCUCAGUUGAGGAGACCAGCCUAUGAAUUCUUGUGUAUAGCCUGCGUAUGGUCCAUUAUAUAGGUAUCUAAAUCCCGUUUUCUAGAUUAACAUCUAUUUUCCAGCCCAGAAAUGGAAGUUACCACAACAGGUGGGUAUUUGAUAAACAAAGUUCAUACAGAAAGCUAUUAAGUUACACACUCAUACUACAAAGACAGUUUACAACUUAGGUGAUACAAAGAUAGUUCUAGAAAACCAAAUCCUUAAAGAUGAAGGCGCAAGAAGUCCUGGAAAAUUGACUGGUUAAAUCUUGAUUCACUUGAAGAUCUGUAAAUAAUGAUAAUGAUAAGUGUAUGACUUGGAAGCUCUGUAAGUAAUAAUAAAAGAGUAUCACUAGUCAAUGAAAAAGAAGCAAUAUGUCCACUACACUUACUAAAAACAUGCACAAUAUCAGGCCAGCCCAAAAUACUCCAAGACGCGCUGAAAAUAGCAGAGGUAGGUAUCAUAGGUGUUAAAAAAAUCUCAUAGGUAGAAAACAUAGAGACUUACAUGCACAAUAGAUUUAUUGAUGCCGCAAUCUUCACCAAAAAUUGCAUCAAUUCGAUACUGUAGUGUCAAUAUUUCCAUAUUAAUGGUUCUGAUAUCCUUGUAAAGUUUAUUGAGUCUUCUUCUGCACUCAUUUAGUUGACUCAUCCUUACAUCUGAUGAAGCUUGACUGCUAGAGCACUCAUCUUCUUCACUGAGAAUAUUGCCAUUUCCAUUUCUGGGAUACAACAAAAAUCUAAUCAGUAAGUCAUGGUGUCCAUGAUAGUUUCACCAAUGACUAGACAUAUACCCUCUAGUUUUGUUUGAUAGUCCAUUUCUGAGAUACACCAAUAAAUUAGCAAAUUCAUUACCUUCUAGUGUUGUUUAGUAAACAACAAAAGCAGAUACCCAGUCCAAUCACCGCAUGUAGUCCAAUCAUCAUGUUCAUCUAAGGGAAGACAUUGAAAUAAUAUCAUGCAUUGAAAUAAGACUUGGGUCUUAAUUUGCAUGAUGCACAAUUGUAAUCAUAGGACCUACCAAGAACAUGGUAGUUUGCAUCUGCAGUAAAGAAUAUUUUUCUGUUUCCACAGUUUGUAGUAUUCUGAUACACAGAAAUAAAUAGAUCAAUAAAUAAACUCAUAAUCUACAAUAAUUUUCAGUAACUAUAUACAUAGAGAAUUACCUGGUAAUGCUCAUUGAUGCCACCAGUCCAAUCAACAAUUGUACUAAGAUCAAAACUCGUAGUAUCAUCCUCUAAGGGAAUGAAACACAGAUAAAGGCAUGAGAUUAGACUAACCUUGACCACUAAACUAAGCCUUUGGUAAAGGCAACAGAUCAAGGCUAUGCAAAUAACAAAUUACUCCAUAUACUUGUUGCUGCACUUAGCUUAGCUGACAACUCGGAUGAACCACAAAAUCUAUAUUACCUUUCGUCGCAUUGCAGACUACAAAAUUUCGCCGGAGGAGAGCCCGCCGCGGGGCGCUUGAGUUCGCCGGUGGGGAUGAGUCGGCUGACUGCUCGUCUCCUCCAAGCUCCGGCUACAUGAAAAAUCAAAGCCGUAUACACCAUUCUGGGUGACUAUAAAAGAUCAAAGUCGUACACACAAAAUGGAUGUUAGUUGACCGAAACAUCCAUUCUAUGACACUAAGUCCCGUUUUUAUCCCUAUCAUCUAUUUUCGGUACAAAAUGCCGAUCACUUAAUCAGCUCAAUUUCCAUUUCAGCAUCAAACAUCCAUUCUAGCAUCCUAAUCGCUUCUAGGAUAUGAUAUAUCUGAUAAACAGAAGUUCAUACAGAAAACUACUAAGUUACACAUUCAUACUUCAUCAGUGCAUCAUAGCACUUUGGAUGGUUCUGAUUGGCUUCAUUCAGAAAGUGCACAAGCAGUUGCGAAUCAGAUACGAAGGUAGUGUUGUUGAAGUUUAGCAGAUCAUUGAUUGCGAGGUAGGAGAAUGAUCUUUGGCCAGUAGUGUGCUGGCUUGGUAGUGUCGUCUGAUCUGCAGAACAAGAGUGUGCAUAUCUUGGACCACUUGAUCACACAAAGGAUGCCCACCUGGAAGGCUUUGAGACAGCAACCCUCUUGAUGAUAGAAACUUCACACGCACUUGAGAGUUUAGCAAGUUCAAAUCCGAUUGAUUGAUUGAUAUGCAGAAUACAAAUCUGAUUGAUUGACAUGCAGACCAUAAAAAAUGUGUAAUUUUCCGAUGUCUUCUGUUCUCGAUCGAUGCAAAGCUGACAUCGACGCAGACACUGCUUCCUGUACAUGAGAGCCGCAGAUGCUUGUUCAGAACUUCAGAUUUGUACAGUGAUGAAGUGACGAUCGAUCAGCUCCUCGUCCCCGUCCAAGGUUUCCAGAAACUCCAGCUCGCUGAAGCCGCCGCGUGUUUCCGUCUCCCUGGCCCUGCUAGCCACCAGACCACUGAUCUCUGACGACGACGACGUUCCAGUCGACGCCGGCGCCGCGGCGAACUCGCGUCCACCAUGUACAUGUGGCAAUCGCAAGCAUGGGGCUUGGCCUGCAAGCGCAGUCGGAAAGAAAGCCGCGGGCGGCCGCGCGUCGCCGCACUCGUCGUCGCAGUCGCAGUGCGCGGCGGCGCUAGCAAUGAUCUCGUCCUGCCUGUCGCGGAGCCACAAGUCAAGGCUAAGCGAGGACAGCGGCGAGGGUAGCCGCCUCCUCCGCGGCGUGCCGCGGCGGAGUGUCUCCUUGCAGUGGGCGAUGGCGCUCGCCACGGCCUCCGCGCGCUCGCGGGCCGUGUCGUCGACGGCGCCCCUGCGUGGCGCUGCCGCCGUUUCCUUGUUACCGGCCCUGGCCUUCCUCAGCCGCCGGGAGAUCCACCGCAGGUGCCUCCCCACCGCGUACCCCUUCGGCGCCACGCUCGCCGCCGGCGCCGCAUCCUCCUCGGCAUGGAUAUUGGACGCGCGCGCGAGGGCUUUGCUGGAGGUCCACAGCCGCAUCCCAGCGCCACCCGCGCCGAAGCACAGCGCCGAGGUGGAGGUGGAUGGGCUCCGCGGACCGGGUGUGCUGAAACUGAAGGCGUCGGCGCUCGACGAGGAGGACGCCGAUGAGGAGGAGCCCGAGUCUGUUUCCUUAUUAGUGCCGGCGCCGCCGGCCGCGCGGAACGACGGGGACGACGGCGAUGGGAAGUCAGGCUCGGAGGGUGCAGGCGUCGCGGCCGUGGCCACCGUCGUCGUGCCCACGGCGUACGGGGACAGCCAAUUCAUGGCGGCGGCUAGUGAGUGCCGGUGCCUCUCGUAGGAAUGGAGUUGGAGGAGUGCGUGUGCAUCGAUCGGUGCAUGCAUGGCAUUGUUCAUGGCAUGGCGGCGUGUCUUUAUAUUCACGUCGUCAUCAUUCACGACGGUGCGUCCUCCUGGAGAGUGGCAGAUGACAAGCAUUCUUGCCAGAAAUGGUUCGCUUGGGGGCGUGUGAGUAUAUGGAAGGUCCUUCCCAAAUCCAUGGCAGCAACAGCCAGUAGGGCAGUACUGUCAUUCCAUAACAGCAACACGCGUUCAAGGUUGGAAUUAAUUUCUGGUGGAGCAUGAUUUGCAAUCUUGCAUUAAUACGUCAUUCUUCAUGACCAUGUAUUUGAGUGAGGAAUUAUAUUUCCAGCACAGAAAUUAAAAUUAUGGGUACCGAUUUGAGGGGACCCGGCAAACAGUGAAGAGGAGCCAAAAGUGAUUCCAGGAAUAAAAUGUUAAGGAGCAAAAUGCUUGAGUUGGACACAUGAAAUGAAUUAUGCAAUGCUUGAAUUAAAAGUUGUGCAGCAAAUGGAUUUAAAUAUAGUAUUUACAAAAGUUGUCCUCAAAACUUUUUGUCAAUUACAAAGUACAAAUUAAUAACCUACAGCCUACUAGCGUAGUGACAUCAAAUGCUUUCCGAAUUAUUAAGAGCAAGUUUGGCAUACCACCACCCCUAGACCCAAGCAUGAUUUGAUGUUAAUCAGAUAGAAUAAAGUAUGUGUUUAAUCAAAUUUAAUACACAUCUCCUAUAAUUCAGGAGCCUGAACAGUUUUGUCCUUGUCUUUCCAUAAAAAAAUUGUAAUUUGUUUAUUGUGAUAUGUGUUAAUAGAUUUGGGCUGUUGGAUGGAAAUCUCAUGGUUGUAAGCUAUCGCUUGAAUAGAUGCUAUAUUUCAAGCACCUUAAAUAUAUAGCAUUUCAAAAUUUUAAUAAAAAUUGCUUAACUAAACUAAAUAUCUUCAGUGUGCCACAGCCCUCACCUCCAGCUCCAAGAAUUUUUGGAGCUAGACCGGCUCAGAGCGUGCUUACGCCUUUGUUAGAUUGAUGGAAAAACAACUUAAGCUGUGAUUAAUUAUGUAGCUUCUGGAAUACGUUCAGUGUUGAGCUGACACGAUUUUUUUUUAAUUCAUAUCUAAUCGUGCUUCCUUUCCAUAUCCAGCGGACUCUGCUUCCAGGACACAUGAGAUGAGAUCCGCUUCUUCAGAUCUCCAGUGAUGAAAUGGUGAUUGAUCAUCUCCUCGUCCCCAUCGAAUGUUUUCAGAAACUCCAUCUCGUCCAAGCUGCGGCUGCUCAUCGACGAUUCGCCACGGCAAUCUGCACGAAUGCAUGGAGAGCCAAUGCAACGCAUUAAACGAUAGACGAUGCCAGUGCAUCUGGAUUGCAUUCCAUGGUAUGCCGGCCGGGUGGCUAGCACUAGCAGAGACACCUAGUACCGUGGCCGUGAUGCGGUUCCGGUGACUCCUCGUCGUGCACGACGGCGCACGAGGCGGCGGCGAGCGAACUGUCCCGGCUUGGCGAGGCCGAGCACGGGCACGGCGACUCCUUGAAUCGCUUCGCCAUCGUCAGCAUCCCGAGGCCGGGCCAACCGGCGGCCCGGCGAGGACGCGGAGGUGAGGGCCCUGGGUCACUGCAGUCGUCGCAGUGCACGGCGGCGGUCGCGAUGAUCUCCUCCUGUCUGUCGUGGAGCCACUCGUCUAGGCUAGGCCGUGUCAUCAGCGGCGGCGGCCAUGGGUGAUGGUGACCCAUUACCGUCGCUCCUGGCCUUCCUCUGUCCCUGCCGAUCACGUCUCCUUUGACCUUGGGUGCCGCAUCCUGCUUCUGCGGCUGCUUCGCGGGCGCUCGCGCGCGGGAGCACCGCAGCAGCAGCCUCCUCCCGACGCCGACGCCGCCGCUAGCGCCGAAGCACAGCGGCGUAGUGGAGGGGCUCUCCUGGCGAGACCGGGACUUAAAGAAUCCGGAGUGGCGACCGUAGUCGCUCGACGACGAAGACGGGGAGGAGAGGGAGGAGCCCGAUCCGGCCGCAUUGGUGCUGGACGACGGGGACGACGACGCGCGGUCGAGCUCAGAGGAGUUGGCCGUGGCCAUCUCUACUGCAAAGCACUGGGCGCCGGGGAACAGGCACGCCGCGAGGAACUGGAUCAGCUGCAUGGCGGCCGGCGAAUGCUCGGCACGACGGACUUUUGGGUUUUAGUUUAGCGUGGCGCGGCAUCUCUUAUAUAUACAGGCAGUGAUCGAUCACGGGUCACGGCGGCGUCCCCUCCGAGAUGCCAGAAACGAACCAAGAGUGAGGCUAAUUUUUUUUUCGUGCUCAAUGCAGUACACUAAUAGAUAUAGCUAAGAUUGAUAAUUCAAUAUUGAUUCAAAGUGUUUAAAGGCAAAGAUUCAUAGAAUAAGCAUAGAAAAAUACCAAAUAUAUAGAAUCUUUUGCAAAAAAGAAAACUUGUUAAAAGAUUUUUGAGUCCAAGAGGGGGCUACAGCCACCCCAGCCACCCCCUUGGGUCCGCCAAUGCUUGUGCCUACCUAAAAAAACAAGCAUCCGGUAGUCUCGAACUGGAAGGCUCCUUCCAAUCCUUCCAAAUCCAUGGCAGCGGUUGCCUUCUUCUGUUUCCAUCUUCCAUAUACAUGGGCGUGGUUAAAUUACUCUACCAUAUUUCCAUUUCCGGAACCUAAACCUAACUAAUACUUAGUUGUUUCCAUUUGCUCAUCCGGUGAGGGCACUCACAAUGCAAGACUCUAUUAUAGAGUCCAAGACAAUUCAUUAUAUAUUAUUUAUAGUAUUUUCCUGAUGUGGCAGCAUAUUUAUUGAAGAAAGAGGUAGAAAAAAUAAGACUCCAAGUCUUAUUUAGACUCUAAGUCCAUAUUGUUCGAGGUAAUAAAUAAUUUUAGACUCUAUGAUAGAGUCUGCAUUGUAAGUGCCCUGAUAGAUCCUCAUCUUCUUCUGGCUCAACUCCCUUUUUCAUAUCCAAUGCAGGUUAGGUAUGCUUUAGCUUGAAAUCAUUAAAGAUAUGGUCGACCUCGUUUACAUCCAUGGUACCAUUGUAUGUACCUUCUACUAUCAUCCAGAUGAGAUAGGGAUUCAAAAGGUCAGAGCCAGUCUCCUCGUUCUUUUAGGUCGUUUAAUAGUUCCCCAAUCGGCUUUCUCGCCGAGAAAGCCUUCCUUCAUUAGAUUAAAAAACCACACUGAUAGAUCAUUAUUCAUUAUUAGGUCAUGUUUGCAUGCAUGUAUAUUCACUUCGCUCCACAUGUCUUGGAGUGAGUUAGAAUGUAAUUUAAUUCUACUCUAAUUCACUUCAUCACAUGUGGAUCGAGAUGAAUAUCAAUGCUUGACUGUAUAGUAGCCUUCCUAUGACUAUCUUCCAUGUCGCAGGGGCAAAGGCAGGCACGUUUGGUGCAGAGAUUGAUGACAUGGUCCAAAACGGGCUAGCCCAAUGGGCGGCACCAAACAUAGUCGUAUUAGACACGCCUUGGUAUCAUUGUUAACAAGAUCAGCCCAACCAUAGUGUUGUGUUGGGCCGCUUAUUUAGCCUACAUUGUAUGCAUGUGAAUAAAACAUUGGAAAACUUGGACCAAAACUGCGACGGUGAUGUCUUUGCUCUUUCUACUUAUAGAAAUUGCUCAGCGGCUUCCACCGUGUAAGGAAAAUGGACUAUCGACCCAUUUAGUUUGGAGUUUGGUAUUUGAUGAUCAAUAAGACCAAGUUGAAAAUGUAUUUGCAAGUGUUUAUUUUUUGAGUAAAAUACACUGACAACCCUUUAACUUGUCGCCAUGUGCCACUUUGGUCCAUGAACUUGCAAACGCGAAAAAGUGCCUCCUGAACUUGUCGAUCCGUGCCACAUUGAUCCAUGAACAUGCAAAUACGAGAAUAACACCGGCUGCAUGGCACUGUUCUGCCACAUGGCCGCCUCUGGUAGGCCAUGCAUAUCACCGUUUAUGGUGAUGAUGUCAGCACUUCUUUUUAAAUUUACGAAAUUGAUAUAUUUUUAUUUGUAGCGCCAAAUAUAUCAAUUUUAAUCGCCUCGUCGAGCUCUUUCUAAUGGUGUACUCUGUUUUGUUGUUUGAGAUAGUUUUAUUUAAACAUUUUGUACAUGUUGAUAUCGUCAUAAAACAUCUAUAAAUCAAUUUUCAUAAUUUUUUAAUAUUUAUUUUGGCCUACAAAAAAUCAUAAAAGUUGCAUUAUUAAUUAAAAGAGAUAAUUUUAAAACAAGCAAAAAUUAUUCGUUUUCUAGGUUUCAUAUUUUUCCAGCAGAGUACAUCAUGAAGAGGCUACACAAAACAUUGUAUUUUACACUUAUUUUUUAGUCCAAUAGGUUACCAACAUGACUUGGACAGAACAACAUGGUGAUCCACCUCAAGUAAGGCAUUUAGAAGCAUGUUUGAAGACUCAAUAGAUCAAGCAAAGUUCAAGCCACAACGUCAGAACCAAUCCGGACGCAAAAGAUUGCAAGAAAGAAAAAAAGGUAGGCGUCGGAUUGAUACAGUAAAGGGCGUCGGACCAGAUGUGACCACUAUAUUCACACUAUGGAGGAAACACAACAGGAGCAUCGGACCAUGCCUAGGCGUCAGACUGCUAUAGUACCAUUGGACCGCUACAGUACCUAGCUAGGCGUUGUACCGCUACAGUGUGUAGUCCGAUGGUGGUUUGGUUUGGGUUCUCCUGAGAGGUGUGCCAGGCGUCGAACGUAGUCCGUGGAUGGGGUGUCAGACUAGUCCGACAGUGAUCCCGCAUGUCAGCCUUAGGCGCACAACAACGGUUGGCAGCAAUGGCUACUGACACAGUGACCGUUGCAAGGCGUCAGACUGCUACAAUAUUAGUCUAAUGUUACAGUGCAACUCGUCUGACAGUAUGUAGAAUUGUCCAUCCAAGCUACCAAUGACUCUAUUUGCAAUGGGGGCUAUAAAUAUGAGUUCCAACCAGCCAAAUAAGGUGCAGAGGAGUAAGGAAAUAUACAAAGGGUGUUGAUACACUAUUUUCAGUGCUAUCCACAUGCAUAGUGCUUAGAAAAAAAAUCGGUGAUUAGUGUAUGUGUUUUUGCGAAGAGCUUAGGUUAGUUAGAUCACACUCGUAUGCGCUUGCUCUAGGUUUAGGUAUAGGUUGAGUGAGGUUUGCACUCCUCUUACCUUUGUUGAUUGUGUGCACCAUUGUUGUACAUCUCAGAGGAUUGUAAGUCUUGCGGGACAAUACCAAUUGUGUUUCUGGUGUGCCUGCCACCGUGUACGGAACAAGGUAUGUGGCGUUUUGGCCAGAAGCUUGAUAGCGAAGACAACGGAGAGCAUCUAGGAGAGGCUUAGCAGAAGGCACGUCAAAGACCCACUUGCGCGUGGGAAAGGUCCUAGGCUAUCCACAAAGUUACCCGAUCAGGAUUUUGGCUCUUGCGAGGGUUACAAAGACAGGGAGAAACAUGAGCUUCUUAAUACCUCGGUAAAAACACUAGAGUCACUGAUAGGAGUUUGCAUCUCUAUUGUUCUUUUAUCUUCCGCAUUAUAUUAUGUAGGUUAGUUAUGUGCUUACUUUCCUAACUUAGUUUGAUAGGCUAGUUGAUAGAAUUGGAACCUAGGGUGCAUAACUCUUUUGCGAUAGAGAUAGCAGCACACCUAGCAAAAUCAUAGGGCCUGUUUGGUACAGCUCACAACAGCUUCAUGAGCUGUUGUGAGCUGUUUUUUUUUUGCCAAACACUUAUUUCCAAAACAGCUUCAUGGGUGAAGCUGUUUUUCCCCUCCUCUCACAAAAACAUAAGUUGUAUGAAGCUGAAAAAUAGUAGCUUAUUGUAGCUUCUCCCUCAUUUCUCUCUCUCAACUAUGCAUGAAGUAGUUGGUGAAGCUAUUUUGCCAAACACUUUUUCCAAAACAGCUUAGCUUCAUCUAGAAAGUCACUCAUGAAGCUAUUUUCUAAAAAAACAGCUUCACUAGUGAAGUUGAGCUGUGCCAAACAAGCCCAUAGUUGCACAAUUAGAUAGUUUAUUUAUUUGCAUAGAUUUUGUUAAAGUACAAAUUAGACUCCGUAGUUGCCUAAUUCACUUUCUCUCUUAGGUGUCACGGUCCUUACACAUCACUUUAUGUUCCGUUCCGGAAAAGUUUACAGUCUUGGUAUUCUUUACUGCGGUCAGGCUGGUAUUUCAUUCCCUCCAAUCAGAAUUGUAGUUGGUGUCCAGUUAGCUCAGCCGCCUGUUCUUUGCUGCUAUGUGUUGUUUGCCAAGGAGUCGUGUUACGUGUGCGUGGAAUACUUCGGAUUUGGCCAAGGAGUCGUGUCACGUGCGCGUGGAAUACCUCGGAGACGUAACCUGUCAGUAUUCAUGGGCACAUGCUAACUGCAGCAUAUCUUUUGUUUCGCCCGACUUGGUGCUCAGAUUGCGUUGAUCACCAAUUCUCACCAGCGUUGGUGUUGAUUGGUGAAAGGGAGGCAGAUGGAGUCAGUCGCCGUGGUGACCGUUCCCUUCCCGGCGCAGGGCCACCUGAACCAGCUCCUGCACCUGUCGCUGCAGCUCGCGUCGCGGGGCCUGCCCGUGCACUACGCGGCGCCCGCGGCGCAGGUCCGCCAGGCCCGCGCGCGCGUGCACGGCUGGGACGAGGACGCGCUCCGCUCCGUCGAGUUCCACGAGCUCGGCAUCUCCGAGUACGUCUCCCCGCCGCCCGACCCCACCGCGCCCUCGCCCUUCCCCACGCACCUCAUGCCCCUGUUCGAGGCCUACACCGCCGGCGCGCGCGCCCCGCUCGCGGCGCUCCUCGCCAGGCUCUCCGCCUCGCACCGCCGCGUGGUCGUGGUGCACGACCGCGUCAACGUGUACGCCGGCGAGGAGGCCGCGCGGCUGCCCAACGGCGAGGCGUUCGGGCUCCACUGCCUGGCGGCGUCGACGCUCGCCGUGACGACGGGCGCCGGGCUCCGUCUCCUGCGUGAGCGCGGCCUGGCGUUCCUCGACUUCGCGCACUCCACGUCGAGGGAGUUCGCGGAGUACGUCGCCAAACGCGCGAUGCCGACCAAGGAGAUCUCGCCUGGCGCGGGCAUCCUCGUGAACUCAUGUCGCACGCUCGAGGGCGAGUUCGUGGACGUCGUUGCAGGCGACCUUGCCGCCGACGGCAAGAAGUACUUCGCCAUCGGGCCCUUAAACCCACUGCUCCUCCACCUCCGCGCGGACUCCCAGAAGCCGCGUCACGAGUGCCUGGACUGGCUGGACAAGCAGCCACCGGAUUCGGUUCUCUACGUGUCGUUCGGCACGACAUCGUCGCUGCAGACGGAGCAGAUCGCAGAGCUUGCAGCAGCGCUGCGCGACAGCGACCAGCGGUUCGUCUGGGUGGUGCGCGACGCAGACCGCGGCAACGAAUCGGCGGACGACGACGAGAGCCAGAACAACAGACACGCGGAGCUGCUGUCCAAGUUCACCAACCAGACCCGAGGGAGGGGCAGGGUGAUCACCGGGUGGGCGCCGCAGCUGGAGAUACUGGCGCACGGCGCCACGGCGGCCUUCAUGAGCCACUGCGGCUGGAACUCGACUAUGGAGAGCCUGAGCAACGGGAAGCCUAUCCUUGCGUGGCCCAUGCACUCCGACCAGCCGUGGGAUGCGGAGCUGGUGUGCAAGUAUCUCAACGCCGGCAUCCUUGUGCGCCCCUGGGAGAAGCACGGUGAGGUGAUUCCGGCGGAGGCCAUCAGACAAGUAAUCGAGGUUGCCAUGCUUUCUGACCAAGGAGUGGCAGUGCGGCAGCGAGCCAAGGUGCUCGGAGAGGCCGUCCGUGCCUGCCUGACUGACGGCGGCUCAUCGCGCAAAGACCUUGAUGAUUUCAUUGCUCAUAUCACAAAGUAACCGUCUAGUCGAAGUUAAAAUUUUAUCGAAUACUUUGAAAUUUGUUCUUAGUUGCCGGAUGGGCAACAAUCUCAAGCCUCUAAGAGCAGAGCCUAGAGCUAGGCGAAUAAGAGCUUUUUACCUGUAUGCCAUUAUAAAAGUUCAAAAUAAUUUGUGCAUCAUCGAAGUUUUAAAAAGCUCCCUACUACAGUUGUAUAAAAUUUUCUUUCUCCAUGUGCCACUUCGGUUAAUUUCGCUUGUAACAGCAGGUAACGGCCAGCGGAAAAGACGAUUUUGCCCUUGAUAAUAAAAUGCAUCAAAUUUUUUGUUCUUUCCUUAGGUUCACUAUAUUCGAUUCAAAAAAUCACCCUUUUCUCUGACUAUUAUGAUUCAAAAUUUUGUCAUAAUGGUACAGAGAAAAGGGUGAUUUUUUUUAAUCAUAGGAAUAUAGUGGCACACUGGCACCUAAGGAAAGAAUGAAAAAUUUGAUGCAUUUUACAACUGAGGGCAAAAUUGUCUUUUUAGUUGGCCAUUACAUGCUGUUACAAGCAAAAUUGAUUGAAGUGGCACCAGGGAACGAAAAUUGUAUACAAGGAUACUGAGGAGCUUUUUCAAACUUUAAUAGUAUACAAGUCAUUUUAAACUUUAAUAAUGGCGCACAGGUAAAAAGCUCGACCAAUAAACGUGUAAUGGGUUUAGAAUGGGUAAACAUAUACAUAGUUGUUAGCACUGAUCGGGUAAGGAGAGGAUAUCAAUUGUAUGGACACCAAUUUUUUUCCCCAAGCUACGCAUAACUAACUCGUCUCCAAACCAGCAAAACUCAACUCGCUAAGGAAAAACUCUAGACAAGAAAAACUCUAUCUAGAAAAAGAACCACAACCACAACUUGCCAAGGGCCUUAACACUGAGCACACUUACAAUAUCACACGGUCCUGUCGCUGCAACAGCCCCAUCCGUCUCUCUUUUACUAUACUAGUAGCCAUGACACAUGCCAAACGUGUUUAAAAAAAGGAUUUUAUAUGUAUAUCAUUAUAAAAGUUAAUAUUUGUCUAUAAGUCAUUAAAAAAGUUACGCUUUUAGAGGUGCCACUGUCCCGAACUCUUUUGCUCUCUACGGACUCUAACGGUGUUAAACUGCAGGUAUAAAAAGUUAAAAAUAUCCUCAUGUUUAAGUAUCCAAUUAAUUUUUUAAGCAUUUUAAUGAUCUCAAAUGUGAAAAAAACUCAAAACUAGAACUUUUUAAAAAAUCCACAGAUUAUCUAGAGCUAGACCUUUGCCAAAAAGAGGCUAAAGCUGGUUAAUUCUCUAGCUCCUGGAAGCUGGAAUCCGUUCAGUGUUGGUAAUAUACUAAGCUGUCAAGAAUUUCCUUUUCAUAUAUAAUCGCUUUCUUUUCAUAUCCGGCGGACUCUGCUUGCCCGCUUCUUCAGAUCUCCACAGUGAUGAAAUGGUGAUUGAUCAUCUCCUCGUCCGCAUCGAAUGUUUUCAAAAACUCCAUCUCGUCCAAGCUGCUCAUCGACGAUUCGCCACGGCAACCUGGACGUAGAGCCAACGCAUUAGACGAUAGACGUAGCCGGCGCAUCAGGGAUUCAGGGUUGCAUUGCAUGGGAUGCGCGGGUGGCUAGCUAGCAGAGACAACCUACCGUGGCCGUGAUGCGGUUGCGGUGACUCCUCGUCGUGCGCGACGGCGCACGCGGCUGCGGCGAGCGAACUGUCCCGGCUUGGCGAGGCCGAGCACGGGCACGGCGACUCCUUGAAUCGCUUCGCCAUCGUCUGCAUCCCAAGGGGCCAUCCGGCGGCCCGGCGAGGACGCGUCGGCGAGGACCGUGGGUCACUGCUGCACUCGUCCCAGUGCACGGCGGCGGUCGCGGUGAUCUCCUCCUGUCUGUCGUGGAGCCACUCGUCAAGGCUAGGAGAGGGUGGCGGCGGCGGCGGGGACGGCGACCGCGAGCGCGAGCGCGAAUUGCCCCGCCGGAGCGUGUCCUUGCAGUACGAGAUGGCGCGGGCCACGGACUCGGCCCUCUCGCGGGCCGUGUCAUCAACGGCGGCGGCCAUUGGUGACGGCGAUCCCUUACCGUCGUCGCUCCUGGCCUUCCUCAGUCUUCUCGAAAUCUUGCGCAGGUACCUCCCGACCACAUCUCCCUUGAUCUUGGGCGCCAUGGUCGCCGCAGCCUGCGGCUGCUGCUUCACGGGCGCUCGCGCGCGGGAGCCCCGCAGCAGCCUCCUCCCGGCGGCCGCGGCGCCGCUGCCGCCAGCGCCGAAGCACAGCGGUGUCGUGGAGGGGCUGUCCUGCCGGGACCGGGACUUAAAGAACCCGCGGUGGCCGUCGCUUGACGAUGUCGAGGACGGGGACGAGAGGGAGGAGCCCGAUCCGGCCGCACUGACGCUGGACGACGGAGACCACGACGCGCGGUCGUCGAGCUCAGAGGAGUCGGCCGUGGCCAUCUCCACUGCAAAGCACUUGGCGCCGGGGAACAGCCACGCCGCGAAGAACUGGAUCAGCUGCAUGGCGGCCGGGCGGCGAAUGCUACCGAUCGAGCACGACGGACUUUUGGGUUCUAGGCUUUUAGCGGCGGCGCGGCAUCUCUUAUAUAUACAUGCAGCGAUCGAUCACGGCGGCGUCCCCUCCGAGAUGCCUCCUUGCCUACCUAAAAAACAAGCAUCCGGUGAUCUGCAACUGGAAGGCUCCUUCGAGUCCUUCCAAAUCCAUGGCAGCAGUUGCCUUCUUCUGUUACUAUCUUCCAUAUCAGCGUGGUUAAAUUACUCGCUCACUGUUGGAUCAUUAUUAGGGUCCACGGGAAGUUAAAAAGAAAUUGGCCAAUGCAUGGCUGUAUAGUGGCCUUCCUGUGACUAUCUUCCAUGCAUAUCGCAGGGGCAGGCGCAGUCGGUGCAGAGUUUGAUGAUGCCAUGAUUCUAAUUCCCCGUCACAUCAAAUCUUUAGACGCAUGCAUGAAGUAUUAAAUGUAGACGGAAAUAAAAACUAAUUGCACAGUUUGGUCGGAAUUGACGAGACGAAUCUUUUGAGUCUAGUUAGUAAAUGAUUAGAUAAUAUUUGUCAAAUACAAACGAAAGUAGUACUAUUCCUAUUUUGCAAAAAAAAUUUGGAACUAAACAAGGCCUAGGCUAAUAUCAAUAGAAUGUUUCAUCUCUUAGUUUUCAAGACGUAGAGUUUAAUAUGAAACGGUUCUCUAUUAGUAUAUAGUUUCAUCAUUACAGAUUUACAGUUAUAGAUUUAAAUCUAAAUAAAUCUAUAACUAAGUUAUAAAUGAUCUAAUGCCUAUAAAAUUUUUUAAUAUAAUUUAAGCAUAUAAUAAUUAGCCUACUAUAAAAGUUUUAGUAUGAUUAGAUCAUAGAAACUGCAAAUAUGAAUUAAUUAUAGAAAAGCAUAGACCUAAAGGUACAGCAGAAACUUUGUACUAAAAUAUAUCAUGUUAUAUGUUUAUUGUGUAGAUCUAUCCAUCUGAGUCCAACAAAAUUAAAUUUUUUAUUUUAUGAUUUUUUGUGAUUUACUAUAAUUUUUUAAAGAUUCAGCAAAAUAAAUAAAUAAAAAAAGACAAAACCGCAUUCAAAACCGCCUACAACUAGACCACUGAGGUAAAAUAAAUAGUUUUAGAAGUUGAGGGACGUGAUUUGCCCAAAUUUGGAAUUCAUAAAAGAAAAAACUGACUUUUACAAAAGUGAGCUAAUAUGGACUUUUUCCCAUUGUUAAUGUCAGCCCAAGCAUAUGGACUUUUUCCCAUUGAUGAUGGGUUGGGCCACUCAUCAGCCUAUAUUGUCCUCAUGUGUGAAUAAAGCAUUGGACUCUCCAUUGGGUCCGUGCACGACGAUGUCUUUGGUCACUUUCUCACGACACGCAUCUCACGUGCAUUAUUAUGGCCUUGUUUAGUUCGCAAAAAUUUUCAAGAUUCUCCGUCACAUCGAAUCUUUGGUCGUAUGCAUGGAGCUUUAAAUAUAGAUGAAAAUAAAAACUAAUUGUACAGUUUACCUGUAAUUUGUGAGAUGAAUCUUUUGAGCCUAGUUACUCCAUAAUUGGACAAUAUUUAUCAAAUAAAAGCAAAGGUGCUACAGUAGCCAAAAACCUUAAAUUUUGCCAACUAAACAAGGCCUAUAUAUAUGUCGACGCCGGAAUUUCACAGUCACACGCCACUUCCUGUACGAUGCAAGCACACGCACGUGCCAUCAUGCUCGUACACCAUAGUGGGCCUAGUGGCCUGCAGUUUUCCGCGUGAACUGAGCAGCUCGCUUGCACGGGCGCACCGCGCACAUCACACUCCAUGGCGACGUGUUCUCUAAAUCUAAACAGCGAGGUAUACUUAUACUGUUCAUAUCAGACUAGCUACGGUCAGACUAGCGGCCGAGUCGUAGAUAAACUCGUGUAUGGAUAAAUUUUCUUGUGCAGUGUUCUUUUAGCCUGAAUAUCCCAUACGAUAUUUUUUGGAUGACAAUUCUCCAAUGUCUCAAACCUAAUUCGAAUCUAUCACCACCAUGUUCUGCCUUAAAUACUACUCCCUCUAUUCUAAAAUUAUAAGAUGUUUGACUUUUUAUCACAAGUUUGAUCACUCGUCUUAUUCAAAAAAUUUAUGCAAACAUAGUCAAAUUUAAGUCAUUCUUGAAGAAAUUUUAUUAAUAAACCAAGCCACGAUAAAAGAAGUGAUAUUUUUCACAAAUUUUUUAAUAAGACGAAUGGUCAAACUUGGUGUCAAAAAAAUUAAGCGUCUUAUAAUUUGGGAUGGAUUGAGUAACUGUGUAUAUGAACAAUCAACCAUGUACAAGACAAUUCAUAAAUUAAUUUAGAAUCAAUCCCAACAUCACUUGCUUUAUUUUAAUGUACUUCCUAUAAAUUGUAAGUUAUUUUUGUUUUUUCUACUAUGUAUCUUGAUAUAUACUACUCCUCCGUACUCACAAAGAAAGUCGUUUUGGAAAGGUUUGGGUUAAACAUUGGGAAUAUAAAUCAUAAAUAAUUUUUAAGUUGUUGAGUUUGAAAAUGUAAAAACCAUAUGAAUAGAUUUGUCUUGAAAAACACUUUUAUAAAAUUGUACAUAUACACUUUCUCAUAUAUAUUUUUAUAAAAACAAGGAGUUAAAGUUAGGCUUUGGAGACCGUGUUACUGUCUUAAACGACUUUCUUUAUAAGUAUGGAGAGAAUAUUAUAUCUAGAUACGACAUACCAAAAACUAUAUAUUUAGAAAAAAUAGAACAGAGAAAGUACUAGAAACCAACAUAUUUGUAGUCUUGUACAUGAACAAAUAUCGUGUACUAGUUACUUUAUAAAACUAUUCAUAAGACGCUUUAAUAUUUCUACUAGAUACAUAAUUAUUUUUUAGAUAUAUCCGGAUGCUGCGUAUAUCGAAGUAGUAAAAGUUCUGAAAUUUUUUUGGUUUUCGAUACUUAUAGCAUUUUCGUUUUUAUUUGACAAUUAUUGUCCAAUCAUAUAAUAACUAGACUCAAAAGAUUUAUCUCGUGAUUUACAGGCAAAAUUUACUGCAAGAUCGAUGCGAUAGAGAAUCUUACAAAAUUUGUAGUUUUUUUGGUAAACUAGACAAAGCCCUAGUAGGAAAGCUAAAAACGUUGAAUAAUUUGGAUGGGAGGCGGAGAUUUUCAUCACACGAUCGAUACCAUAAAUAACCCGUUUCUGCAUAUUUAGAUUGAGCUGUCGCUCUCAUGUCUUCUGGUGGAGCCACAGGGUAGCAUCCGCGAAGCACUUCCUGUACCUCUCCAUAGCCGCCGGCUGCAGAGAGACCCCCACCUCUAUCCCGCCGUCGCCACUCCGGCUCUCCGCCACCGCCACUGCGCCGGUCCUCGCCACGGACACGAUGUCCACCUUCGCCGGCCGGCCGAAUCCGAAGUCCAGGUCGUAGACGCGGAACCUCGGCGAGCCGGCCACGGUGAGUAAACCCAUCGGGAGCACCUCCCUGAUGCGGUCCAUCCACGCGUCCAUGCUCGACGUCCCGAUGUCGCGUACAGCUUCGUCGAUGGCGGACGCGACGGCGGCGCACGCGCUGAAGAGCCCUCCUGCGCCGGCCGCGGCCAGCUCGCCCGUUGGUGCCAGCGCGAACGCUGGGCCGACGCAGUUGCCCAGGUACUUCUCCGGCAGGGGAGGCUUCAUCCGCGACCGGUGGUCGACGGGGAAGGCCAUGCAGGCCAUCGAGCCCUCUCCGGCGCCGCCGCCGCUUCCCUCCUUGCCUCGCUGGUAGCACGACCAGACGAGGCCGAAGGUGGCAACGAGAGACGAGCACCGGGGCGGCGCGACGCCGCGCCGCGCAGCCUCGUCGGCCACGGCGUCCUUGACGCGCUUGAGGUCGUCCUUGGACAGUGUGAACGUGGCGAAGAGCUGGUCGGCGGACAUCUUGACGAACUCAUACUCUUCACUGCUCGGCGCGGUUUGGACAAAGGCGUCGUACAGGCGCCUUGGGUCGGCGAGGAGAGUCCGGUCGAUGACAGGCGGCGGCGGCGAUUCGGCGCCGCCACCUCUGCAGGUGGCCGCCCAGGUGUGCAGGAAGUGCGUGGAGCCCGAGCCGUCGCAGGCGGCGUGGUGCAGGGUGACGCCGAUGGCGAGGCCGCGGCGCGCGGGAAGGAGCGUGGCCCGAACGGCGAGCAGCCUUCCGCCCCGCGGCAGCGUCGGCACGAGCGCGGCGAUCUUGGCAACCUCCCGGGGCUCGUCGGUGGCGAGGGCGUCGAAGUGCGCGUCGCCGUCCACGUCGUCGUCGCACUCCGCGACGGUGAAGGUGACGGCGUCUCCCGGGCGGUAGUGCAGCUCGUAGCGGUCGGACGUGCCGGGGGUGAGGCGGACGCGGCCGGCGAGCGGGUAGAAGGCGGCGAGGGCCUUGUGCAAGGAGCUCCGGAGGUUGGAGAUGAUGGCUUCGACGUCAGCGUCGUGGGCGAGGCGGUAGAGGAAGAGGCGCUCGACGGGAUGGGACUGGAGCCAGAAGACGUCGAAGAAGGUGAGCGGGAGGGAAGUCUCCGGCGGUGACGGAGACGGCGGCACGAGGGUGGUGUCGUGUACGUGUACGCGGAGGCGAGGAGAUGUCGAGCCCGUCGUCGAGGAGGCCCCUGCCCCUGCCCCUGCAGGUGGCUGCUGCUGGUCUGGCGCCAUGGCCAUGGAUCAACGUCGGACGAGCUUGCGCGGCAGGCAGUGGGCAGUGGGUGACAAUUGGAGAGCUGAAUAGUUGUAGUGGACAGAUAGAUAUACCAGAUGAAAGGAGAAAGGCCAUGCGAGGUUGAUAUAUAGGGUCAGUGGUGGUUGGCUGCUGAAAAUUUGCCGCCUCCAGGCUCCAGCAGCCUCCGGGUCCCGCCGUACGUCCCGGGCUUGUUCCUAACAGCUACCUUCGCAAUGAUUCCAAUCUUCUGGACGGAACGUAACGUCAUCCAUGACCACAGAAAAAAGCACCUCAAUUUGGGCCUUGUUUAGUUCACCCAAAAUCCAAAAUCUUUUCAAAAUUUCCCGUCACAUCAAAUUUUUCGGUAUAUACAUGGAGCACUAAAUAUAGACACAAAUAAAAACUAAUUGCGUUAGAUGAAUCUUUUAAGGCCUUGUUUAGUUGGCAAAAUUUUUUGUUUUUGGUUACUGUAGCAUUUCGUUUUUAUUUGACAAACAUUGUCCAAUCACGGAGUAACUAGGCUCAAAAGAUUCAUCUCACAAAUUACAGAUAAACUGUUUAGUUAGUUUUUAUUUUCAUCUAUAUUUAAUGCUCCAUGCAUGCGACCAAAGAUUCGAUGUGACAGGGAAUCUUGAAAAUUUUUGCGAACUAAACAAGGCCUAAGCCUAGUUACUCUAUGAUUGGACAAUAUUUGUCAAAUAAAAACAAAAAUGCUACAGUUCCGAAAACCAAAAAAAUUUCAAAAUUAAACAAGGUCUUGUUUUUAAAAAAGAAAAGAGAGGAGAUGACAACUGAACAUCUUUCUCUCUUCCAUCUAUUUUAUAUACUCUCUUAAUUUCUAAAUUAUUAGAUAUUUUGCUUUUUCUAUAUAUAUAUAUAUAUUAUGUUUAGGCAUAUAUUAUGCCUAUAUUAUAUGCAAAAAAUAUAUUUAAAAAGUUAAAACAUCUUAUAAUUUAAAAUUAAAUUAAAGGAGCAGUUUAUUUUCUUUUGUUGCACCACCUUUAAGAGUAUUUAUUGAUAUAUAUCUAUAUUUAGGUCUACCAAUAUGUAUAUCUAUAUUUUAUCUCGCCAUUUAGCUGUCCAUAGUCCACACACCAUCCACUAGCACAUACAAUUAUGUCUUUCUUUAAGCUAUUCAGUAAACCAUAUCAUUCGCUAACAUAUAUUUAGUUGACGAGUGUUAAAUCAUCUACUAACAUAUAAUAUUUAUUUAUAUAAAUAAAUGUAAGUAGUUCAAGUGUCAUUUGCACAACAACGCGCUAAUUUUGUCAUAAGGAGAUGAUUUUUCAACAACUGGAUGGGUUUUCUAGUACAAUAUUUCCUCCGUUCACAAAUAAAGUCAAUCUAACUUGUUCUAAACCAGACCUUUUUAACUUUAUUAUUUAUCAAAAAGAUGCGUUCUAGUCAGACUAAAAAGAAUUGGAACUAAAGUUAACAAAGUUUACUAUGCAAUUGUAUUUGUCAUUGGAGUUGGACUUGACCGUGCUGUUUGCAGGCAAGUUGUGGCAAUAAUCCUUUAGCAUGGUCUAAGACAUAAUACCGUGCGGGGCCGUGUUGUGUCUAGGAUCCCAACAAAAUAAGCAGGACACACCAUAUUUUGUAUUGACACAACUCACAUUUUGAAUCAUGUUUGGACCAACAUGGUAUGAAAAUAGCACAUAAGCACAUUAUAACGCUACAAUAUAGUGCGUACCUCUUCUCUAAUUCUUAAAUGGAUACAAAAAAAUCAUUAUUUUUUAUAAAAAUAGUAUAUGCAAAAUAUAUCUUAUCUUAUACUUUUAUAAAGCUAAACCCCACUAGAGAUUUCUCUCAACAUGCAAGCUAUCCACAUCAACAAUCCACUAAAACUUGCAUUUAUAGCCAACUAGCACAUAUAAUUAUGAUAGUCAUCUCUUCAUCUAUUAACAUUCAUUUAGUUGUUCAUAUUGAUGUGUCAAAUCAUUCAACAAAAUUAAUUUAAGAUAAUUUUAUUCAUAUAACUCUAAAUAUAAAUAGUCUAAUUUCUUUUUAAAUUAUCUGAAAUUCCCACAGUAACACGCGGAGUAUUCUUCUAGUUUUCUAUAUGCAAGUUGACCAAGAAAAUAAGGAAAGAUAUUUUGUGAGCCCAGCUUAAGCCAACACGGUACGAAGGAGACCGGGCAUACUUGCGCUAAAACAAAGAUUUAUGAGCCCAACAUACUCAUGCAAUAAAUAUAUAUUUUAGGGUUGGACACGGAAUCAAGGAGGAGUGCAAAAUCCAUGGUGCACGGAAAAUAAAGCAAAAGGCAUUCUGUUUCAAAUUAUAAAUUCCUUUUGAUUUUUUUGGUAGUUUAAUUUUACUAUGUAUCUAGAUACAACAUACUAUGUCUAGAUACAUAGCAUACUCUCUAUACUAAAAUGGUUAAAACAACUUAUAAUUUGAAAUGGAGGGAGUAUUGGAAAAAACAAAAGGGCAAUUGAAAAAAGAAAGAUAUAUUCAAAAGUGAGAACAUCAAAUAUUUUAGGCUUUGUUUAGUUCCAAAAAAUUUUAGAAAAUCGACAUUGUAACACUUUUGUUUGUAUUUGACAAAUAUUAUCCAAUCAUGGACUAACUAGUCUUAAAAGAUUCGUCUCGUUAAUUCCAACCAAACUGUGCAAUUAGUUUUUAUUUUCGUCUAUAUUUAAUACUCCAUGCAUACGUCUAAAGAUUCGAUGUGAUGAAUAUUUUGAAAAAGAUUAAGUAUUUCAAGACGAAGGGAGUACCUUGCAUGCCUAAACGGUAGAAUUGCACGAAGCACAAGAGUUGCCGGCGGCCCAAAUCUUACCUAUAGUCAAAAUAAGCUUUUUUUGAACUAAAAGCCAAAGUGAAAAUAUGACUGACCUUUGGAGUUGGAGCAAAGGAACGUGCAUUUGUCAAUGAAGCGGAUCGGUGAAAAGAAAUCCGAUAGCUUCGUUGAGAUUCGUCGCCAUAGAAACGGUCCAAAAGAAAGCGACUAUAUAUCUCCUUUCGUAGAAAAAAAAGAGAGUAUCAUUACGAGAUUGGUACAGAUUAUACCUGGGCAUGCAGCCCGAGCCCGUGAGCACGGCCCGAAGCCCGUCAUUUUGGCCCGGCCCUAGCCCGGCCCGGCCCGAAAGUCAUUGGGCUCGGGCUGGCACGGCACGGGGCUGCAGGCCGUGCUUGGGCCGCACUUCAGGCCCACGGGCCGGCACGGCCCGGUCCGUCAAAUAACAACAUUGUAUAAAAUAACUCAUUUUAAUAUCUAAAUCUAUUCUCUACAUCUGUCAUAUGUAUUUGAAUGUGUUCUUUAUACUGAUGAAGUGAUGAAUUGAUGAAUGUGUUUGAAAUAUGCUUUUAAAUCUGUGUUUAUUGAUAUGUUAUUGUUCAACGGGCUAUGGGCUGGCCCGGCCUGACGGGCCCGCCCGGUACGCAAAAUGGCCCACGGGCCCGUGCCUGGGCCGGAGGUCAGGCCCGCAGGCCGGUAAGGCACGGCCCGCAGGGCACGACGGCCCCCCUCGGCCCGUUAGGCAACGUGCCGGGCCGGCCCGGUGUCGUGCCGGGCCGGGCCGGGCCGGCCCGUUGCCCAGGUAUAGUACAGAUCAAUCUUUUAUUUUUUAGAGUCUAGGAACUUAUGCUUGGGAGUAUACAACAUUGUGGGCCUAUUUGUUUUUCCUGGCUCAUAGGCCCAACCAGCCCAGCAGGCUGCAAUGCAACUGCCCCUGCGCCGGCUGGAUCUGCUCGCCGUGGCUUAUAGAAGUUUUGCGACCGUCUUCUCCGUCUCCACGACCGGCUUCAUCGCCCUCUAGAGUCUGGAUCGCACCUCACGCGAGACGUACACCCAUGGCGCUGCGGCUUCUGGGAACCAAGCUUUCAAAGCGAGUCUUGCCAUGUCAUGACCUCUUGAAGGGGCUGAGGCCGCUCCAUGCACGGCCUAUAUUAUAAGACGGCUGUCAGCUCGUCGGUAGGCGCUUGCUUGCUCUGCCUGCUGGAUGCCAUUGCAAUUCAGCCUGUGGCCUAGAUUGUUCCCUGACAGUCAGCAUCUAAAAGUCUCAGGAUUUGAUCAUUGAUUAUUUGAUUACGAUUUCACGCAAAUUCCGCCCAAACAAUCCGGCUUGCGUCAACGGGGUUUCUUCAUUUUUUCAGGUAGAGGACAGCUUCGCCUCUGGUUACCCACCUAGAGCGAAGAGGCUCAUGCCUAGUUCCCUUGCACUAUCUUUCAAAUCUUUUAAUGUUGUCGAAAAUUUCAUGCGUACUACAGCUUCGUAGGUUGCAUUAGGAUUACAUUGCAACUUAAAUAUUGAUGUGCUGGAAGGAUGAUGGGUUCUUUUUUUUUUGAGGAAACAGGAUGAUGGGUUCUCAUCUGCAAUAUUUUUGUUUGCACAGUUCAAUUAGUUAUAUGCAUCAAUUAACUGAUGUGAUCUCUCAUUGUCUGUUUUAUUUUGAUUCUGAUCACAUUUUUCACUUAUCAGGCCCUGCCCGGCACUUCUUUGAUUCAUGGAAAAAGAAACUUUGCUUCAGGCCCUUCUACCACUGAAAACGUUCUGAAGGUAUACUGUUGAACUCACAUUUCUUCCUGGAAGGGCACUCACAAUCCAGACUUUAUCAUAGAGUCUAAAGUUAUUUAUUACCUCGAAUAAUAUGGACUUAGAGUCUUAUUUUUUCUACUUCUUUCUUCAAUAAAUAUGCUGCCACAUCAGCAAAAUAUCAUAAAUAAUAUGUUAAUUAUCUUAGACUCUGUGAUAGAGUCUUGCAUUGUGAGUGCCCUAAUAAUAACAGCAUUAGUUGAACACUUCUCAAAUGACUACCAAGCGUACAGGAGGAACAGAUAAAAACGCUUGUAAGAAGAUUUGUCGGACAUGUUGUUAGGCCAUCCUCAAUGAGAGUUUUAUGACACAGUUUCCAAUACAUCAAUAUUUUAGAAACAGUGCAUAGGAGUUUUAUGAGGAUGAAACUCUCUCUACUCCCAUGAAACUCUUAUCAUCUCCCUCUUCAUUAAUAUAGCGCCACAUCAGCAUAUUUAAUGUGCAUAAAACUCUAAUGUAACUCUCAUUGAGACUGGCCUUACAGACCAUUCUAACGUCCUUGCAUUGUUGGAUAUAGUGUGAUUAAUUAAUUAAUUAAAUAAUAACAUGGAUAAAGUUUUAAUCAGAUUGCUAAAUAACAGCAGUUUCAUGUUACCAAUCUUACUGAAAAGGUUCGUCUAAAGAAAACAUACUAAUAAAAAGAUCUCCUAAGCAAAUAUUUUUACAGAAGAGAUGUCUCGCCAAGAAGUUAACUUUUGAUAGCAACUAUGAUAUAACUUGGUUUAAUGAUUGAUUGACAACUGUCGACAUGCCUCGUUACUUUCAAGACAAGAGAACCUGCUAAGCAUGCUGAAUGGUCCAACUAAUUAGAGCACUUCCAAUGGUUUGACAAUUUUGGUUUGGUAUUUGUUGUUGUUUGCCAACUCCUAAUUGCAAAUGCAAAGGAAAAAAUAUGGCCAUCCCUAAUGGUUUGUCAUUUUGGACUUGGCAAUUACCUAGUGGCGAUCGCUCAGCUGCGUGGAUGCAAUGGCCGCUCGCGUGUUUCUGUCCAGACGCGCGCGAUCUUCAGGGAGGGAUGUAGCAGACUCGAUCGGCGUAUUUUAAUCGCGUUCAGGGAGUGACGACGUAGCAGACUCGAUCUGCGUCUUUGAGUCACGGCAAACCAAUGGCGGCGCGGACUCUAUUUGGCGCGAGGACUCCCUACAACGAAGGAAACGACGCCAAAGAGACCAGGCCGCGCACGGAAUUGACGUAGGAAAACCGGCCGCAAGCGUUUGCCAAUCCAAAAGUCAACUCCCAAAUAUGCCAAGGGGAGCCUCUCAAAUGCCAAGUUUACUAAAAUGGCAAACUCGUUUGCAAAACCGUUGGAGGAGUGAUUUUUACCUUUUUGCCAAAUAACAUAAAUGCCAAAAUUAGAAUGGCAAACCGUUGGAGCAUCUCCAACAGUUAUGCAAUUGGACUUUGCAUUCUUCAAAUUUGCCAAAAACCUUAAAAAUUGCUCUCCAACAGUUUUGCAUUUGACUUAUGCAUUUUGGCAAACUUGGCAUUUGAUGGACCAAACUUGGCAUUUUUGCAUAAGCACAAUGACUUGGCAAUUUUGAUAUCCCGAGAAUCUUGAACUCCUUGUCGUGCCCGUACUCCCCACGUCGCGGUAGUUUCCCGCGAAACGACUCCUCCCCGCGCGCGACUAUUUUCUUUCCCCCGCGCGCCGCCUCCUUUUUUCUACGCGUCGCCUUCUUUUUCCCUUGCGACCUGGAUGCCGCGGUGCAGCCUGGGACUGUUGCCUCGAUCGGAUUUCGACGACCUGGACCAAGCGUCGACGUGGACCAAGCGGCGACGCGCGAGAGAAUUGGCGGCGACGGGCAAAGGAAUUGCGCGCGAUGGACGCCCGCGCGACGCGCGAGAAAAUUUUCCGCGAAGAUGAAAGAUUCUCGGACAAAAAUAGUUGGGUCCACUAUUUUGGGAUAUGCCAAGUCAAAAAUGCCAAACACUUGGAGAUGAACUUAUUUUUCCUUUGGCAAAACGUUUAGGGACUUGGCAAACUCCAACAAAUGGCAAAUUUCAAUUGCAUAACUGAUGGAGAUGCUCUAAGGCAUAAAUAGUAGAAGACUUAGUCCAAAUCCUCAUGCAAAAACAAUUUUUGGAUAUGGAUUAUGUUUCUUUCUUUAUUUUUUGAAGGAUGAUGCAAACUAGUAUUUUAGAUUAGAAUCUGGCUCCUGCUCUGAAAUAAAUAAAGAAGAAUAUUUACCUUUUUCAUCUUGCUCGGUCGGCCUUGUUUACUUUCAAUUUUUUUUUUCAAAAUAAACAUUGUAGCACUUUCGUUUGUAUUUGACAAAUAAAGUCCAAUCAUAGACUAACUAGGCUUAAAAAAUUCGUCUCGCAAAUUACAGAUGAACUAUGCAAUUAGUUAUUUCUUUUAUUUAUAUUUAAUGUUACAUGUAUGUGCCGCAAGAUUCGAUGUGACGGAAAAUCUAAAAAAAUUUGUAAAAUUUUUUGGAACUAAACAAGGCCUAAAUAAUCUUGAACUGAGAAGCUUCUGUGCUGCCGUGUUUGCCGCAGAUGAAUUCGUUCAGGAAGAGCUCAGUGCACCAGGAGAUGAUAAGUGUCCAAAGGUGGAAGCAGUAGAACGAUGAGUGCGAUUAUUGCUCAAGGUAAAUUUGUGCUCUGUACUAGUAUGGUCUUCCAUUUAAUUCUUUUAGAUUCUGAGUGUGUCUUUAUUUCUUCCAUUCACUCUUCACAGUCCGCGCGACAUUGGGAAGUUCCUUGAGCGCCUCUACACCUUGGGAACUUGGAUGUAUUGCAUCGGUACAGUUUGGAUUGUACGUGAAAUCGUCCAACUACGACGCAAGUUUAAGGCUUUGGAUUCGGAUGACCAUUAAACGUGCAAGUUCCAAUGGCCUCUUCUUCCACACCUUACUUAUAUCAUGGUUUGUACUCGAUUCCAUGUAAAGUUUUGUCUCUACCUUUUGGUCAAGACAGACCAGACAUUUUACGUCUAGGAGGAAUUGGAUUCAUUGUUUCUUGGAUCUUAAACACCACAUGUUAUUUUGACCCCAUAUUCCGUCGUCGCAUCCGCAAUGUGGCGGACCACCCAAACAAAGAGCUUACAAAAGCAUCGUGGAGAUCAAAGCAAUUUUGUGUCAGGUCUGGUUCUAGCACAAGUGCAACAUGAGCUCCAUGCAAGAUGCGACGAUAUAACAAGACAUUGAAACUUAGGUGAAUGUCAUCUCCAAGAGACUGAAAAUAUGAAUCCAUAUGGAUAAGUCGGUCUCGGCUAACUGUGUGUGCAAUAUGCAUGCCUAUCAUUGAUCUUAGAUGUAUAUAUAUAUAUAUAUAUAUAUAUAUAUAUAUAUAUAUAUAUAUAUAUAUAUAUAUAUAUAUAUAUAUAUAUAUAUAUAUAUAUAUAUAUAUUAUACUUAAUGUAAGAAAAAUAUGAGAGCACAACAAAAACAAUUUGACAUCUUACAUAUUAUGAAUCCUAUUCAUCGACCGACAAAACCUUUUCACAUAUAAUUGCAAAAGAAAAAAAAAGAAUUGUUCAUCAACCGACACAUUUAUACAAUGAUUUUUUAUACCCUUCAUCCAGUCAUAGCUAGGGGCAUAGGUUAGGGCUACCUCUACCAAAAUGUCAGGACUAGCCUCACCCGGCUGUACCCGACACGAAAAGUUACUGAGUAGUUGGAGAGAAGUUUUAGCAACUUUUAUUUUUAUUUUUAUGAAGGAACUGUUUUACCAAGAUGAUGGAUGAGUUUUUUUCCUUGUUUUUUAAAAAGUCAAAUAGGGAGUUCAUUUAGAGCAUCACCAAUAGUUUUUCUUAAAAAAACAAUUGAUAAAUCAAUGAGUUGUUUUUCAAGUGCCUAAAAAGAAAUAGGCACAUAUGUUUCUUCAACCGUUUUUGAAAUCUCAACCCUAAAAUAUAGGAUAAUUUUGUAUUAAGAAUCCUAAACUAUUUUUAAAUUAUCAUAACCAUUUAUUUUCCUAAGUGCGAAAAGAUUGAGAGUUGAGAUAAGAAGUUGUUAAGAGCAAUUGUUUAAACCUAGCUAAAAAAAUCAAGAUUAGGAGUAGUGGGAACUCUCGGAGAUACUUCUACAAAGUUCAUGGAGUUGCUCGCUAAAGCCGAAAAAACGAGUCAAACCAUUUUAGAUUUGAUCAUGUCUAUUAAAAAUAUUAAUGUUAUUUGGCACCAAAUAGAUUAGAUUUAUUAUAAGGUAGUAUAUUUUCAGUUUAUACGUAUUCGGUAUCACUAUGUACUAAAAAUGGUAUAUGAGGGAGUGUUAUGAGUAUUUUUAUAAAUUUGAUCAAACUAUAGAAUCCCUGAUUUGACUUAGAAAUUAGGAUAGAACUAAAACGGUACUUCUUAAAUAUUAAAGUAUAAGAUAUUUUGUUUUUUCUAGAUAUAUUAAUCUUGCUCUAUAUACAUGUAGUAUGAUAUAUAGGAUAAAAAUGAACGGGGUAUUUUUCGUUGUUGACGGAGAUAGCAGAAACUGUGCCAAAAAAAAAAAAGGGUGUGCAAUCACAAUUCGACAGAGUCGGCACACCUGAUUUCUUUCAGAUACUACACCCGGGCUGAUCGAUCCUCGGAAGAACAGGACACGUAGGAUCGGGUGCGCUCCCACUUUAUCCCAUUCGGCCAUCGUGCCACGAGCUGGCACGGCAGCGUCAACGCUUUUUGACGCGUUCGGCAGCCACCUCGCGUGGGUUGGAGCCAAACUCCACGGCCGCACCACCCCCUGGAGCUCGAGUCGAUGUCGAGCACUCGAGCUCAGGUAAAAAAGCCCAUUUGAAAACUCUGUUCCUGUUUCCACACAGUGAGGCCACGUCGUAGGGUUUUGCUUGCUUCGCCCGGCGGUAAAGCGGAGCGCGGCGACCGCCGGCGCCCGGCCAUGGAGAUCGGGCAGUACCCCGUGAGCAGCUGCUCCAAGGAGCACCAGAAGAUCUACCAGGAGUGGUUCGCGCUCGCGGACGCAGGUCCGAUUCCUGCCCCCCACCCCCUGCUCUCCUCUGCUCUGUUCCCCCUCGAUCCCCAAUCCCCUUCCCACUGUUGUUCGCCUGGCCCUGGAUGUGUGGUCUUCUAAUCGACGGUGUUUGCAGAUGGGGAUGGCCGCAUCACAGGACCCGACGCGAUCAAGUUUUUCGGCAUGUCCAAGCUCUCCCGCCCCGACCUCAAGCAGGUGCGCUGGCUCUCGCUACUAAUCCCCUUCCUGGCUUUGUUCUGCUUGCGGAGCUAUUGGUUUUUAAUGUAUGUGCCAUUUUUGUCUAACCGUGCUGCGAUUCAAGGUCUGGGCUAUCUCGGACACCAGACGGCAGGGGUACCUGGGUUUCCCUGAAUUCGUCACGGCGAUGCAGGUUUUCCCUCGUCUAUUUGAUGUUUUUGUUGUGCUCUCUGUCUCCACGAGGUGAUUUGGGUUAUUGUUCGUCACUAAUGGGCUUGUUUAAAUUGGCAGCUAGUCUCUCUGGCACAAGCAGGGAAUGAGAUUACUCAAGAUAGCCUUAAGCGAGAUGGUUGUUGCUAGCCUCCAAAUCAAGUCUAUUUGAUCGCAUUAUGCUUAUUUAUUUACUGCUAACAAGUGUAAGGUUAUAUCUGACAGAUUUGAUAAGUUUGAAUCCACCUGUUAUGGAAGGUUUGGAUGCCCUACUUGCGGUAAUGUAUUACUGUGUCCUUAUGGUGUUUCUUUAUCAAAUUUGUGCUUUUAUCUCAAUGCCUUGUAUUAACUACGAUGGCAACUGCUUUCAGAAAUCUAAGCAUUUGGUGAAGCGUGUUGAUCCAGAAAUGGAUGGUAAGUAAUGCACUCUUUAACAGGAGAUUCAUGCUUGGGGGGAAAUCAAUGAUACAAACCUAUUUUUUUAAUCCAUGCAGGAUAUCCUCAAGAACAAUCUACUUUAACGAACAAAUGGUUCAGCUCAAAGUCAUCAAAGAAGGUAAUACUCACAAUUUUCUUGUGACUUCUGUAUGCUCCUAGAAUAUUGCUCUUGUGAAUAUCUAUUGCAUACCAGCACCAAAACAACUUUUGAGGAAAAUUCUACUAUGACCUUAGUUCAGUUUUCUGUCAUUUUUACGUUAGUAAAAGGAAAAGGCAGCAAGUUUACUUGUUUAGCUUGUGUAAGCCGCCUUAGCUGGUUACCUAUUUAUUUUAACUGUAUCUGGUCUGUUAACGAGCUUGAAAACAGUAUGAUACAUGUAAGUUGUCUAAAAUGAAGCCCACAGUCCACCAAAAUGUUUGUAAGACAACAUAGCUCUCAGUAAUUGUGUUUCUGUUGUGCAUUAUUAACUUUCCAGAUUUUUUUCCACCAAUAUUAAGAACUUUCCCUAUAUCAAUAAAUGCUGUGAGUUGACCCUAAUUUUGUCAAUGUCACAUUUAUCAUUAUUGCUGAUCUUUCCUUUUAUGGUGUUACAUAUAAACAGAUACCUCUGACUGCUGUUACCUCUGUCAUCGAUGGCUUGAAAAAACUUUAUAUCGAAAAACUGAAGCCUUUGGAAGUUACAUACAAGUUCAAUGAUUUUGUCUCCCCUUUGCUGGUACACACUGUAUUCCCAGUUUCUGGAUACGUUAUGAAACAGAAAUGCUACUUUCCUGUGUCCUCAUAUGCCAUUAUUAUUGCUGUUUCCUUGUCAUGUUGUUCAAAAUAACUCCCUUUCUUGCAGAAUAUUGUUAAUCCUUUUUUUUUGGUGUUGCAGACAAGUAGUGAUUUUGAUGCAAAGCCAAUGGUUAUGCUCUUAGGUCAAUAUUCUACUGGUAAAACAACUUUUAUUAAGCAUCUGCUAAGAACAAGCUAUCCAGGUUUAUAUCUACCAGAUGUACCUCUAGUUUCCCAGGUUUGUUCAAGUAACGUGCUGUCUGACAGUUUAUGUUUUGCAUUUGCAGGUGCCCAUAUUGGACCAGAGCCAACAACAGACAGAUUUGUAGUUGUCAUGGUAAACUGAGCAAAACUUAGGAUUUCUCUUUGUAGCUAUAAUAGGUGCAUCAAAUGAUUUAAACUUCUUAUUUGAUUUGUGAAGGAAUUUUAGUUGAAAGUUGAAACGAUGAACGGAUGAAGCAAUCCAACAUUUUUCUCGAAACUUUGGAUAGGGAAUUUACAUCGUUAGUUACCUAUGCACCCCUUCUAAGAUGUUGGCUUUACAGAUGAUAGAUAAUGACACAGAAUGGAUAUGACUUUAUGCCUUUGAGUGUCGUCACAGUUUUUCCAGACAUAGUUCGUGAAAUCCUCAAGAGCAUGCAGAGUUUUCUACAUAGUAAACAGAAUGCAAAGAGUAUAAGCUGAUCUGGGUUCUCUAUUUGGGGUACAAGUAUUACAAGGAAGAAAAAAUAGCGAUGGUGCUGAUGCCAUAAUUUUCUUAGGUGCUACGGCCUAUGCAAAUUUACCAGUCUGUCAUUUCUUUGGUGGUGGUGGUGGUUGGGGGGGGGGGGGUCUUCCUGUUGCCAACAAGAACCAAAAUUAGUGUUUUUGGGAUGCAUUGCUUGUUCAUUUCUAUAAGAUGUUUGGAUCUGAUUGUCUUUCUAUGCUUUGUGAAAAUACUGUCAAUUUUCUGGUUGACAGCUGUUGCGUUGUGAUUGGCAGCCUGCACCUUUUUCUCUAAAUUUUCUCUGAAAUGCUGAGCUGCAAUUAUAUCGCCAGCUAUCAUAUUUAUGAUUGUUUCUGAUUCCUUGGGGUUUGUUGGGAAUGUUAGCUAAUGUAAAAGGUGGUAAAAGAAGCAUAGUGCACAUAUCUCCAAAUCAAUAUUAAGUUUGAGUUCAUCAUCGCUAGAUUUAUGCAAAUUCUUUCUUGUGAAACUUGCAAUAGCUACUAAGCAUCUAUUGGCACACUCUUUGACCAAUUUCAGUUAUUUCAACGCAACUGCAGUAUAAGCAGUAUGAAUUGCCUGUGUGCCAUCUAUUACAUUACCACAUGUUUUAUACCUACAAUACUUUCCCCUUUCUGUCGCUCCAGUUAACUUAUGUAUGCUUGCCAGUCAGGACCUGAUGAAAGGACUAUUCCUGGAAAUACUAUUGCUGUUCAAGCUGACAUGCCUUUUAGUGGUCUUACAACAUUUGGGACUGCAUUUUUGUCCAAGUUUGAGUGCUCUCAGAUGCGACAUCCAGUAAGAUUUAAUUUUGAUGCAAGUGAAAACCUAAAAGGCAUGUAAUCUGGAAACUGAUACCAAACAUUUACCUUGAAGCUGCUAGAGCAUAUCACAUUUGUUGACACACCUGGUGUUCUUUCUGGUGAGAAGCAACGCACGCAACGCAGCUAUGAUUUCACUGGCGUGACAUCAUGGUUUGCUGCGAAAUGUGAUCUUAUUCUUCUUCUGUUUGAUCCUCAUAAGCUUGAUAUCAGCGAUGAGUUCAAACGUGUCAUUGGAUCAUUACGUGGACAUGAUGACAAAAUUCGUGUAGUUUUGAACAAGGCAGAUCAAGUAGACACUCAACAGGUAGUAUUCGUGGAUCUUUCUGUGUCUUAAAUUCUGAUGGGGCAUUUUGCUUUUUUUUGCUCUAUGUAUUAAUAGCCCUUCUCUCAUGACAUGCAGCUUAUGAGAGUUUAUGGUGCAUUGAUGUGGUCUCUUGGGAAAGUAUUGAAUACACCUGAGGUUUCACGUGUUUAUAUUGGGUAACUUCUGAUACCUUGAUCUUCUUUAUAGCUAAAAUAUUUUGUGAUAGAUUACAUAAUAUCUUCAAAUUGCAACUUCAGAAUUUACAACUAGAGUAUUGAUGUAUUUCAUUUACCCUAUUAAAGCUUGACUCGGGUAUUACUGGAUUUCUCCAUUACUUAAACAAUAGUAUAUUUGAAUCUUGUUCUGGUAUUGACCUUAGAACAUUCAAGUGCCUGCAAAUCAUUCAAGUAACUUCCAUGUUUGUUUGUAGAUCAUUCAAUGACAAACCAGUAAAUGAAUCAGCUGUUGGUCCACUUGGAAAGGAACUAUUUGAGAGAGAGCAAGAUGAUCUCCUUUCUGAUCUCAAAGAUAUCCCCAAGAAAGCCUGUGACCGUCGGGUAAAUCUUUUCUUAUUUUUUUCCAUGUGUUUUUUCAGUCCUAACUAAUCAGUAUUUGCAUAUUAACAUCAGUAUUCUGUGCCUUGCAGAUCAAUGAAUUUGUUAAACGUGCUAGAGCUGCCAAGAUCCAUGCUUAUAUAAUAGGCCAUCUGAAGAAGGAGAUGCCUACAAUGAUGGGCAAAGCAAAAGCCCAACAACGACUCAUAGACAAUCUGCCCGAUGAGUUUGCAAAGGUAUGUAUUUUGAGGUUCUUAAGUUCUCUAGUCGAUAUAGGAUCAUUGUAGAUUGAAAAGGCGCAGAGGUCCUUCCUUAUGUUAGGUCCUCUUUUUUCUGUCAGAUGUCCUCUUACCAUGUGUUUGUGUGGGUGGGUGGUGGUGGUGGGGUGGGGGGUGCGUAUCAUGGUCUCGUGGCUUGUUUCAUGUAGCCAGCUUGCACCUUAAGUUUCGGUUAUUUUACUACUUUCACACAUUCUAAAAUAGUGACAGUAAAAGUUGGUUGAUUUCGCCAAUGGUGUGAAUUCUGGGCUCUUCCUUUUUCAUUUCAGUUGCACAGUUCUCUCUUUUCUUUUACUGGAUGCCAUGUGAAGCAUUCCCCUUACAUAUUCUUUCCAUAUAAUUUUCAUGCUCUAAUCAACAACUGCUGACUGGCGGAAUAGGUGCAACGGGAAUACCACCUUCCGUCGGGAGAUUUUCCUUAUGUGGAGCACUUCAAAGAAGUCUUGAGUGGGUAUAGCUUUGACAAGUUUGAGAAGGUCAAGCCCAAGAUGAUACAGGCCGUGGAUGAUAUGCUUGGAUAUGACAUUCCAGAACUUCUCAAGAACUUCAGAAACCCAUACGAGUGAACCCAUACAGGCAGCUGAAAGAUGACUUCGAUCUGCACCAGGAUGAGGGAUUGAGUGGGGCAUGGAUUGAUGCUGCAUUCCAUAACUUUGGAAUUGUCUGGCAACGUGAAUCAUCGCAGUGAAGGUCGUGGGGCGUUCAUUGUCAUCCAUGCUUCACCAUUAUAUAACUGUAUGCAUAAGAAUCGUAGAUCCAUUGCUCAAGCUUUCACCAGACAUCUGGUCAUGUAAAAUCGACUAAACAGUGAUAUUAGUGUUAAAGAAUAUACUAUUUAUUCUCAUUAUUUCUUCAAAUGAGUAUUUAUUCAUUUUGGAACAGCUGGGUAAUGUGGUUCGGUCUAUCCAUGAAGAAUAUUCUGACCACCGUGGGGUGUUGCCCUGAACUUGGCUCCUUGUUUUGCUUAUAUAUAGUUAUAUGUGGAUUUGUUCAUGAAUAUCAUGUAUGUUGUGUCACUGCAAAAUCAGAUAUUUUUUGAAGGACGAACCUUUGAGAAAUUAACUCAAUAAAUGCCUUAUUUGUUUGGCUGAUAAGUUGUCCUGAGAUUGGAUAAUACUAUUGUUUUUCUGCCACAAUAGAGCCAAAGAAUGAAGUGAAUUUCAUGUUUCUAUAUAGCCUUGCUACUGACGGGCGGUAGCUAAAGCUGAGCUUAAAUUUGUGCGGGAGCGUGACUGUGUAUAAUUUAGACUUGUUUAGCAGGGCUCUUCUAGAGGAGCCACAACCGUUUCAGUGAAGCCACAAAUUGUGGUUUCGCCAAAAUGGCUUCAACUCAUCUGCUUUUUACUUAAAAAAACAGUUUCUUAAAAAAAAAUUUAGCAGGACUCCUCUGUAGGAGUCAGAGCUGGAGCCAGAGAAAAACCUUGUCAAAAACAGGCCCUUAUUGAACUACAUUUCUAUGGAAUUUAGACUAGACAUACCCUAAGAAUUAUGACCAAAGAUAGCAUGUCCAAACAUAGCUAUCUUUACAUCCGGGACCAAAAAAAAAACUGAACCGACGCUAAAGCUCGGAAGUCAAACAUUCUAAAAAAAAAGCUUGGAAGUCAAACGCAGCUGGCACAAACCUGAGUCCCGCCGACGCCGGCAGCUGCCUCUCUCAAUCAUUGAAAACGUGGCAAACACAAACCACUACCACACCUCUCUAAAAAAACGAAGCAAAAAUGUAUAUGUUUUUAUAUAAAAAAAAACACACAGAAUGACGACACGGGACACGGCGACACGCCGUCACCGAACGCGCAAGUGUCUCCGGCGACCGACCCGCGGCCAGCGGCCUUGUCCAGUAGUACUCCAGUCCAACCCCCCUCUCCCGCGCCACGCCGCGCCGCCGACCCCGUCCGCGCCCCGCGGCCCGCGGGUUCGGCAUCCCGCCCCCACCUCCUCACCAAACUCCCCCAACCCGAUCCCCCCGUCCUCGCCCUCGCCCUCGCCUCGCGCCCCCCCGCACCGCGCUUGCGCAUUUGGCUUCUUCGCGGCUCCAGCGACCCCGUCCCCCGUCCCCGUCGGGCACCAACCCAACCCAGUACCCAACCCAACGCUCUCCUCGCUUCCCCUCCUUUUCCUCUGCCCAACAAUUGAUAGCUCACCUCACCUCACCUCCGCACCCGCUGUUUCGUGCACCGCACUUCACCCCCCACCAACCUCUCCCCCUCAAAAACUAUCCACCCCACCCCCACCGUCCACCCCCACCUCACCCCUACCCGCCGACGAGCGCGAUCGAUUGAUUCGCUUCGAGCCGGGCGGAGGAGGAGGAGGAGGGAGCGCCGGGCGGCGGGGGGAACCCACCAGAUCCGGCGGCUAUGAUGAAGUCGCUGCUGCCGCAGAGCCAGCUGCGGCGCUCGUCGGCGGCGGCCGCGCGGUCGUCGUCGGGCGGCGGCGCAGCGGGGGGAGACGGGGCUAUGGCCGACGGCGGCGGCGCGGGCCCGCGGGCGCCGGCCUCCUCCACCUUCUGGUUCCUGCUCCACGCGCUCUGCUGCCUCAUCUCGCUCUUCCUCGGCUUCCGCUUCUCGCGGCUCCUCUUCUUCCUGCUCUUCUCCACCACCGCGCUCUACCACUCCACCACCUCGUCCUCCUCGGCCGCGGUCCUGCGCGCCACCACGACUACCACCACAACGACGACAACCACGACGACGACCACCAACACCUUCACGCUCUCCUUCGCCGCCGCCAACACUCCCCCUUCCGGCCCCGCUAACCGCACCGCGCUGGAGGCGGCGGGCGACAACAAGGGGGCGGCGUCGUCGGGGAACCCGCAGAGCCACGUCGUGGUGGGGAGGCACGGGAUUCGGAUCCGGCCGUGGCCGCACCCGGACCCCGUCGAGGUGAUGCGCGCGCACCGGAUCAUGGAGCGCGUGCAGGAGGAGCAGCGGCGCUGGUACGGCGUCAAGGAGCCCAGGCAGGUGCUUGUCGUCACCCCGACCUACUCCCGUGCGUUCCAGGCGCUCCACCUCACCGGCCUCCUCCACUCCCUCCGCAACGUGCCGUACCCGCUCACCUGGAUCGUCGUCGAGGCAGGCGGCACCACCAACGCCACGGCGUCGAUGCUGGCGCGCUCUGGCCUCACUUUCGUCCACAUCCCCUUCCCUGACCGCAUGCCUCAUGAAUGGGCCGACCGCCACGCCACUGAGAACCGGAUGCGCCUCCACGCCCUACGGUAUGUAUGGUUUCCUACUACUGCUACCUCUUCAGCUAGCUAGUAGUAUUUGUGGAAAGAAGGUGGCUGAUGAAGGAUCAGUUUCCUUGUGCAGCGUGAUCCGUGAGAGGAAGAUGGAUGGUGUGGUUGUGUUUGCGGACGACAGCAAUGUUCAUAGCAUGGAGCUGUUCGAUGAGGUGCAGAAGGUCCAGUGGAUGGGUGCUGUAUCCGUUGGAAUCCUUGCGCAUACUGGAACGGCAGAUCAACUACGGCUAAGCGAGGAGGACAAGCAGAAUAUGCCUCUUCCAGUCCAGGGCCCUGCUUGCAACUCCUCAGGGCAUCUGGCUGGAUGGCACACGUUCAACUCACUGCCCUUCUCUGGGAAGACCGCCACAGUGGUUGGUGAGGCAGCCCCUGUUCUGCCCAGGGGUUUGGAGUGGGCUGGUUUUGUGCUGAACUCGAGAAUGCUGUGGAAGGAGGCUGAUGGCAAGCCUGACUGGGUGAAGGAUCUUGAUGCUGUGGGCGAGAAUGGAGAGGAGAUUGAGAACCCACUUGCUCUAUUGAAUGAUCCAUCCUCUGUUGAGCCACUAGGGAACUGUGGGAAGAAGGUCCUUCUGUGGUGGCUCCGUGUUGAAGCACGGGCUGAUAGCAAGUUUCCUCAGGGGUGAGUUUUUUUACAUCCCAUUAUUUGGCAUUUUUAUUACCUCUAUGCUAUUGGGAAAGAUUACACUGUUUGAUUAGCAUCCAAGAUUCGAGCAUCUAGAGUCAUGGAAACUACCUUUUUUAACCUUGUUAAUUUAGUUCUUAUCAGACUUAGCUAGGUUCACGGGCUCAAAAUCUCCAAUGAAUAUAUUUAUAUAUGUGGCAUCUGGAUAUAAACCAACUGUCUAAUAGCUACCCAGCAACUGAAACAUUGGCCCUGUUAGGCUGAGCUCCAUCUUCAAGAUCCAUGCGGACCACGCCAGGUUUGGCGUUUGUAUAAAUAACUAGUUUGUCUUUAAAUAAAAUGAGACAUCCACACCCCGACACUUCUGGUGUACACCAAACCUUAGCUCCACACGUCUUGCCAAACAGGCUCUCUGUUGCCUAUGGAUCUUAUAUGGAUUUUAUCGUAUUGAAUGUGAUUGACUGAUUGCACUGAGAUAAGUAUGUCCCAACAACUGCUUUACAGUAGUCCCUUAAUACCUCAAGUAAAAUAGUUUAUGUUGUCUUGUCACUAAGCCAGUCUGGUCUGGCCAUAAGAGUUUCCAUACUUGUCUAGGAUCUCAUAAUACCGGCAAACACUGUGAUUGAAAACUCUAUAAUCUACUUCCUGUGAAGCUCCGAUUGUAAGUAUAAGCCUAUCUAGGUCUGUCCUAGUAAAAAAGCUUCAACUUUGACAAUCAAUAACUGAAAUUUUAUGUAUGUUGACAACACAAGUAGAUUCAUUAUGUAAAAUUAAUUGUACAACAUAUAUCUCUUUUCAUUUGAUAUAAUUUUCUAUAGAUACUACCUGUCAAAGUUUUUUGUAAAAAGUUUGACUUAGGACAAAUCUCAUAUUUGGGAUCAACGAAGUAUGAAAUUUGCUUUGUGCUACUGAAGGCAUCAUGUUUAGUUUUACUUUGUACAAGGGAUUUAAUUUUGAUAUGCAGCUUAAAUAUAUUUUCUUUGCUUUGUCUACAUUGUGUCCAAUUCGUAUGUGCCUUCUUAUUGUAAACUGAUUUAGGCAUGUAACCUCUCCCAACUAGCUUUGGCACCAAAAGGUAGGCAUACAAAUAGUACAGAUAUUUUCCGUUUGUAUCAGUUCGAAUUGUUUAGAGUUCAGACCCAUCCAUAUCUGAAUACUCAAAUCGGACAUAUAUGAUGUUGAUAUCCAUUCAUAUCUUAUCCGGCACAACUAAUGCUAUUCGAAUCUAAAUUUGAGAAAUGCUGUAGCUAUAUGUAUUCAUAUCCGUAGGUAUCUGUCCGUAUCAGACCAUUUUCAUCCCUACUAAAAGGUUUUUUGUUGAUCUUAAGCUGCUGAACCUGUAAAUUUGAUGCUUGUAGGUGCUUGAAAAAAACUGGGUUCUUGAAAAUUCUAGACAAUCACUGCUUAUUUGAAGCCUACUAGAGUCUAAGAUAAGAUUACAUGCUACCGUAGCAAUUAGCCUCUUCCAUUGACAUGGUGCCACAUGGCUAAGGCACGAGAGAGAUUUGAAUAUAUCAUUAUUAACAUUAGACAGAGUGUUUAAAUUUUUCGUGUUCUGUUUGGCAUGAAAUCUAGCAUCUAGGCUGAUCUCAUGGUUGAAGACAGGUCCUCAUCAUUCUAAAAAAGAAAUGAAAAAACUGGGUUCUCAUGACAGUAGUGUCUUUGAUAACCAUGUGUCAUAUGUACCUUGUUCCUGGGACCUUGAAGGCUUGAACAGAGAAAAGGUUUUGUAAGGAAAACACUUAGUUUCAUUGAAACCAACAUAGAGUGAAAACAUUGGGUUCCGUUAGCUAAGAAAUUGGAUCCUCAUGUCUCUCUCUUGUUUAAUUCUUUUGCCCAUUUAGGUUUCCUUUUCUUUCUCAGCCACAACUAAAUACGCUCUUUUGCAGGUGGGUGAUUGAGCCGCCUUUGGAAGUCGUCGUCCCUGCAAAGCGCACUCCAUGGCCUGAAACCACCACCGAGCUUCCAUCCGAGUUGUUGGAUGACAAGCAAGAGCAGGAGGAUAGACGGCUGUCUAGAGCCAACAAAUCAUCUCGGCCCCGAGGCACCACGAAACGGAAGGCUGACCCUCAAGGGCAAGAAAACUGAUGGAGAACUUACUGGCAUUGUAAUGUAUAUCUCUUACACCCUGCAAAAAACACAGUAGGAAGCGUAUCCAGUUAAUCUGGCGGUGGCUGUGUUUAUUUUUUUUUUUCUGAUGUUUUUGCUCUUGUGGCGAUGGUCCACGCUUGGGUAUGUUAUCUGUAGAGUGCACAUUUUUAAUGUAGCUGUAUCUGUUGUGUUGUAAUGUACGCUGCAUUGGGAACUGAAAAUGGUGGCUGAAUUCUGGAAAUCUGUCGCCUUGUGUUCCUAAAAAAAUUUAAAAUUUUUCAGAUUUUACGUUACAUUGAAUUUUUAGACAUAUGCAUUGAGUAUUAAAUAUAGACUAAAAUAAAAACUAAUUGCACAGUUUGAUCGAAAUUGACGAGACGAAUCUUUUAAGCCUAGGUAGUCCAUGACCUUCUACCGGUGUUGGGAUUGGAUCUUACGAUCGGGGCAAUCGGAAGACGUCGUAUCAGCGAUGGGUCGUUUGCUGGUGCAGCCGCGGGACUGUCCUGGAAGCGUAACGCACACCCGCACCCGCACCGCGUGAAGCUUUGCGACCACUUCUCGCCGCGUGUGCACCCAGGAUCAGAAAAGCAGCAGCCAGCAGGUGCACGCAACGAAGGGCACGCGCGACACCCGGACCGCAGGACCGCUCCCUGCGCGAACGAAACGGCGGCGAGCUCCCCCGGUUUGUGUUGCGUCUGUCUCUUCACCGCCGCGGCGGCGGGCGGCAAGGCAUGCAUCGUGACUGCUCAACGCGCGUGCAUGGUGGUGUAACACCCACCCAGCCAGCGGCCAGCGCACCCUCCGUCAGGCGCGCGCACACAGCUCGCGACAAAAUCAGUUGCACGCCAGGGCGUUGGACCAACCGAAAUCUGGAGUUCUGGACUCGCUGUAAUUUCCUUCUGCUCGGCUGCUUGCGAUUAUCCAAUCAAAAAUCGUGCUCAGCUUGGAUGGGAGAAACAAAUAACCGGCUGGGUCCAAAUCCGAGGACCAAGACAAGGCACAUUUCUGAAGAUACUGUUGGACAUGUUGACGGGGCAACCGGACGGGGCGAGUAUGUAUAACUAUAUAUAUAUGAUGAUGUUCAUUUUAUUUUUGACCGUCACGGCUGAUUGGUGUCUAGUAUGGGUUUGGUUGAAACAACAGAGUACGAUUGGGAUAAUCUGUGUUCUGAAACAAAUUAUAUAUUUUCUAAAACACCUUAUUAAGUCAACCAAUCUUAAAUUUAACUAUUUUUUUAAGAAAAAGGUAACAAUAUCAUACACCAAAAUAGUAUUUUAUAAAAAUAUAUGAUAUAUCUAAUGACAUUAAAUCAGUUGAUGUUUUUUCUAUAAAGUUAGUUUAAAAUUAAAACAAUUUGAUUUAGAAUAAUUCUAGAAGUCAACGUAAUUUAGGAUGGAGGAAGUAGUAUUUUUUAUGUAUAGUGCAGACGCUUAUUCAUUCUAACUAGCCUAACCAUCCAUUUGGUUCUAAUUGAGUAAUAUGAUGAUUUAUAACUAAUGCAUUUGUUCUCAGACUUUUUGCCGAAUGUUUGUUUGUACGAUCAUCCAUAUGAAUCGUCAUAUAGGUUUGGUUUGGAUGUGAGAUUUGGAGCUAUACAAAGCAUAAGUACAAUUUAGAUGAUCAGAUUCUGAAUAUAUGUUGUGUAUUAUAGAGUGCUUGUAUUGUGGUGAUGUACUCGCUAUAAUCUAGUAUAAUUCUUCUUUGGUUUAAAAAAAAACUAAACUUAUUUUUUUGGAACCUCACGUCUAAUAUAUAUAGAUAUGAUACUGACGUGCUAGAUAGCCUCAUAUUUUGACUUGAAAAUUUUAUUCCAACUUUACAACCCAGUACUUAUCCUACUCUUAUCGACCUGGACGAUGAUGGAUUACCACUCCGUUUUCGUAAAGCACAUGUCUAAUGCAAAACUCACAUAUCAAAAUCUUGCAGCCUAGUCCAUUAAACCUGGCUUUAUUUUCUAAACUGUUACAUCCUUCUAGACUGCCACACUUAAAAACAGUUGUUUUAUUUUCUAUUCACUAAACUGUUACAUCCUUCUAGACUGCCACACUUAAAAACAGAGGAAUGUAGAAGCUGCUGUAUCUUAAACUUUGUUCAACUCUUCCCACGUGUUGAGGUGGAUCAUUCCUUCCAUUUGAAACCGUUUCAAGCUAAAUCAGAGACCGUGUCAUAGCAAGCAUCGUCGUAGUUCUCUCUUUGAGUGACAGACAGCUGAAUUGAAAUCAACACAUUAACAUGGUGGCUUAACAGCCCUCUGUUUGAGAACUCAGAACAGACAGAGACAUGCAUCAACACACGAGCUUUUUAGGUUGCGUGGUGGGGUAGGCCGUGUGGGUCCGGUCGGGCCAGUUCGUUGCCUCCGGUGGCUAUAUAUUUGAUAAGCCAUUGCAUUGGCAGACACACCAGCAGUUCAGAGAUUGUACUCUUCGUCGUCGUCGAUCACCUUCUCUUCAGCUUCUCGAUCGUCAUUUCGUGCUUCCCCGAUCGAUCGAGCUUGAGGCUUUGAGGGGAUCGCCAUGAGUUCAGCACGCUCACCGGUUGCCGGCGCAGCGCUGGCGCUGCUCGCGCUCACGGUGGCAGUAGCCACCGCGACGACCGUCGCCGCGGCGCGCGACUUGCGCUCGGCGGCGCCGCUGGAGCGGGCGGACGAGGAGGUGCGGCAGCUCUACAAGACGUGGAAGUCGGAGCACGGCCGGCCAAGAGACGGCAUCUCCGUCGCCGACGGGCUACGUCUGAAGGUGUUCCGAGACAACCUGCGGUACAUCGACGCCCACAACGCGGAGGCGGACGCCGGGCUCCACACCUUCCGCCUCGGCCUCACCCCCUUCACCGACCUCACCCUGGAGGAGUUCCGCGCCCACGCGCUCGGCUUCCUCAACUCCACUCUGCCCCGCGUCGCCAGCGACCGCUACCUGCCCCGCGCCGGCGAUGACCUCCCCGACGCCGUCGACUGGCGCCAGCAGGGCGCCGUCACCGGGGUCAAGAACCAGCUGGACUGCGGUUCGUACUCAGUCUCGAUCCAUGCUUGCCAGCCGGGGUAGUAAGUUCUACUACAAGGAUUUCCACUGAUGAUGAUCUCUGGCGUGUGUGUUGCCGUGAGGGAUGAUGCAUGCAGGUGGGUGCUGGGCGUUCUCGGCGGUGGCAGCCAUGGAGGGGAUCAACAAGAUCGUGACGAACAACCUCAUAUCGCUGUCGGAGCAGGAGCUGAUUGACUGCGACACUGAGGACUACGGCUGCCAGGGUGGAGAGAUGCAGAAAGCUUUCCAGUUCGUGAUCGACAACGGCGGCAUUGACACCGAGGCCGACUACCCCUUCAUCGGAACGAACGGGACCUGCGAUGCAAUCAGGGUCGGUACAACAUCGAUCUAACAAAUCUCAUAUAUAUGCCAUCGAUCCUCUGCAGUCCAUUGGUAGUGAUUAUAGAAAGUUUGCAUUUUGCUCAAAUUAAUGCAGGAGAAGAGGAAGGUUGUGUCCAUAGAUUCAUACGAGAAUGUGCCGACCAACGAUGAGGAGGCGCUGCAGAAGGCGGUGGCGAACCAGCCGGUCAGUGUCGCCAUUGACUCGAGCAGUCCUGCGUUCCAACACUACAGCUCGGUAACCAUAUGCAUGCAUGUAUUCAUUUUGGGUGAAGGGCAAGGAUCGCAGCACAAUCACUAAACCCUAAUUAAGCUAGCUAGGAGAUCUAGCAGCUAGCAGUAGGCGCUCGCUUUUCUUUGUUCUGAACUGUUCUUCUUGAUCGAUCGGUCGGUCAAUAAUAUAAUCUUGUGUACGUGCGCAGGGCAUCUUCAACGGGCCGUGCGGGUUCAUACUGGACCACGGCGUGACGGCGGUGGGCUACGGCAGCGACAACGGCGAGGACUUCUGGAUCGUCAAGAACUCGUGGGGCGCCGAGUGGGGAGAGUCUGGCUACAUCCGCAUGAAGCGCAACGUGCUUUUGCCCAUGGGCAAGUGCGGCAUCGCCAUGUACGCGUCCUACCCCGUCAAGAACGGCCGCUGACCGCCGACGUACGGCUAAGCCAUGGAUAGAAAAACAUCAAGAUGGUUCUUGCUGUCGGUAGGCUGCUGACCGCUUGCCCUUGCUCUGGUGCGUGUCUAAGAGUCUUUGUUUAUUAGCGUCGUUUAUUAAGCGUUUGUUGUAUGGAGUGUUCUGGUGAAAAUGGUCUCAUUAUUGAAUUUUAUUUAUUUAUUUGUAACACGACAAAUAAGUUAUGAAUAAAGUUAAUAUUAUGUAACAAAAUAAACUUUUAUAAGUGAAAAUUUCGGAGUGUUUUACAUUCUUCCAACGCCUGAUUUUUUUUCUCCAUACCUUCUUCGUCCUCCUCCCGACACGUAGAUUUUUUUUCUAAAUUUUCACCGGAGGGUUACUCCCACCUGAAUAUAUUAAAAAAGGACUCAAAAAGGCAGAUUUACAGAGGUUUGAGGAGGAAAAACAACAACAACAGCACCGAACGCCCUAGCGCUAGGGCGAAAAGUGACAGAGCCACAGAUAAACAAGGAAACAAUAGCAGGACGCGGAGACUACUAAUCAGGACAUGAGCUCUUCGACGAUGCCUCCAGGGGGGUGAAUGACGCCGUAACGUAAUCAUCGUCAUGCAAGCCAGAGCUUGGCAAGGAUUUCUCCCGAGCCAUGUAUCGAUGAGAAGUAGUUGCAAGGCUCUUCAGUGACGCCUUGAGGAAGGAGAAUCUCGUCCCUGGCUCAAAAAGUUUGAGCUGAACUUUCGCCUAGAGCCGUUGCAAAGCCUCCAAAGACUCACCCGCGACUGAGGUGGUAGCCGGCCGCCGCCACACCAUGCGGAGCCUUUCGGACUCGCCCGCGAUGGUGGUAGGAGCGCACCGACAAACGUCGACCGCCUCCGCUCAACGCGGAGCCAUUCUGGACUCGCCCGCGACGAGGGGAGGCGCGCAAAAGCGUUCUCACCUGAUCUCUUUAAGCACUUUAAAUUUGGUAGAGUAUGUUUCCAUCGUAAGUCACCAAGAAUUUUAAAAUUUUGAAUUUCAUAAGUGGAGAACUUAAGACUGGUACUGGGGUUUGAAGUUUUGGCAGUAUUUUGUGACGAUUCAAGUUGAAUUUGCUCAAUUCGUUUGGAAUCAAAAUGAGUGAUUGCAUGAAUGUUUCUUUAUUGGACAUCCUUUUGCAAAAGCCCUCCAUCCUAAGAUAUGAAGGAUAUAAGUUUGUCCUAUUUUAAACUAUGUAAAGUUUGAUCAAAUUUAUAGCGAAAAGUAUUAAUAUCUACCAUAUCAAAAAUGUAAAUUAUGAAAAAGAAAUAAUUUGUAAUGUGUCAGUAAUACCAAUUCAAUGUCAUAACUAUUAUUCUUGUUUCUUAUUUUGGUCAAACUUAACAUAAUUUGACCUAGGAGUUAGGACACAGACUUGAAUCCCUUGUAUUUCAGGAGAGAUGGAGUAUAAGUUUGUGUAAAAAAAAAAGGGCCAACAUAUGUGGUUCUAUCAAUCGGUCCAUUUGGCUUCAAAGUAUCACUGUACUAAUAAUUCUGAUAACCUUGCCUGCAGUGAGCUCCAAUGUUGAACGGGAUGUAAGAAAAAUCCAGCCCGAAAGCGACCCAGCUAGCGGUUUUGGAUGAAAGAAAAAAGAAAAACAAAAAUAAGAGUCGGUCAUCAAGAAAGCAAAUCCACUGCAGUACCGUGGAGAAGGAAACAAAAAAAUCUGUUAGAAUGGUUCGCUUGGAGUUGCCAUAUAUAGGUUGGGAGCAAGGGACACGGGAGUAGACAACAUGCCUUUGGGCCGUGUCAUAUCAGUACUAAGGGCAUGUACAACCCAUAGACGGAGAUCCGUCUCUAAGUGUCUCGAAUUUAUCAUACAGACAUGUAUAAAGACAUGUUAUACAACCCACAGACGAGAGUCUGUCUCUAAGAUAUUUAAUACUUUGCAUGUAGCUAGGAUGAACUAUAAAUAAUUUUUGUGUACCAUUGUGUGGCUGUUUGAUAGAAAAUAUAGCAAGAAUAAAUAAGAGCAAUAUGAUUACAAUAUUUUUUUUUGAAACCAUGGCUAUUACGAAUGGAAUGGAACGACAACUUCUAACCUUUGAAUUAACAAGAAAAGAAGGUCAUUUAACUGGUAACCUUGAAGGCAAAGCUAUACUCGGCACAACAUCCCCCAUCUGUAUAUCAUAUUAUAUAUAAUAACAUCUUUGUCUAAUUUUCUUUCUUUUCGUAGCGUAGGCAAAUGCUACAGAUUUGACUUCAGUAGAAAAUUUCACUAGCAGCAUCCUCGUAGCUCCGGGUCAGCCAAAAACAGCUAGCAUUUCACAUUAUGAAAACAGCAUACAAUUAAAGUGCCAUCAGUUUAGUGCAACCUCAUUGUAAUAUUACCUCCUUCAAAAAACACAUCUAGUCAAUGGAGUCUACACAAGCUUUAUCAUAGAUUACUAAGGUUUCCUUCAUCAGACUACUGAAUUAAGAACGUAUUCUUGCCGUAGAGGUCCUAGUGCUCGCACCAGAGGCCAAGCUCACCAUGAUGUCAGUGUCCACCGGCAUUGGCGUGGUUGUGUCCAGCCUUGGGAUCAUCGGGCUUCGCAUAUCUGGCAGCGGUGGCGGCGCGGCAGUGGUGCGACUACGGUGCUGUGGAUCUCGCGGUGACGGCUUGGGCACCAUCGGUGGCGCUCUAGAUCGUCGGGCUUGGCAUCUCCGGCAGCGUCGGCGGCGGGACGACAGUGCUGGAUCUUGUGACGACAGCUCAGUCACCAUCGCCCAAAGUAAUUCUGCGAGCACCAAAACUAGAACACGCGAGUGCCUACACGGGAUCUGAGCGCAGGGUCGACUCGUGGAAACGAACCUGUACAACGCUGCUGCCCUCGUCCGUUCCACCUAGGAGCACGAGCCCUUGUCGUCGUCUCGCGAGGCGACGGGGCGAGCGUCUCUGAGCCAAACCGAGGAUUUUUUUUGCAUAAUUCGCGUCUUGGAGACGGGCGUUGUACGUGCCCUAAGGAUCCCUUCCUACUAUCUCUCUCUAAUCAAUUUCUAUAUACAUAUACAUUUCCGCCAAAUUAAGUGGAAACUAAUGCCGAAAGUGUGGCAUUGGAAUGUAAGCUAUCAGUUUCCACUUGAAAUAAUAUGCAACCACACUCUCCGGUGCGCUUGUCGUUGAGCCUUGUGAAGCGGUGAGCACUCUGGAUGAUCAAGACCGGCCUGCGGAGGCUUGUGUUCGUCGGCGUGCGAGCAGAAGCAGCUAGCUCCUACCUCUAUGGCCCCAACAUCAUCCCCAUGAGAUGCAGCACAAGAACACUCUCGACAACGAAGCAAAAUCUUGCUGGCAGACGUAUACAUAUCCAUCGAUCUUGCAGACCGGCUUCGUGCACGAAAUCAACUACUGUAGCUAGUAACUUGUGUGCAGGGAUGUGUUUAGUUUUGGAUGUAAUUAACAGGCUGUUGUUGUCUUGAGCGAUAUGUAUAUCUACUACCACUAGCUGAACUAUGUGUUCAUGAUGUGUUCGAGAUCGUACCCUUGUUUUACAACUAGUAACUAGUAAUAAUACUGCAAUGUAGCUUGGAUUCCCAUUCCCCCACCCAUCAAGUAAUGUGAGUUUACCUCUGGUGCCUGGUCGCACAGUAAAAAAAAAGAAAAGCUUAUUCCUUGAACUUGGAUUCCCCGGCGGCCGCACCGCACCCAUCAAGUAAUGUGAGAUUACUUGGUGCAGCUUUCUCAGCUUUUGGCCCUAUGCAGCGUAAGUACGUGUUAAAGGAAAUCAGAAUGGAAAAAGAAAAAGGAUCAACCCUUUAAACCAACAACCGGUACUGCAGCACCAGUUUUGUCUGUGCGUGGCGAUUCGUUUGCUUUUGCAGCAGCAGCUCCUUCCUGACCAAAAGAUAACCGUACUGCACUCACACACCCCCCACGGCGUGGCCAUGUCCCCGCAUGCAAACAAAACGAGCGUCGUUUCGUGACUUGUGACUGCUACAUCCAUUUAAUUUCCUUGUCAACAUUGCUGUUGUUAUCUUGGGGACUUGAGAUUUUGAAUCAUCAGCUGGUGGUGAGAGAGAUCAAGAUGAGAGGGUCGGAGGAGAUUUGGAGCAAUAUUGUUGCCUGGACCGUGCCAGGCAGCGCAGAGACCGGACGCGCAACGAUGGAACUUAACGCUACGAAAUCGUGUACACACAGAUCAUCAUAUCAAACAUGCACAGUGUCCAUCCGGCCGGUUCCGCUGCUUUCCAAAUUCCAAUGCAAGUACGAAAGGUGGGUGUCUGUUCUGUUUGUUCAUAAAGUAUGGACCGCGUGGUGGAAAAUGUUAACCGAACAGGGACUUUUCUGGUAGGGGAACGUCCAGAUUUUUCUUGUCGAAUGUAGGCCAUGGUAAUUAAUUGGUAAGCCCAUUGCAGGCUGUAAUGGCAGGAAUUAACUCAAAAUUUGAAGAAAAAGCUGCCUUUGCCGCUAGCCCUUGCUAAUGGCUCGUCGGAAGUCGGAACCCGCUUCAACCUGCCCCAACCUGCAUUAAAAAUAAACUCAUUCCCUUUCCCCCUACCCAACCCGUCUAAUUUAGACCCUCCAUCUCAAAUUGUAAGUUAUUCCAAGAAUCUUAGAGAGUUAAAGCAUUUUCACGUUUGACCAACAUUAUAGAGAAAAAAACUAAGAUUUGUAACAUAAAGUGAGUAUACUAUGAAAAUAUAAUUAAGAAAGAAUCUAAUUAUACUUAGUUAGUACCAUAAUUAUUAUUAUUUUAUAAUAUAAAUUUGGUCAAACUUAGAAAAGUUUGACUCUCCAAGAUUAUUAAAAUGACUUACAAUUUGGGAUGGAGGGAGUAUAAAUUUGCGAGGUCGGUUUGCUCAAAUUCAUUAUAGCGGUCGUUCGUUAAUUCUUUUUUUAUUGAACGAUCCCGCACAUGCCUGACAUAGUCUUUAAGUGUCUGACGUCACUUUUUUUUUAAAAAACAAACUAUUUAUUUCAAAAUAUUAUAACUUAUCAACGAUGUAUCCAUUUUUAAAAUACUAUAACAUCACUAGAAAAAUUCUUCCAAACAUAUAUAAGCAUGGUCUAGUUUUGAUAUGUCUCGUCACGUAGAACACAUUGGUAUAAAUAAAAUUAAGAAAAACAGAUACACCAUUCAAAAACUAUAAUAUUUUAAAAUAAAAUUUUUACGUGAACCCUAAUACAAUUGAAAUUGAGUGGACACAUGCAGCAGUUCGUUUAGCCGGGAAAAGAGAACGAGUACAAUUUGGGUUGCAUGCGGAGAUAUGAUUAUUCUUUCAAAAAAACGAAAGGAGUGGUAUUAUUUGCUCGUUUCUCGAUAGAUGAGGAUGAAAUCUAAAAGAGAAUGUGGGAGCGCUACUAAAUUAUGAUGGUAAGUUAUUCGUCAAAUUAACGCUGUUUAAUUUAGUUAUAUAAGUUAGGCUGAUGAACCCAAAAGAGAAUGUGGGAAUACAUAUUUGUCGAAGUUAUGCUAUUUAAUUCAGUUAUCUAAGUUACAUGCAUAUGGUUCGUAAAAAGAAACAUUGUAGCGUGUGCGAUUGAACUAGAAGUGAAAAGAGAAUGAAAUGCCCAAAAGAAUGGAAUGCCUGCGUCGUCAAAAAGAGAAAGUCAAGUGAAGUAAAAUAAAAUAAAUGUUUUCCUAUUUAGAUAAUAUUAUUUAGAUAAUAUUUGUUGGAAUGUUUAGGUGUUUUUUUUUUUAAAAAAAAACGGUCGCUAAUUAGUGAGGUCCAGGCGAGGGAGCCGUUGCUGCUAGUGCUAGUGCUAGCUGCCCACCACCGGGCCGGGCUCAGGUCAUAUAUCUUUUACCUUUUUCUUUUUGGCUGGGAGAGUAGCCCACCCUGUUGCUCUCUGGUUGGGGUAAUUUUGAACGAUCCAUCAGGCCACCAACAGAGGGAUUUUUGUUUCCUUUUUUUUUUUUGAAAACGUAAUCUUGCUUCAAACAGCGAUUUUAGUCAAAGACGAAAUAGACACAAACUUGUGUACAGACCAGUACAGGUACAGAAAGAUGAAAUCUGCAGAGUGCAGACUGCCAUCUGGUUCCAAUCCCUACGCAGUACAGUACGAGUACUUGUUUCAAUUCAAAGGUUAAAAAGAGAGAGAGAGAGGAAAAAAAAGAAGCCCUAUGAGUAGUACGUACAGAAUUAAGGGUGUCUUUCUAAUAAAGUAGGGAUUAUUUUGGAAAAACUUAACAGAGCAAGGACUUGUCUGGUAGAAAGUCAUCCGGGGCUAUAUAACUAUCUCCAGUUCCCUACCCGUUCCUUCUUCCUACACACUGCACACAGGCUCUCCCAGACUCACGAAACCCCAAUCCAACCAUGGCGUCCUUGGCUCGCGCCGCCGCCGCUGCCCUUCCGUCCCUUCGAGCUCGCCACCUCGGCUCCGGGUCCGGGCGGCUCUCUCUGGCCGCGGUGCGGCCGUGCUCGCCGUCCGGAGGGACGGGACGGGCCGCGGCGGGGUCCUCGCCACCGCUGAGUUCAAGGUCAGUUCCUCUUAUGGCGCUCGCUCGGGGUUGGACUUGUCUCGGGUUCGCCUUGGUUCUUGGUCUUGUAUAACCGCUGUUCUCGAUCACUUAGGGGCUGCUGGUUCUCUCUUCAAAUCUCGAUCUGCGUGGGUUGGCUUGGCUGUGCUUCUUUUCGCUUCCCUCCAGACUUGCUCCGUGGAUUCAUACGGUGAUUUCUUUCGUUCAUGGCAUAUCCGUGUGCCCUCGCUCCAAACCCAACCCCGUCCAUGGAGUGGGAAGUGGGAACUGGUGGGAAGGGAAGUCUCCGUGUGAGUUUUUUGUUUGCUUUUUCUCUCAGCCUCUCCAAGCCUCGUCCAUGCAUGGAGGUGGCCGGAAAAACAAACAAACAUGAUGAUCUCUCUUUUCGUUGAUAGCCUUUUUUAUUAUUUUUUUCACGGUGUUUUUUCCUUCUCUGCAAAUUAAUUUGCGUGUGAUGCUCGAACGCACUGUCGGAUCGUACCCGGCCAGAUGAGCAGUAUGUAUAUUGCUGCCAAGAUGAAACGGACAAGCAUGCAGUCGUCGAUCGUCUGGGCCUUCUUUUUGCUUCUUCUUUUCUGUUUCACUACUCCUCCGGCCGCUUGUUCUCUCUGUUUUUGGUUACUUUGUUUAGUUCUUGUUCAAAAACUUCAUAAAAGAAAUUAGAGCCACAGUGUGCGGUCAGGGUCGGGACAAGCUAAGGCUUGCGGCUGGGUGAUUAUUAUAUUGCAGUUCGAUCAGUUUGUGGUUUGAUUUAAUUUUGUGGUGAUUUAUUUCUUGGGUUUCUUUCAGCCUGCGUUGUUUUUUCAUCUCGAAAUGUUUUUUCCUCGGCUCGAGUCUAGCAAAGAACAAGCUAAGUGUCCAGAGGUUUUUUGCGUAUCCAGAUCAUUCUUUUAAUUUUCGUGUUGCUUAAAUGUGUAUGCCGCCCUAUAUAUGCAUGUAUGUCAGGGUACUAGCUAUAUAUGGCGAGAGGGCUAGCUAGCUCGCACACGAUGCGCGCAGGGACGCUGUGCUUUUUCUUUUUUUUUCGUUCUUUUGAUGAUUUCCAAAUCCGGCCCGUUUUCUGCACCUUGGUGAUCUCGAUUUUUCUCAGUUUGGUGUUGGUCGCUCGUCCCUUAUUGUUCAUCCAGAUCUGUGCCCCGGCCCGCUUCAAUUCCUUCGUGGCGUGCUGGGCACCGCGGCCGGCAGAUUGGGAUCGAAUCGGCAUGUCUCGGUGUUUCUGGGAGUUUUUGUAGUUCUCCUUAUUAUCUACUUCAGUACGUACUUCCUGCUGUAUGGUGCGUUUAUAUGUGCGUUCACACUUUCUUCGUUUUUCCUAUUCGGAUCGGCACUCCGAUCCAGGAUAUCAAUUUUAUCUCUCCAUCCCCGCCCCAGUACGUUCUUGUUUUACUGUGUAGUCUCUCAGUUUCUUUUCUCUGACAUUAUUGUUUUCUUUUUCUUAUGUUUGAAGGUCCCGUUUCCGCGUUCGGCGUCGGCUGUUAAAGCCACAAAUGCUGAGUCUCAUGAUCGCCCCGCAGAGGGAGCUGACGACCACUCUGAGUCUGAUGAGGAGGUGCUAUAUACUACUCCCUCUGUUCCAAAUUAUAAGUCAUUCCAAGAAUCUUGGAGAGUCAAAUCAUUUUCAAGUUUGACCAAAAAUAUAUAGAGAAAUAUAAAGAUUUAUGUCAUAAAAUAGGUACACUAUGAAAAUAUAACUAACAAAGAAUCUAAUGAUACUUAGUUGGUACAAAAAAUGUUAUUAUUUUGCUAUAUAAAUUUGGUCAAACUUGAAAAAUUUUGACUCUCCAAGAUUCUUGGAAUGACUUAUAAUUUGGGACGGAGGGAGUACCUUCAAUUUAGUUUGAUUUGAUUUAAAAUUUUGUUGUGUGUUUACAUACUUUGUUUUUCAGUUUGAGCUCGUCCGUGAGCUGAAGGCUGCUCUGGACCGCAAGAUCAAUGAGACAAGUGGUGUCAAGAUACUUCUGCUUGAUGAGGAUGAUGUUCCGCAUUCUAUCAUCUAUCAGAACUUGCUCGAAAGCUACGUUAAGGAGUCUUUUGCUGUCUGGGCUAAGGUGACAAGCCGCUUUAGGCCCCCAACUGAGAGCAAGUUGUAUGAGGUAAAUUUAAUUGGGCAAAUAUUCUUUCAUCCUGCUACAAUUCUUACUGCUGCCUAUUAUACUACCUGUAAUAAUCUUCUAAUACGUACAGGGCCUGAGGCUGUGUGGGGAAACAUUCAUCAGUGCUGUGGUGAGCUGCCACGACUGUCGGGCGACUUGGAAGAACAUGUCUGAAGUGGUGGAGGCGCUGGACCUUCUGCGCCGGCUCGUGUCGUCCACUCUGAAGGCGCCGCUUCCACUAGACUGGUCGCUCCGCUGGGCCUGGGACGCACCAAAGGGCGACGACGAUGCUGAGAGGGGACUCGUCUACCUUGUGCACCGUAUUUCUGUUCUGAUGGUGAGGGACAUCAACUCCAUGUUGAAGCUGGACGAUGCCAACUAGCAGGUUGGCAAAAUCUACUUCUCUACUACUGGUUUUAGCUUAAACUAUAUAUCUUAGCUCGAUCAACGAUCAAUUUCUUAGCUCUGGCGAGUCUCUGCAUUAUUAUUAUUAUUAUUAUUUUUUCUGUUUCUUAUAUAGCUCGGUGAGUAUACUUUCUGACUCAUUCUACUUUGUUUCCAUGGAACAGAUCUGCUCUCCUCCUAGCCAGAACAAGACAGUGAUCUGAUCAGCGCCCAGGAUCAAAGUUGCUUCAAGCAGGGCCUUAUCUAUAUCUACUAGUAGUAGCUGUUAGUGUUGUUUGGUUUGUUGCUUUGUCUUACAUGCAUGUUAGUGUUGUGAUGACAGUAUUGGUAACUUGAGUUGAGUCAGACCCGGCCUCAUGUGCACAUUAUUAUCUCAGUUUACCUACCUUCUGUUGUGUCGUACCGUACAAUUCUCUAAGUUAAUUAGUGAGAUGUUAUCAUCAUAUCGUUGAGUUUUUCUUCAGUUUCCUCCAUCUGUCGAUCAAUUUGGCAGGCCAUACGUACGUACGUUGUUACCGGCGGGGUGCAGUGCGAGCCCUCAUCCUUCUUGAAUUUGGCCUGACAAUUAAUUAUUGCAUCGGAUCCGUCAUGGCCGGGCUCGAUCGAGAUCACAAUCCACUGCUGCCACCAACAGCUGCCCAUUAUUUGUUAAAAACAGUAAAAUGGGUUUCACACCAUUGUGAGAUGCAAAACUCUAACAAAGUCGGCUAGUCGAUAGACAGUACGUGCUCGACGACUGACACUUUGCAUCUGACAACUUCCCCUACACUGUCAUCAAACACUAUGACUAAAUAGGACUAAAAAGUGUAUUAUAGCCAACUAGUUAAGUGUUGCUAAAUGGGACUAAAGCCUACCUUUUAAUCAUGUUGUCUUAUAUUUUAGUCGCUUUGGAGCUAAACACCUUGAUAAAAAGGGACUAAAAGACCUCUAGUUUAAGUGACUAAACUUUAGGAGGCAUGAACCAAAUACACACUUAGUUGUCACGAGCACACAACAACAAAAGAUGAUGGAUGGCACGUGGGGUGGGGCCAGCAGCCGGCUAGGACCAGCGGCAAGACUAGCGACGAUUAAUGGCAAGCACCAAUAUAGUGGCACCUCUUGUUUUGGCAUAACAACUUUUUAAAUCCUUCGAAUUGAAAAAAAAGGACCUUUAAAUUGUUCAUGAUGCAGUCAUGUCGAUCGACCAAGUAGCACAAAGUGUGACUUUUAACUAGGGUGAACACAAAUUAAGGACUCACAUAAGUACUGUGUAACACUUGCAAACUGUUUGGCCCGGCAGCGACCAUGCGUAAUCCCUAUAAAAAUAAACCCCACUAUACUCUCUAGCCAAUGGCGAAGCUAGAACAAAUUCGAGAAGGGUGCGGCUGCCUUAUAGAUACAUAGAUUUGAAUCAUAAUCAUGGUGGAAUUUUAACCCUAUUCAUUGAUAUUUAAAAUUCUAGUGGGUGCAUCCGCAUCCACCAUCUUAUAGGUGGCUUCGCCACGGUCUCUAGCACCUCCUUGAGCCACAUCAACAUCUAGUUCUCCUAUUUGUUGCCGCAUGUAAGUGCCCACUUAUAGUGGAUAUAGGGCCUGUUUAGAUCCCAAAUCUUUAUAUCCCAAACCUUUUGGUUGUAAACUUUACAUUCCAAAUAGGUGUUUAGAUGCUUCCCAAAUUUUUUGGUCUGCAACACACAAGACACGGGUCUCUAAGCAAGUUUACACAGUUUUGGGGCUCUAAGGUCCCAAAUUCUAAAUCUUUACACCCCAAGUUUUACAGCCUCUGUUUAGAUCCAUUCUUCCAAAAAGUGCUUAUUUUUUUCCAAAAGUUUUGGCUGUUUGGCUACAUCUAAACAAGGCCAUAGUGACCAUGCACGCAUACUGCUAGUAUUAUUCUCUCACGUGACUUCAUCUCUUGCUCUUUGAAAACUGACUACUAAUAAUCAAGCUAUAUAUAGAUGAUUCGUAGACUACAGUAAGGAAUAUUGAUACUCCUCCUUCAUACAUGCGGCAAUGCGCAGAGAAUUCUCCUAGUAUUCCGCUAAAUCAAUGUGCAAAGCAACCUUAUAUAGUACCCAAUCCAUCUUUUUCCGGCUCAAGUUGUCUUGACGGCUUCAGCAAAGAAAAGACAACUCCUCAAUACUCUUGCCCAUUUUAUUAUUCCUGCAACAAUAUACAUCACAACGGCAUUCAUCAUUGCAAGUUGCAACAAAGUCAAAGCUAGGCAUAGCAAAGAGAUAAGUUGCUAAUGAGAAGAGAAAUAAAUCGGACAUCAUAUUUCUUAUUAACCUUGGGUGUUAAGUACUUCAGUGCAACCUUGCGAGCUUCAAUAAGCAGAAAAAUAUAUACAGCUGCACGUUCAAAGCCAUACUGGAGCAUCGUAGUCACCUUCUGUUGAAGCUAAUAGAAGUGAUGAUGCACAAGGGUUAGUAAUUAAUAAUAUCAUUGAGACAACAAAUUCGGUUAAAGAUGAUGGCAAGUAAAUCUAUGGACAAAGAUGCACCUUUUGUUCCGUAAUCCUUGCAACUUCAUCUUCCAAAUUAUUCAUCUUUUUAUAAAACACUCGGGAAUAUGUAUCCAUAGCAUGGGUGAUUUUGUUUUUCAAAUGACCAUCUUUGAGCUUAGUCACGGUAUCUUGAACUAAGAUAUGACAAAUUGCCCCCAAGCCUCUAAGAGCACCAAGAAACGAGAGAGUCGUGGUUUCUGUCCCGAUCUUCUUGUGGUAAGCAUCACCGGCAACAUUAUAAAGUAUAGCUGCAUAUGUCCUAACCAUCUAUAUUAUAGAGAUAAGAAGAUCAUUAAGUUCAUUCACAAGUGUUAUCUAAAGUGGCAUGAACCUGGCAGUGAAGGUUACCUGAUCUAUUGUAUGUCGAGAAAAUUCUAUUGUACCAGGGCCAUCAUGUGCAAUAUCCUAGGUAGUUUUAAAACAAUCGAUGGAUGUGGCAAGUUAAGAAAAUAAAAAUAAUUAUUGCAUACUGUGCCCUAUAAAUAUUAUAAAGGAGCAAAAAAAUAUAGUUGGACACUUAGGCCCGCUUACCAUGACCUUGGAAGCCAAAUCCAAACCUUCCUUUGCUCUUAAGCAAACUGCUUCUGCCACUACCCUUUCAUCAAAACUCUACAGCAGAUAAACAAAGAGGAAAAGAUAAUGAGAUAUCUAGUAUUUGGAGACUCGCUCGACCUUGCUCUACAAACAUGUCUUAAAUCCAAUACGUAAAGAAUGCUAAUGACAUCAUCAGAUCCAAAAAAAAAACUUAGCGCGAUUCGUUUUCAACAUUAUUGAACAAUUAAAGUUUUAUAUACUAGUAGUGUAGUAGUAGUAGUAGAAACAAAGGAGUUUGUCGAACUUGUUCCAACGUGAUUGAGAAUUUGAGAUACAAACAUAAUUAUAGGGUGUGUUUGGUUGUAUGGACUAAAGUUUAAUAGGUGUCACAUUAUAUGUUAUAUGAGAUAGUCCGAUACUAAUAGAAAAGCAAAUUAAAUUAUAGACUCCGCUAGUACUCCGCGAGAGAAAUUUAUUAUGCCUAAUUAAUUCAUCAUUAGCAUAUAUUACUGUAGCAAUUAAUGUCUAAUCAAUGAAUUAAUUAGAUUUAAAAAAUCAUCUCAUAAAUUAGUCUCUAACUAUAUUUUUUUAGUUUUACAAAUAGUUUAGUAUUUAAUACUCUUUAUGCAUGUAUCAAACAUCCAAUUUAAUAAGAACUAAAGUUUUAGCGGUAGUAAUAAAGGACCUCACCCGACCGUCAGCUGAACGACCCAAGUUCAUCCAGUAGUCAGAAAUUUGUUCCUUCUCUUUAAGGAACAUAUCAGGAGGCUCCCGCUGUGAUAUACGUACAAAACAGUGACAUGCAUGCAUCAGAGUUAAUAAUAACAAAGUCCAAUACUCCAAACAACGAGUAUUUUUUUAUUCUGAAUAUUCUGAUGAUUGGUACCACAAAAAAAACUAACAAUACGAAAUUACUAGUGGUUGAUAACCAUCGCCGCAAAAAAAAAAAAAAAGCCUAACAAUACCAAAACAGUGACAUGCAUGCACAUCAGACCUAACAAUACACAUAACCAUCGCCAGAAACACUUACCACGCCUAUAGCAGCUAAAAGUGCCUUUUUCUUGUUGAGCAACUCCUCCACCAAGGGGUGGUUCUGCAGGUCCGGCACUCCAAACAAACGGAAAAUUAAGAUAAGUUCUAGCACUCCAAGAGAGAGAUGAUGAUCCAUAUCUGUUCUGUACGUACAGCUCAGCUCUUGUUAAUUACCUUUUCGGGAUCGUGGUUCUCUGCAGGCUCCGGAUCUGGCUCAUUCAGACCAUCGUCGUCGACACGCUUCUCGCAGUGGGAGCGAAACGAGUCGCGCCGCGUGCGGGCCUGCAACUUAACCGGCGCCGGCGAGGGGCCUCGCCGGCCCAGCGGAUUCAUGGCCACGUGGAACGGCCGCGAGAUACGGGACGCGGCGGCGGCCACGGCCGCGGGGGGACGCGCGCGCAGCGGGAGCGCGGCCAUGCCUUGUUACGUGUGAAUUUUCGAGAUCAGAGAUCGACAAGGCCGGGGAGAACAAACACACCGAGUUUACUUUGAAAAACUUUGGUCUCUCUAUAUAUAUAUAUAUAAUUCAACCUUGGCGCAGUCUAAUCAAAAUUCCAACUCUCAGUAGGUAACACAAGUUUUAACUUGAUAAGAACUCGAUCUCUCUAUAUAUAUCAACAAAAAACUUAUAUUAUCAAAAAGAUGCUCAUGGACCCUCCUCAAUACUGCCCUUCUCUGUCUUCCUCUCCGGGGUUGCAAAGUCAUUCUCAAAUAAAUAUAAUUGCAGCCAAGGUCUCUGCAUCUAAUACGUUUGAUUGAGCACCAAAUCUAGCUUCCCCAAAGUCUGAGCAAUGCCAUUUGCAUGGGCUGGUUUCUCCGCGGAUAGCUUCCCCACCACGUGGAUUUCUUUAUCCUUGAGGUCUUGUCUAGAUGUUGUCGGAUUCACUUAAAUCCAUAUGUAUUGAUGUGAGUUAGGAUAUAAUUUAAUUUAAGUUCCACUCCUCAACACAUGUGGAUUGAUGUGAAUCCAAUAACAUCCCAACAAAGCCUAAGGUUUGUUCCAGCCCAUUAUGUUCGCUAAACGACCGGCUGCGUGCUCUAAUCCUACUGUGUCUUGCCGGAUCGAGGGACUGUGUCCAAAUCCGAGCACCCAUGCAUCAUAAUCAAUCAAUCAAAAGCAAGUAUUAUUCAUUCAUCCAUCAACCAAAACAAGUGUGGAUCAUCCUACUUUCCCACACUUGUAAUAAUGUAAGCGCAAAUUAGAAUGCACCAAGCUGCUGCGAACAAGACAUGCAUAUCUUCUGCUUUGUUCAGCGACCUACGGCUUUCUAACAUCCUAUAUGUUUCUGGCUAGUCACGAUGCAGACUCUAUCAUAAAGUCUAAAGUUAUUUAUUACCUCGAAUAAUAUGGAUUUAAAGUCUAAAUAAGACUUCGAGUUUUAUUUUUUUUUCUACCUCCUUUUUCUACCUCGAACAAGGACACUCACGGCACUCACAAUGCAAGACUCUAUCAUAGGGUCCAAGACAAUUAAUUACAUAUUAUUUAUGGUACUUUGCUGAUGUGGCAGCAUAUUUAUUGAAAAAAGAUGUAGAAAAAAUAAGACUUCAACUCUUAUUUAGACUCUAAGUCUACAUUGUUCGAGGUGAUAAAUAACUUUAGACUCUAUGAUAGAGUCUAUAUUGUGAGUGCCCUCACAAUUUAUCACAGAGUCCAAGACAAUGAAUUGCAUAGUCCCUCCAUAUACAAAAACAAGGUCGUUUAGAACAGGAUUUAGCAUAUCAAAGAGUGAUUAGUUAGGGUAAAGUUUUUCCUGUUUGCACCUUCACGUGCAUUCUUUUCGAGAAAGUUUCACAGACUAACUAGCUAGCGCCUCGAGGUGGGAGGCUAGCGAGUAGGGUUCAACUCCCCUUGACCCUAAAUAUUUUUGGCCAAAUAUUACAUGGAGAGUUUUUGCAUGGCACUGUUUCGUCGUGGAGCCUGAGCGCGUAUAUUUUCGUCGUUGGCACCUUUUUUCGGCUCUAGGAAGUUCUGGUGCUUUUUUUCGGCUGGCGGUGCAGACAUUUGGGCUACCAAAGGUGUAGUAUUUGUGCGCUUGCAUACUGCUCUCUUGUAACCACCUUUGCUUCAUGAAACCGAAGCUACUCUUGCUGCACCAAAUAAUUAGAGUGAUGCUAGUUAGCUUAAUUAGUAGAGAAAUCCUUGUAAAAGUAAAUGAGAACUCAAGCUUGUUAUCUUUCUGCUGGUUUGGUGUCGUCCUCCUUCGCGGCAGCUGCGGCGUCAUCCUCCUUCGCGGCUGCUGCGGCUUUGACGUCGGCCUUCGCGGCUGCUAGCUCGCCGAGCAUCUUGAUCACGUGUUCAGGUAACACGAUAGAAUUUCCACGGAUCACGAGAUUGUUUAGAUCGGGAAUAAAAAGCUCGUAGUCGAACUCGUUUUGGUCGUAUAGCCAGGCGCGGAUUUAAUACUCUCUGUGGAUGAGACCGCAGCGAGAACAUAGCCAAAACAGCGAGUGCGCACGAUCCCAUGAUUCGCGGUUCUCAUGAACGCGAUGACAGCAAGGGCAUAGAAAAGCUCCCGGCGGCUAGAUUUCCGGCACCAUCUCAGAGUCCGUCGCGACGGAGUCUGGCACCAUCUCCGAGUCUAGCGCGAUGGAGUCCGGCACCUCUUGCGAUGCGAUGGAGUCUGGCACGGACUCGAGCAGUGAGUCUGGGGCGAUCUCCAUGGUCGGCGAGCGGCGUGGCGAGCCUGAGCGUGAGCGGCGCGGCGAGCGGGGCGAGCGAGAUGAAGCCUUGCGCGCUACAGACCGGCGAGUGUGAGCGGCGGCGCGGCAAGCACGCCGGCAAGCACGCGAGGUGGGAGCCUGGCGAGUUAGCGGCGAGCACUACCGAUCGAGAGUGUGUAUGGUGGCCACUACUAGCGAGAGGGAGUAUGGCGGCCAGCAUCAGCUCCACACGCCUUUAAGACGUCCAACCUCCUACGCACACAGAGAGGGCGGCCAUCGCACGCGCGGCGAGAAUCGAGGUAAUCGUCCACGCACGGCGGGGAGUAAAUGUGCGCCGCGAUCGAUGAGGUAGGGGCAAAGAAGUCCAGGGGAGGGGCUCCAGCGCUACAACGACGUUUUUUUCCACAAUCCCGUUUCGAGCCAGGACGACGUUCUUUUUUAUAUAGAGCGAGUAUUAUUUAUGAUAUUUUGCUGAUGUGGCAGCAUGUUUAUUGAAAAAAGAGGUAGAAAAAAUAAGGCUUCAAAUCUUAUUAAAUUCUAGGUCCAUAUUUUUUGAGGUGAUAAAUAACUUUAGACUCUAUAAUAAAGUCUGCAUUAUUAGUGCCUAACUUCACAAGAAGCUAAAUCAGAAACCGCGUCACAAACAAGCAUCACUGUAGUUAAUUAUCUCUCGGCAUGCAAAAGCUGAAUCAAAAUCAGUACCUGCCAUGCAUGGAGGCCACCUAAACCCUAAAACCCGAAACAAACUAUCGAGCAUUUCAGAGUAGUAUAAAAAUUGACGAGCCACUGCUCGCUGACAGACACACCAGCAAUUGCAAUUCAGAGACACUCUUCGUCGCCUUCUCCUUCCGCUUUCCACAAUCUCACGAGCUUGGUUGUGGCUGUGGGUCGCAAUGAGUCCGCCGCGCUCCGCUGCACCGGCCGCGGCGCUGCUCGUGCUGACGGUGGCACUGGCCGCGGCGGCGGCGCCGCUGGAGCGGGCGGACGACACGAGGUGCGGCGUAUGUACGAGGCGUGGAAGUCGAAGCACGGCCGGCGGCCGCCCUGCGACAUCAGCUCCGACGGCCGGCUGCGGCUGGAGGUGUUCCGUGACAACCUGGGGUACAUCGACGCGCACAACGCGGAGGCGGACGCCGGGCUGCACACCUUCCGCCUCGGCCUCACCCCCUUCGCCGACCUCACCAUGGACGAGUUCCGCGCCCACGCGCUCGGCUUCCUCAACUCCACUCUGCCCCGCGCGUCGCCAGCGACCGCUACCUGCCCCGCGCCGGCGAUGACCUCCCCGACGCCGUCGACUGGCGCCAGCAGGGCGCCGUCACCGGGGUCCAGAACCAGCUGGACUGCGGUUCGUACUGAGUCUCGAUCCAUGCUUGCCAGGCUAGUAAUUAAGUUCUUUGGUAGUAGUAUAGUACAAGGAUUUGCACUGAUGAUGAUCUCUGGCGUGUGUGUUGCCGUGAGGGAUGAUGCAUGCAGGUGGGUGCUGGGCGUUCUCGGCGGUGGCAGCCAUGGAGGGGAUCAACAAGAUCGUGACGAACAACCUCAUAUCGCUGUCGGAGCAGGAGCUGAUUGACUGCGACACUGAGGACUACGGCUGCAACGGCGGGCAGAUUCCAGUUCGUCAUCAACAAUGGCGGCAUCGACACAGUGGCCACUAUCCCUUCGUCGGAACUGACAUGCAUGGCUUGCGAUGCCAUCCGGGUUAGCACUCAUCUCAUCUCAUGAUUAAAUCUCUGCAUCAACAAUAUGCGUACAUUGGUGGUGACGGAGCAGGCCGGUUUGCAUUUUAUUCAAUGCACAUGCAGGAAAACAGAAAGGUUGUGUCCAUAGAUUCAUACGAGAAUGUGCCGGCCAACAACGAGAAGGCUCUGCAGAAGGCGGUGGCGAACCAGCCGGUUAGCGUCGCCAUUGAUGCCGGCGGUCUUGCAUUCCAGCUAGCUCUACAGCUCGGUAAGCAUGAGAGUGAGAGCAGCAGCAGGAUUUGUUCUUCGUUCUGGAACUGUUCUUCCCCGAUUAAUCUUUCGUGCGCUGCGUACAACCUGCGGGGUGAAGCUGGACCACGGCGUGACGGCGGUGGGCUACGGCAGCGACAACGGCGAGGACUUCUGGAUCGUCAAGAACUCGUGGGGAGGGGAGCAGAUUGGGGGGAGGGCGGCUCCAUCCGCAUGGCGCGAAACGUGUUUCUGCCCAUGGGCAAGUGCGGCAUCGCCAUGGACGCGUCGUACGUACCCGGUGAAGAAUGGCCCCAAUGCAACCCGACGGCUGAGCCGGAGAUCAAGAUGGUUCGUGCUUAUUAUUAUUAGGCAGGCUCCUGACCACCGAUUUGACAUUUGCAUGCCAGUGUGGUGUAAGAGUGUUAAUUUGUUUACACGUUUGUUGUUGUGAGUUGUGAUGGAAAUGGUCUCAUAUUGAACUUUAAUUAUUUAUUUAUAUGUACCACCGAAAAUAAACUAUGAAUAAAUUAUCACUUAUAUCCUAUAUAUAUUUCAAGUAUCUGUUUUUUUUUGUUCAGACAAUAUAUAAUUCUGUCAUCGUUUAGCUAUUGAAAAAAUAAAUUAUAUAUCUCGUGUAAGUUGUCUUUAUAAUUAUACUGCUAGUCGGUUGCGUAAGAUUGUUGCUUCAAAAUUCAGACAUCUGAAACAUAGAAACUCUCAUAAAUUAUGUAUAAAUAAUUAAAAAUUGCACAAGAAAAUUUUGAGAACAUUCCUCACAAUGUAAGCCAUUUGUUAGUUUUCGUAGAGGAAACAAUAUGCAAGCCAAUAAAUAAAACUUAUUCUCACCGGACCAGCUUAUAAAUUGCGUACACAUAUCAAGAUUCACGCUUUAUAUUUUUUAACUAAUAAUUUUUACUAUUAUAAUACAAACUUGAUAGGGUUCAAUUUAUAAUAAAAUAUACUAUCCAAUAAUCAUAAUAUUAUAUAAACAAUAAAAUAUAAAAUAAAUAAAUGAUCAAAGUAUCACUUGGAGACUAACAUGUUAAACGUCUUAGGCUAAUCCUAAUGCUAGAAACGCAACUAGAUUCUACGUCUAUCAAAUCAUGUAAACACUACAUAUAUAAAUUAUAUUUUUUAUUGGGUAGUUUCAUUAAUCAAAUUUUGUCCAUUCAUAUGUCUUCUCUCUUCAUUAUCUACCCGUCAUAUCUCUUCAUAUCUUAAUUUCCAUGUAUACAUAGUUUAUUUAUCUAAGACACCAUUUCCUUCUCUCUCUUUUUUGAUUCCAAUGAUACAUUACUAUUUUUGCUUAGUUGGCACUCUAAUUAAUGAACAUAAAAAUUAUUCUAGUUUGUGAUCAGGAGUGCCUUAGGACAGUCUUAGUGGGAGUUCACCAGAGUUUUCAUUUAUAUUUAUUAAGCCAUCACAUAAGCAUUUUUUUAUGAUGUGGUAACAUUUUUAAGAAGGGAGAGAAGAAGUGUGUUUUAUACGGAUAAAACCCUCUUGGCUCGGUUACCAACUCAAUAUGAGUCAUGAAAAUAAACGUCUAUGAAAUAAAAGAAUGAAAAUAUGUAUUGAGAGUGAUGAUUUCAUCCAUGUUUCAUUGCAUUCUAUGAUUUCAUCCACAAUAAAUGAGAAUGGCCUUUUAAACUACUUCAGAGGCAAUACAUGAUAAGGCACCACAUCAUAUAUAUAUAUAUAUACUAUAGUAUCAAGGAUACCAUAUUGUAUGAUAAGUAUUACUAUAUAUAUGUUAGGAAGAAACACCCUCUAUACUGUAUAGUAUCAUUCUCCAAUAUCCAAGAUAAUUAAUUUGUUGUGAUGUCAUGUCUAUGAGAGUGGACGCAGGACUAGGAGGAAAGAGCUAAAAACUUGAUAAGGUGAGGGCUGGGUCAUGGUGAGACGAGGCCUUGGAUAGCACAACUUGCCUGAGAUAGCUAAGGAUCGACCCUUGUUGCAUUAGAGCAUCUCCAACAACUUGAUAAAAUUCACUUGUUAAAUAUUGGGUUAUAGCAAGUUGCAAAUUAGUUUGGCAAGGGAAAAAAAGAUGUGUUUCCAACAAAUUGCUAUUCUCAUUUGGUAAAAUUGAAAACUAGACUCAUCUUUCUCCACAAACCGGUACUGGCCGUGAGUGGCCGCGUCUCCUGCUUGUUCGCGUGUGUGGCCACGACUCCUGCAUGUUCACGUGCGUGGCCGCCGCCACCGCCGUUCGGUACUCUCCAUCACUACUAGAAAACGGAGUAUCCUUGAGGGCCAGCAAUUUCCUUGAGGGGUGAAAUUAAACCCCCAAGGAUAUACAAUUACCUUGAGGGUUGUAUAAAACCCCCAAGAAAAUGCAUAUUCUUGAGUGCUAAACCAAACCGCCAAGUUAAAUCUAUAUUUCCUUGAGUGCUAGUUGAAACCGCCAAGGUAAUUCUAUGUUUCCUUGAGUGUUAUUAUAAACCACCAAAGGUAAUUCACAUUUCCUUGGGCGUAACUAGAAACCACCAAGGAAGUUCUAUUUUCUUUGGGUGUAAACCCUCAAGUAAAUUAUUGUAGCUGCCAAGGUGCCAAGGAAAAAACAGUUUAUAGUCAUAUUUCUCUUAACCACCGAUAUAGUGAACUCAUUGCAUUCUUGUUAGUUAGACAUUGCAUUUUAUAGACAUAAACGCUCCAUUGACAUGUUUGGAAAAUGAUAUAUAAUUUUUGUUAGUAAAUUAAUCCAUUAAAAGUUAUAAUUUUGUGUUGUUAUGCAUUAGAGAAUGCAUAUACUAGCACUUAGCUUGAGAUGCCUGCUUAUUUUAAAGCCAAAAAGUAACAUAAUAUCGUAUGGAGGCAAAGAUUAUAUCAAAGUUAUAGAGCCCGAAGAGAUAUACAACAUCUUAGUCGAUGAAAUUUUCAUUUGAAAUUAUUUGAGGUCCAUAAAAUAUGUUUUAAAUUAUUAGAACUUUAAACUUUAAAUUUUUUGAAUCUUUCAAAUGACCUUAGAUAGAGAUACAACCUAAACCAAAGUUAUAGUACUCGAUGAGAUAUAAAACUUUAUAAUACAAACUUUUUUCAUUUGAAAUCAUUUAGGUUCUCAAAUAUUCAUUACAAGAUCCACUAAAGUAAAAACAAAAAGAAAGAAACAUUCACUUAGUCACAAAAGACUUCAUGGUGUAGUGGUAAGUUAGUUUCACAUGGAACAUCAAGUCCUGAGUUCGAUUCUCAGCUUUAACGAAUAUGAUAUUGUUUCUCUUUUUUUCAUGGAUAUCCUUGAGGGUCAUCGGCACUCAAGAAAACAUCUAUCCUUGGGUGUUUUUACAUUUUCUUGGGUGCCAUCGGCACUCAAGGAAACCUAUAUCCUUGGGUGUUUUUACAUUUUCUUGAGUGUCAUUGGCACUCAAGGAAACCUAUAUCCUUGGGUGUCGUUACAUUUUCUUGACGAUGUUAAAAAUCUGACCACUAAUUCAUUUUCUUGACGGUUUAACCCUCAAGAAAUUGAUUUGUGGCGGCCAGCACUCAAGAAAAUAGUAUUUCCUUGUCUCUCUACCCUUGGCGGCCAUUCCUUGAGUGCUAGCCGCCAAUAUUGAUUUUCUUGGCGGUUUUAGGGGUUUCCUUGAGGGUUUUUGACCCUUAAGGGUAUUCAGUUUUGUGGUAGUGCAUCCUCAACGUCGUUCUCAGGUAAACCUCUCCCGCUCCUUCGCAGCGCCGCUCCCGCCGCCGCCCAAGCAGACCACGAUCCCGCCGCUCAAACUCGUCUGGCUCUCCUCCCACCGCUACACGCUCCCCAAGUUCAAGGCCAAGGCCGACGCUUCCUGGAAGGCGCUGCUCGCGUGCCUCAGCGUCCCCGCCACCAAGCAGCUCUCGCCACUCGAUGUCGAGGCGCUCUUCUGGCGCUCAUCCGCCGACCGCCCUGUCAUCGUGGAGUACGCCAGCGACAUGCCUGGCUCCAGGUUCGCCCCCUGCGCCGCACGCCCGACGCAGCUGCCCGCGGCGAACGUGGGCGAGACGGCGUGGAACAUGCGCGGCGUGGCAAGGAGCCCCACCUCUUUGCCGCGCUUCGUGCGGGAGGAGGUGCGUGUGUGCCCACGGCAGUGUAUUUCGCGAGGGAGAGGGAUUUUGCGCGCGCCGGAGACAGCGCAGUCGCCGUCGCGGAAGAAAUUUUCGCGAUUCGCAGUCGAAGCCGCGCGCGGAUAUAUCCGCGUGCCACACCUCUGGAUAGCAACUUGAGAAAUAUAGCAAGUGUAUUUGAGGAAUUGUUGGAGGAGAAUUUUUGUGGUUUUGUCAAAUUUAUAAAGAUAGCAAGUUCAUUUAAGGAGUUGUUAGAGAUGCUCUUAAUGUGAGCACAUAUUCGUGCUUACCAUAUGUUACAUAUAUGGGCAUGCAUGGCAAGCUGAGUAUCAUGUUGUGUUGUGACUGCAUAAUUUGAUGGGGGUGUUUCGUGAUGAGGGGUAAGUAACAAGAUGCUAGUACUCUUGUGUUUCAUGACCAUUCAUUAGAUGAUUUAGACAAAUGUGGAAAAGGUUAAAACAAUGAGGCCUUGUUUAGUUCCUUCUCAAACCCAAAAUUUUUCAAGAUUCUCUAUGACAUUGAAUCUUUGGACACAUGCAUAGAGUAUUAAAUAUAGAUAAAAAAACAAAAACUAAUUACACAGUUUGCCUCUAAUUUGCGAGACGAAUCUUUUAAGUCUAGUUAGUCUAUAAUUAAAUAAUAUUUGUCACAUAUAAGUGAAAGUGCUACAGUACUCAGGCCUUGUUUAGUUCGCAAAAUUUUUUGAUUUUGGCUACUGUAGUAAUUUUGUUUUUAUUUGACAAAUUUUGUCCAAACAAGGAGUAACUAGGCUCAAAAGAUUCAUCUCACAAAUUACAGGUAAACUGUGCAAUUAGUUUUUGUUUUCAUCUAUAUUUAAUGCUCCAUGCAUGCGACCAAAGAUUCGAUGUGACGGAGAAUCUUGAAAAUUUUUGCGAACUAAACAAGGCCUCAUUUCCCUAAAAUUUUUGAAACUAAACAAGGCCUGAGUUACCUCUUAUGGACUGACAAAAGUCAUAUGAGUGGUGGUCUGGCUCUCAUGUUAGAAAAGUUGUACCUUUUUGCAACAUAUUGACAAUCAUUUUAAAAUCAUGUGUAGGGAUAAAAACGGAUCGGAUACGGACGGAUAUCACCGAUAUUAUAUUUGUUUUCAUAUUUCUGGUCGGAUUCGGAUUCGAAUACGGAUAAUAUCAAUCAUGUCGGAUAAGAUAUGAUUGGAUGUCGACAUCAUAAAUAUACGAUUUAAGUAUUCGGAUACGGAUACGGUAUCAGAUGUUAAACAUUCAAACUCGGAUACGGACAGAUCUAAACCUCUCUAAACGAAUUCGGUCUCGAAUACGAUCGGAAAAUAUCUGUACCGUUUUCAUCCCUAAUCAUGUGCUUUUGGUUAUAAGAAAGCACAUGAUUUUGUGUUUUGCCAACUCCCAAAAUAAUAUGUCAAGUAAAAAAGAAGUCUUCAAGAGUUUGCUAUUUUUAACUUGCCAUAACCAAAAAAAAGAAGGCUCAUUUUUUUACCAGUCAACAGUACAUCGCGACUCCUAUCCUUCACGCAAGAUUGACACCGCCGGCCAUUUGCUCCACCGCCAUCUGCUCCCUGUGCUGCAACGUAUCUUCCCUCUGUCGGCCAUGGGUUAUAUUUUAUUGUGAUAGACAUGAGCUAGGCCUUGUUUAGUUCCAAAAUAUUUUGCAAAAUUGACACUGUAGCUUUUUCGUUUGUAUUUGACAAAUAUUGUCCAAUCAUGGACUAACUAGGCUCAAAAGAUUCGUCUCGUCAAUUUCGACCAAACUGUGCAAUUAGUUUUUAUUUUUGUCUAUAUUUAAUACUUUAUGCAUGUGUCUAAAGAUUCGAUGUGACGGAGAAUCUGAAAAAUUUUGCAAAAUUUUUUGGAACCAAACAAGACCCUAGUAGCAUUCAGUACCACUAGCUAUAGCAGGAUUUUAUUCACGAAUCACGAAGAAGAGUAGACACUCAAUGUCCUUUCAGCAGGAGACAAGGACCUGCAAUAGCAGUCGGCUUGGAUUAAAUUAAGCGUCACGAAGGAGCAGACAACCGUCGUUUUCAUGUAGCAGGAGCAUCACUCACGCGCGCAAGAAACUCCGAUGCAGAUGUGCGUGCGCGUGCGGAGGGGAAGGAUGUCAGGUUCCCAAAACUGCCAAGUUGAUUUGUCAAUCUAGGUCUUGUUUAGUUUCAAAAAAUUUUGCAAAAUAGAAAUAGUAGCGCUUUCGUUUGUAUUUGACAAAUAUUAUCCAAUCAUGAACUAACUAGGCUCAAAAGAUUCGUCUCGUCAAUUCCGACCAAACUGUGCAAUUAGUUUUUAUUUUCGUCUAUAUUUAAUACUUCAUGCAUGCGUCUAAAGAUUUGAUGUGACAGAGAAUCUGAAAAAAUUUGCAAAAUUUUUUGGGAACUAAACAAGGCCCUAUUGGAGAGCAAAAAUUUUUAUUUUGCUAAAUUUUCAAGGAUAGCAACCUUAUUUAGCAAAAUCUUGGAGAUGCUCAAUCUAUCAUUGUCCUUAACGUACCGUUGUCAUGUUGCUGAACUCAUGAAAGAUCGAGCUCACGCGCGCCUCUUUAGUUUACACAUGUGUAAAUGCUCAUGCUGAAUCUAUAUAGAGUGUACAAGUAGUGUUAGGCUCAAUUUACUUCAUGAACUUGUUUACCUUGCUAAAUCUAUAUACAUAGUACUUCUUUGCGUAUUUUUUUAGGUAUAAGAGUGUAAGCCUAUAUUUGCAAUCUUAUCGUUAAUCUGUUAUUCCAAUUAAACAGACGCCGAUAUAUGAGUGCUUCUACGGCCAUGUUCGGGGUGGGAGUAGAGUUUGUCCCGGUCUCAAUAGAGUUUCAUGCACAUUAAAUAUGUUGAUGUGACUCUGUAUUAAUGAAGAGAUAUGAUAAGAGUUUUAUGGAAGUACACUGUUUCUAAAAUAUAGAUGUGUUGGAAACUGGGACACGAAACUCCCAUUAAUAAGGAUGGUCUAAGCAACUCCAACAGUUUUGCAAAUAGGUUUGGGAUUUUUGUUUUUUGUCAAAACUCUCAAAAUCUUCUAUCGAACAGUUUGGCAAUUGGGUUUGACAUUUAUAGCAAGUUGGCAAAUUCUUCUCCUUUCUUGGCAUUUAUGCACACUUAGAAUAGGCUUGACAUUCUGCAUGCAUGUGCUUUCAUAGCAAGCUGACAACUUGAUGAUUCUUUGUUGAUCUUCAGAACCAGUAGAAUUUUGUUUUUGUCAAGUCAAAAUUGUCAAACACUUGGAGAUGUCCUUUUUGUUCCCUCCCCAUAUCGUUUUGGGAGUUGGCAAAUAACAAAAUUUGUCAAACAAAAUUUGCAAAACUGUUGGAGUUGCUCUUAGUACUAGCACAGAUGGUACGAAUCCAGAGAUGAGCAGAUUAAUUAAGUUAUUAAUCUGAGAUUAAUAAAAAAACAUUCAAGGUCCGUUUGCAAUGUAGGAAUUUCGUAGGAAUCACGCAAGAAUUUUAAGAAUCAGUUUAAUUUUACAGAAAAGAAAAACACAGGACCAGGAUUUUUUUUCCCGGUAUUUCAAACAGGCCCUCGAUACAACGGUAUAUAUCCCCCUCAUGAAUACUUUGAAUUAAGCAUGCCUUGCACGUUGUGCUCUAAAAAAAGUGCAGGGAAGCUGUGGCCUGGCGGUCUCGUAGAGAAGUAAUAAGGCGUCGGCGAAAUAAAUUGACGACACACCGUGCUGGUCCUCCGGCCGGGUUCUUCGCCGGCCGUUGGAGCCCAAUUUCUGCCGUGCGCGCGUGGGGCGUGACUGCCUGCACCUGCUGGCUGCAGUGAAAACGGUUCCGGUGUCCCGCGUCCGGCGCCCCCGGUUUAGGACGAAAAGCAUCGCACUGGGGACUAAAAAAUCGGAAAGCAAGCUCAGCUUGAGGGGUGAAUGGGGGUGCCAUAUUCCAUCGUGCGUUCACUAAAAACGACCGGCUGUAUACAUGCGUGCUCUAAUCCGAUCACCCAUGCAUCAUUGCAUUGGAGGCCCCUGUUACCUAAGCUAGCUAUCCGUUUUGUAAACUCUAAUCCGAUCACCCAUCAUUUGCAUUGGGGGUUAAAUGAUCAUUUAGACAAACAGUACACUGUACACGUUCAGUUGUAUCCAUUGUGUCAUCAUAGUUGGGCUCUUGGCAUGCAUGCAUGUGGCGGCAGCCCUUUGUUUAAUGCAUGCAUGCAUAAUGCAUGGCGGCAGCCCUCUGUUUAAGACAGGUCUCUCAAGGAACAAUUUCUUCUUUUAGUGUAAGUGGUGGGCCCGGGUGACCUAGCUCGUUGCUUCACAUGGCUAUAAAUUGAUACCUCGUUCCACAGGCUAAGCCAAACCCACACUGCACUGAGACACACACAUAUACUUCACAUAUUCUCUCCUGACAAUCUCUCGCCCAGCUCAAGUGCUCAACACCAACUCGAAGGAUCGCCAUGCGUCCACCACGCUUCCUAGUGCCCACCACGGCGCUGCUUGCGCUCGCCGUUGCACUGUCACUGGCCGCCGCCGCCGCCGACGCGGCCCGCCACUCCUACGCCAUCGUUCCGGCGCCCGUGGAGCGGGCGGACGACGAGGUGCGGCGUAUGUACGAGGCGUGGAAGUCGGAGCACGGCCACGGCCACGGCUCCGACGACCGGCUGCGUCUGGAGGUGUUCCGCGACAACCUGCGGUACAUCGACGCGCACAACGCGGAGGCGGACGCCGGGCUGCACACCUUCCGCCUCGGCCUCACCCCCUUCGCCGACCUCACCCUCGAGGAGUACCGCGGCCGCGCCCUCGGCUUCCGCGCCCGCCGCGGCGGCGCGAGCAGGGUCGGGAGCGGCAGCAGUUACCGUCCCCGCCCCCGCGGCGGCGACCUCCCCGACGCCAUCGACUGGCGCGAGCUUGGCGCCGUCACCGGGGUCAAGAACCAAGAACAAUGCGGUGCGUACACUCGGCGGCCGGUGCCAUGCACGCGUGCAAGCUCAACUGUGGGUCGUUCUUAUAUAUAUAUAUAUAUAUAGAGAGAGAGAGAGAGAGAGUUUGCAGUUAGUUAUCUGAUGAUGAUCAUCUCUGGGCCGGCGCCUCCGGCCGGCCGGCCGUCGUCGGGCAUGCAUAUGUUGCAGGUGGAUGCUGGGCGUUCUCGGCAGUGGCAGCCAUCGAGGGGAUCAACGAGAUCGUGACAGGCAACCUCGUGUCGCUGUCGGAGCAGGAGAUCAUUGACUGCGACACCCAGGACGGCGGCUGCAACGGCGGGGAGAUGCAAAACGCUUUCCAGUUCGUCAUCAACAACGGUGGCAUUGACACCGAGGCCGACUACCCCUACCUCGGAACUGACGCCGCCUGUGAUGCCAACCGGGUCGGUACUCAUGAGGGUUUGCAAAAAUUUUCAAGAUUCUCCGUCACAUCGAAUUUUUGGUCGUAUACAUGGAGCAUUAAAUAUAGAUAAAAAUAAAAACUAAUUGCACACUUUACCUAUAAUUUGUGAGAUGAAUCUUUUAAGCUUAGUUACUCCAUAAUUAGACAAUGUUUGUCAAAUAAAAACGAAAGUGCUACAAUAACCAAAACACAAAAAAUUUGCAAACUAAACAAGGCCUCAGUACUAUGCCGCCAAAAGAUGCUGCAGUAGGAGUAUCUACAAUUCAAUCAGUACUGACUGAUUGUAAUGGAGAGAUUUGCAUGCAUUGUUCAAUUAAUUAAUUGCAGGUAAAUGAAAGGGUGGUGACCAUUGACGGCUUCGUGAGUGUGGCCACCGAGAAUGAGACAGCGUUGCAGGAGGCGGUGGCGAACCAGCCUGUGAGUGUCGCAAUCGACGCAAGCGGACGUAAAUUCCAGCACUACACCUCGGUAAGCAUCAUCGAUGACGAAUUGACGAUCAAACGUGUGCCAAGAUCAGAUCAUCGAUCAGAUGGAGGUGUUAUCAAUUAAUUUCUGGCCAUGAACGAACUGCAUGCUGUCUUUAAUUACAAUCGUACGUGCAUGCGCAUUAAUUCAGGGCAUCUUCAACGGGCCAUGCGGGACGCAGCUAGACCAUGGCGUCACGGCGGUGGGCUACGGCAGCGAGAACGGCAAGGACUACUGGAUCGUGAAGAAUUCGUGGAGCAGCAGCUGGGGUGAGGCCGGCUACAUCCGCAUCAGGCGCAACGUCGCCGCGGCCACCGGCAAGUGCGGCAUCGCCAUGGACGCGUCCUACCCGGUGAAGAGCAGCUCCAACCCGGCAGGGAUGGCUGUGCUGAAAAUGGUUGCUUAAUUAGGCCUUAGGCUGGCAGCCGACUGAACUGAAGUUACUCGUCUCCACUAUAGUGUGUUGUUCUUAGUUGUGUGAUGAAUGACGAUGCAUGGUCUAGUUUAACUUUAUAUAUAUGUGUAUCACCGGAAGAAAUAAUUAAGUUAGUCCUCAUAAUAAAUUUGUGAUGUGUGAUAAGUUAAUAACUUAUUAUUGUAAUAAAACUUCUGUCUUUUUAGUAACCAUGGAUUAUCAUUCCGUUUUGCAUGGUUUUAUCGAUCUUUUUUUUUAAAAAAAAAAAAGGCAACAAGAGGUUUGUUGCAGAUAUAUAUUAGAAGGUAGAGUAUGGUAAAAGAGAAACGCGCUCGUACAUGCUCCAGACUGCUAAACAGCCUAGCCAUUUUACCAAACUCACCUUUAGAAAACACUCUAGAAUUAGUGUUAUUAUAUUCAUGUGGCUCUUAUAUACAAUAUAGACUAUAGACUGCAGCAAGACUACAACUACGAGGAUGGAGAAAAAUUAUUUUUACGUGUUAUGCGAAUUGCGAAAGAAAUUUGGAGACCUCCCUCCACCUAUUCAUCGAGUGUCCGUUCACGCGAACUGUCUAGAAGUUGGUGCCAGUUUGGAGCAACUGUCUAUGCCCGUCGAAAUGGACCGAGCACAAUCAAAUGGAAGAUUAUUGGUUUCUAGAAUUGAGUAAUAAGGGGAACAUGCCCUCGCUCUCCUAUCCGUUGGAUUCGCUUUGAGAAGUGUUCAAACAUACAUCUCAAAUUCGCAUUGAGAUGUGUGUUUGCACACUUCUCAAAGUGAAUCUAAUGGAUAGGAGAGUGAGGACACAUACCUUUAAGAGCAAAAUAAAUUUUACCGAACAAAAUGUCAUCCUGACUCUUAUGGCACGUCUGGAAGCAGCAAAAUGCAUCAGUGGUCUUCUGCGAAGAUCAAAGGACAACUAAACAAGUUUCAACAGGGAGAAGAGAUGAAUAUUCUCUGUGGGCGUCGGUGGGGGAAAUGUUCUUAGAACCAUAACGAUUGUAAACCAGACAUAGUAAAUAACCUAGUAGUUCCAAACCUCAUACAGCCGUCGGCUGCGUGAGGUAGCGCAACUUGCACUUAUAAGUUGUAAACUGUGAAUUCUUCUUAUUAAUGCAAUGUCGGAUAACCGGAUCUUUCAAAAAAAAUAUAUAACAGAUGAUUAGUUUGUACCACACUAAAGGAAUAACAUCGUUGAUCAUGGCCUCUCAUCCUCCAUCGUCACCUAAGAGCAACUCCAAUAGUUUUGCAAAUAGGUUUGGCAUUUUUGUUUUUUUUUUUUGCCCAAACUCUCAAAAUCUCCUAUCCAACAGUUUGCAAUUGAGUUUGGCAUUUAUAGCAAGUUGGCAAAUUCUCCUCCUUUCUUAGCAUUUAUGCACACCAAGAAUAGACUUGGCAUUCUGCAUGCGCGUGCUUUUAUAGCAAGCUGACAACCUGAUGCUUCUUCGUUGAUCUUUAGAACCAGUAGAAUUUUGUUUUUGCCAAGUCAAAAUUGCCAAACACUUGGAGAUGUCCUUUUUGCUCUCUCCCCAUAUCAUUUUGGGAGUUGGCAAAUAACAAUAUUUGUCAAACAAAAUUUGCAAAACUGUUGUGUAUCAAUGGAGGAAUAGUUGUACCACUGAAGGAACCACUACGCAAGAUUUUAUAUCACUGCCUCUACCACUACUACCUGGCGCACCCUAAUUAUUAUAACUGAAUACUAGUGACAUUAUCAUCAAUGUGGGGAAUUGGAAUUGUGAUAUCCUUUAGGUGUACCACUAAAGAAAUAAUUUGCACAAUGGAAGGAAGAACUCAGUUUGUUAGAUCCGCACCAGAUCUAGCCUAGCACCCUAUGUCCUAGGAUUGUGAUAUGAAAGAAUAGUUUGUACCGGUGAAGGAACAGCUCGGCUAUGUUAGGUUGCAUAGUGAAUUUGCCCAACUCGCUAUAUCCAUGACCAUGAGGAUUGCAAUAUCCUUUGGGUGUAUCAAUGCGUACUACUGAAGGCAUUGAAGGAAUAACGAAUAACCCAAUCAUGGUAGAUUGCACAAUGGAUAUAGCACAACUCGUUAUAUCCACGAGCCAGCGCCACAGUGGUUGCCUGACCUUUUAUGGUGUGUUCCCCCUUGUUGGGGAAAAGCUGCAUCCUUCUCCCUGGUAGCGCCGGAGGUUAUCCUUCACCUGAGGAACCUCCGACGUCUGGGACGUCGGAGGAUAACCUUCGACGGGGAAUACUAAUGUUGACGACUCGUCAGGUCAUGCAAAGUGUGCGCAGGAACUGAAGCACCGGCGGAGGUCCGCGAGCGAGGAAAAGGUUGGAACCUCCGACCCUCCCGAGUCCGAGGAUAACAGGAGAACGCAACCAGGCCGAGCAACCUCCGACCAGCCGGGCUGCGGAACCUCCGACACCGAAGCGUCGGAGGAUCCACAACUGGGCGGAGGCUCCGAGCCUUCGACCUGCUGAAGCCCAGUCGAAGGAUGAACAAAGAGUUUGCGACGUGAAAUUACGCGAGUACAUUGGGGUCAGUAGACUGCGAUGAAAGAAUAUGCUGGAAUAUUCCCCCACCGUCGCGGGGCAUUUAUGUAAAUGUCGUUGAGUCGGUCUCCGAGCCCUAUAUAAGGGGCGUGAUGCCGCCAUUAAUAGAGAGAGAGCAUUCACUGUAUUCACCUACUGUUGAGUCCACUGUCCGCUAUUGCUCAAGCCUCUCACGGCACCGAGUGAGAAGGUUCUCGAUCUACUGUACUGCUGGGGCGUGCGAAGAGCAUUUUCCCAACAUUGGCGCCCACCGUGGGGCCCGAACUAUAACCUGCGAUGGCUGGAAAGAGAACAAGCACCACAAGACCUCGGGGAGAGCCCUCCAGGAGAGGAAGGCCAAGGAGGGCCGUGCGGAGCACGUACGCGACCAUGGAGGGAGAAGGUUCUGAGGGCGAGCAGCCAGAGAACGAGCAGCCGGAAACACGCCAGGAACCUCCUCCCGCCGCAGACCCGGCGCAGCCCUCGGCCACGCAAGAGCUCCAGCAGCUUCAAGCGCAAUUGCGGAACCUUCAGCAAGAGCGAGACCGGAUCGCUGCUGCCUACGCCGCCAGCCAAGAGGCAGCGGUAGCGGCGACGCAAGCGGCUGAGAUCAGGCAGCAGCUUUCACUCCUGCAGGCAGAAAUCCUUAGCAUGCAACCCCCAGCUCAGCCAACAAUUCAACCCGCUGUUCUGAACAGCGCCGGCCCAACAUUAGAUGUGCAACCGACGAACUACGGCGGCAUGUUGCGGGGCACGUUGGACCUUCGUUCCCCUCUGUCCGAAGGAUUGCAGACCUCGCCUUGGCCAACGACUUACAAACCGAUCACGCUCCCUAAAUUCAGCGGAAAGGCCGAUCCGCGCCAAUUCCUGAUGAGUUUCGAGGCAGCCGUGGCCUCAGCUGGAGGGAACGAGACUGUGAUGGCAAAAUCCUUCGUGAUCGCAGCCGAGGGAGAUGCCUUAGCGUGGUACUCGAUGCUCAGACCCGGGUCGAUCUAUUCAUGGGAGAACCUUCGAGACAAGAUUUUGGCGAACUUCCAGGGAUUCGCGGUCGAAUCACUAACCUCCACAGACCUGUUCCAGUGUCGCCAGAGUCAGGGAGAGGCACUGCGGGAAUACUUCCAGAGGUUCGUGCAGACUAAGGCGAGAGCACCCGGUGUGCCAGAGGAGGUUGCCAUCGAAGCGGCCAUCAAGGGUCUUCGCAUAGGACCCUUCGCGGCUCAUUUGGCCAGAGAAAAGCCAACAUCCAUGCACGAGCUGUACCACGAGUUUGAGAAGUAUUGCAGGUCAGACAACGACUACCGCAAAAGGUUGGAAGACCAAAACUCUCAGAAGAGGCAGAGCAAUGAUAGAAAUUCACAGAAGAAGAACCUCGGACAGGAUGAACGCCGGCCACAGCGAGAGACUGGUGGACAGAUGAUGAAUAUCGAGCAACCGAAAAAUGACAGGCCGGAAAAUAACCGUCCACCAGUGGAGGCGCGGAGCUCGGAACGCAUACCCAAUCAAGCCGGAAGAGGGGGUCGAAAUGCGGGAUGGCGAAAAAAUCAAAGUCAGCGACCACGGAAACAGUAUUGUUUCUUCCAUGGAGAAGAGAAGGGUCACUCCACCAGAGAUUGCCCAGAUGCAAAAGAAACUCAGGAGAGGAUCAAGAGCAGGUCGGCUCCGCAACCUCCGAUACCAGUUGCUCAGCCUCGGGAAGUAAACCACACAUUCCCUCAAACCUUCUACCAUUCAUAUGUCGGAGGUUCAAGCCAGCAGCACCCAGCUCCACUUCAGCCCAGCGCGCUAGCCUCCGCUUACUAUCCCAGCUUCCUACCAGCUUGGCGCCCAGCCCAGCAAACCGCGGACCACAACCUUCCACCAAACUAUGUUCCUCCACGGCCUCCACAUAUUACGUACAUCGAAACCCCGCAACCCCACCAGCAGUCACUGCCUCCUCCCCCAAACCAGCUACAGCUACUCCAAGCCCCACCACAACCAAAAACCGAACCCCACCCUGAUAAUCAGAUCGGUCCCCAUACACCCCUCCCCACAAUUGGAAUGAUCUUACCAAUAGCCGGGGGGUCCUCAAUGGAGUUCCAGACAAAAAAACAGAAGAAGGAUCACCUCAGGCUCGUCAACAACGUUGCAGUUCAAGGGCCAGUGAGAUGCACUGAUUGGUCCAGAACCCCAAUAACCUUCACCGAGGAAGACCUAAGAUUGGAAAGCUACCCUCACACAGACGCCUUGGUCAUAACAACAAAUGUUGCGGGUUGGGGGGUAAGCAGGAUCUUAGUGGAUUCAGGGAGUUCCGCAGACAUAAUAUUUGCUGGAACCUUUGACCAAAUGAAGCUCAGCAGAAGCCAACUCCAACCUUCGGAGUCACCUUUGAUCGGGUUCGGAGGAAAACAGAUACAUGCUCUGGGAAAGGUUGCAUUGCCCGUAUCCUUCGGCACAACAGAGAACGCAAGAACAGAGUACGUCACCUUCGAUGUGGUAGACUUGCACUACCCAUAUAAUGCCAUAUUCGGGCGAGGAUUCUUGAACAAGUUCAAUGCGGCCGCUCACAUGGGAUACCUCUGCAUGAAAAUCCCAGCUCUGCACGGAGUGAUAACGGUUCACGGAAGUCAAAAGGAGGCAAGGAACAUAGAGAAAGCAAUCUACAAGUCCUUCCGGAACGUAAACUCCGUAGACUCUACGCAGCAUGAAGCUUCCCAGCCGCCAGACAUGCCAAGGGGGAAAACAGACCUGGCUGAUCAGGAGGAAACGAAGUGUAUCCCUCUGCAGGAAGCUGUUCCAGAUAAGAAGAUCACCAUCUCCGCCACCCUUGGCAGAGAGGAGGAACUCGAAUUGCUAGACGUAUUGCAAAAGAACCAAGAUAUCUUCGCUUGGAGUGCCGCUGACCUACAAGGAGUCAGCAGAGACAUAAUAGAGCAUUCGCUGGACAUCGAUCCGAGAAUGAGGCCGAAGAAGCAGAGGCAGAGGAAAAUGUCUGAAGAAAGAACCUUAGCCGCGAAGGCAGAAGUACAAAGACUCCUGGACGCAAAGGUCAUCAGAGAAGUCAUAUACCCGGAAUGGUUGGCAAAUGUGGUCUUGGUCCCCAAGAAAAAUGGCAAAAUGAGAAUGUGCAUAGAUUUUACAGAUCUCAACAAGGCUUGUGUCAAAGACUCCUUCCCCUUGCCAAGGAUAGAUACCUCUGUGGACAAAGCAGCCGGUUGUCAGAGAUUCUCACUGCUGGACUGUUUCUCUGGUUACCACCAAAUUUGGCUCAAAAAAGAAGACGAAGGAAAGGCAAGCUUCACGACCCCAUUCGGCACGUAUUGCUACACCAGAAUGCCAGAAGGUCUCAAAAACGCUGGAGCAACCUUCUCCAGAAUGAUGGGGAAGGUUCUAGGAAGUCAGCUACAGAGGAACAUCAUAGCCUACGUCGACGAUGUUGUCGUCAUGAGCAAGCGCAAGGAAGAUCAUAUCAAAGACCUGCAGGAAACCUUCGUCAACCUUAGAUCUGCCGGGCUGAAACUCAACCCGGAGAAGUGUGUAUUUGGGGUCAGCAAGGGAAAAAUGCUGGGGUAUAUCAUCAGCUCCGAAGGAAUUAGAGCUAACCCAGACAAGACAAAAGCAAUCAUGUCAAUGGCAGAACCUUCAAACAAGAAAGAAGUGCAAAGGCUGACUGGCCGAAUAGCAGCACUCAACAGAUUCAUCUCGAGAUCGGCAGAACGAAGCCUCCCAUUCUUCAAAGUGUUGAGAGGAGAAGGUAAAACAGAAUGGGGUCCGGAACAAUCAGAGGCCUUCAGGCAUCUCAAAAAUUACAUUGCGACCAACCUGGUGGUGACAGUGCCUGAGCCGGACACCCCACUACUACUGUAUGUGGCUGCCUCCAAUCACGCUGUCAGUGGUGUCCUGGUGCACGAGACAGGCGACAGUAAGGGAACGGUGCAAAGACCCGUCUACUACGUAUCUGAAGCUCUAUCAGGGGCAAAACUGAACUACACGGAGAUAGAAAAAAUCGCAUACGCGGUCCUGUGUGCAUCAAGGAAGCUCAAGCAUUACUUCCAAAGCCAUGAGAUUAAAGUGCCCACUUCACAGCCACUGGGUGAUAUCCUUAGGAACAAAGAGGCUUCCGGACGUAUAGGAAAAUGGGCGGCCGAACUAUCACAGUUUGAUAUCACCUAUGUCCCCAGAACCUCCAUCAAAUCUCAAGCCCUGGCUGACUUCAUGGCAGAUUGGACACCUUCGAACAAAAACGAGGAGAAGGUAGUCGAUCAGCCGUGGACGCUGUAUACAGAUGGCGCCUGGGGCCAAGCGGGAGCAGGAGCAGCAGCCGUUCUAAUCGCACCAUCUGGACUCAAACUAAAGUUUGCUAUACGACUUGAAUUCAAAGCAACAAACAACAUAGCUGAGUAUGAAGGUCUCAUCCUCGGGCUGAACAAGGCUAAGGCUUCGGGAGCAAAAACCCUACUCAUCAAAACAGACUCCCAGGUGGUGGCAGGACAAGUGGAGAAGGAAUACCUAGCACACAACCCGGAGCUGGCAAGGUAUCUGGCCGUCGUAAGAGGCCUGGAGAGAAGGUUCAAGGGAUUCACUCUGCAGUACAUUCCAAGAGCCGAAAACUACGAAGCAGACGAGCUAGCGAAGGCAGCAGCCAACAACACCCCCUUGCCAGAAGGAACCUUCCACCAGAUUGUUACAACACCCGCAACCGAAUCGUUGCCAAAAGCCUUUCGCUCAGUCCUGCUAACAGAAAGCGAAGAUUGGAGGCAGGCAAUAACUGAUUGCCUCAAAGGCGAGACAGCUGUAGAUGACGAAGCAACAUCCAAGAGGAUGGAGGCAAGAGCAAGGAAUUACACCUCCAUUGACGGGAUCCUGUACAAGAAAGGCGUAGUCCAACCUUUGCUGAGAUGCAUAUCACAAAGCGAGGGCAGAGAACUCCUACAAGAGAUACACUCAGGGAUGUGCGGGUCUCACAUUGGACCCCGCGCGUUGUCUGCUAAAGCACUAAGACAAGGCUUCUACUGGCCAACUCACAUUAAAGAUGCUGAAGAAAUAGUGAAGACAUGCAAAGCCUGCCAAACCUUCUCACCAAUUCAGUCAGGACCUUCAGCACCAACUCAACUCAUACCAGCAUCAUGGCCGUUGCAGAGAUGGGGAAUGGACCUGGUAGGGCCAAUGCCAACUGCCCAGGGGGGAAACAAAUUCGCAGUCGUGGCCAUCGAAUACUUCACAAGAUGGAUCGAAGCUAAGCCACUGGCAACCAUAACCUCUGAAACAAUCAGGAAAUUUUUCUGGCAGAACAUAGUCUGCAGAUUCGGAGUCCCACGCUUGCUCACAGUUGACAACGGGAAGCAGUUUGAUUCAGACAGUUUCAAGGAAUUCUGCCAUCACAUAGGAACCAAAAUUGCUUUCGCAUCUGUUUACCACCCAGAGUCAAACGGGGCCGUAGAGAGAGCAAACAGAACAAUAUUCUCCGCAAUCUCCAAGACCUUACUCAACCUACGCAAGGGGAAAUGGGUUGAAGAACUACCAAGAGUUAUAUGGUCACAUAACACAACAGUUUCAAGAACAACUGGGUUCACUCCAUUCAAACUCUUGUACGGGGAAGAGGCAAUGUUGCCCGAAGAAAUCAAACACCAAAGCCUGCGUUCCAUGAAGCAGCAGUUGGCUGAAGACGAAGAGUACUGCAAGGAAACCUUAGAAUCAAUAAGACUUGAGGCAGUGGAGAACAUUACCAGGUAUCAACAAGAAACAAAGAAUUGGAGAGACCGCAAGGUAGUACGAAAAGACAUACAAAAUGGGGACCUGGUGCUCAAGAAAAAAGGAGAUCACCCAAACGCUGGUAAAUUGCAACCCAAGUGGGAAGGACCUUAUACAGCAAUACAAGCGGGAAGGUCGGGAUCCUUCUACCUGAAAGACCUCGAAGGUAGAACCUCCACCCACACGUGGAACGUCGACAAUCUACGUAGAUUUUAUAUUUGAGUGUAAGGAUGACCCCUGCAAAAUAAGCGGCGGCACCCACAUCCCUAAAUACGCUUGUUUUCUUUUUCUCUACUUUUUCGCAUUCCAAGGUCUGCACUCUUUUCCUCACAGGGGUACUCCUACCAGGAGGUGAGGUUUUUAACGAGGCAGAACCUAUGUAAAAACCUCUGAAUUAUAAAGAGGAAUCCACCCCAGAACCAAAUCCCAAAAGUCGAAAAACAGCCAGCAACGAGGCUGUAGCAUUCGACAAAACAUCACGUGAUCACAAGGACCCUCCGUAGCUUUCAUCCAAAAGCUAAGAAAGCUCGGAACGUCCUCAAAGGUGAAAAAAAACACCAAAUCCUUAGCAAAAGACCUAGCCAAGAGCCGGGCAGCAAGGAUAACAUGGCCAAAAAGUGAAAAAGUCCUGUCCUCCUCAGGCAUCACAACAUGGCCAGAAGGAACAAAACCUUCAAACCUGACAAUGACCUGAGGAGAAUCAGGCAUCAGGAACUAUAUUAUUUUUGCCAAAAGGCAGCGUAGGUUUAACAUUCAAAGGACAGACCUCAACAAAAUCCACAUAACCUUCACCAAAAUAAGGUUGAAGGUAUCCUGCUACUCCAAGCAGACCCCCAACAAACAAAGUGUGAAAUCAAAACGAAACUACAAUAACCCUCGGUCAGAUACAGCCAAACCAACUACCACAACAACCAUCAAUAACCCGAUAAUAAAUUUUAACCUAACAGAGUACAUAAAAUAAAUGCAUGAAAGCCUAUAAAACCAGGCUCACCCUACCCCCACCCUCAAUCAGGAUCAGCAUACAAAGACCCGAGCACCAAGUGCAAACCUAGCAGCCAAAAAGCAAAAAUCCUAAGCCACCAUGGAAGCAGGAGUUAGCCUCACAACACCAACAAAAGUUUGUAUCGCACGAAGCUUCGUAAUACUAGAACUACGGCGUUGUGAUGAACAUCGACCACAAAGUCGUGUACAGCCACAACAGAAACAAUGGAAGUCAGACUCAGAGGUCUCUGAAGGGUAUCGCACGAAGUCUCGUAACAUCCCUUCAGAACCUCCGACUUAGACAGCCGAAGGUUCUCCUCGACAACACUCCACGGGAGUCGAGCAAAGGAAAAAAAUAGCACAAUUCAGCGAAGGAUCCUUCGCGCCAAAAAAUUCGAAGGUUCUAAGCCCAAGAAACGGCGAUCCUCCGCGCAAGAAAAAAUCAACAACUCCUUCGCAACAUCAAGCAUCAAGAACAAGCAAGCCACAGCAACACAAAGAUCCUUAGGAUCAACACCACCGUAACGUUGCAACAUAUAAGUGCUGUAGCGCGAAGGUUGUAAUAAAAAUGAGAUCGAAGGUUGUAGCAAACUUAAAAACUUUAUUAUCGAUGAAGAAAUCAUUACAAAAGUUCGUUUACAAAAAAUGAAUAAACUCAUCCUUCGACCCAUAAAAAGUCGAAGGUUGCAGCGAAGGUUGCAGGUAGCUUGUACAAGUUCAACUUACAGAUCCUCCUUCAGCUAAACAACCGAAGGACCUAUGAGUCACGUACAAAUUAUAGCGCGAAGGUUGUCAAAAUUAAAAGGUGCGAAGACCAUGUAGUAAAAAUGUCUGAUCUUUAUUAACCGUAUACAAUGUACAUAACACAAGCUUACAACAAAAAACGAGAAACAUCCUCCGACCGUAAAACUCCGAAGGUUCUAAGACCCUCGCACAAUUCUAACAUACGAAUCUGGAAAAAGCCUAAGAUCAUCACAGUAAUCACGUACAAGGAAAUCAACUAAGUCAUCUAUACUACGCGUAGGAUACUUGUGGCGCCACCAGUCAAUUAAAUAGCCCCUCGCAUACAAAUCUCCGCGCUUGAACGUCACCGGGGUAACGUAACUUCCUUCGACAAAGUUCGAAGGAAGAUCUUCCAACGGAGAGGAAUUGACAACCUGCGCGCAGAAAAUAAUAACUUCAAAUCCAACAAAAACGAAGGAUAAAACUAAAAAUCCAAACGAAGCUUUCGAACCUCCGGAAAACCUUGAAGAAAAGGCUCAGCAACAUCCUCAGAAGCCUCCGCCACCCAACGUACCCUAUCUCUCUCACCAAAGAUGCGAAGGAUAGGAUAUGGGAACUACAUAAACACAUCAAAUCAUGUCAUAAAAAAUAUAUAACCAAAACCUACGAUAAACGAAAAGAAAAUCAAAAUCAUCAACCUAAGCCGGAGGCCAUGAACCUCGGCGCGCUAGCGACCGGAUAAACCCAGAGCCUUCGCCAUCAAUAUCAUAUCCAACAAACUCGAACAUGUCCACCAAUCUCAUAUUAGGGAAGGCAACUUGCCAAUACUCCCACAAUUCACCAGAAACAUAAAUCCCUUUGUAAAAAAACGAAAGGGGAGUAAUGAAACGAUCCUGCGCAGGUCCUCCGCCAGAGACCUGCGCAGGAUCAAAGUGUAAAACAAAGGCUUAUCUGAAAACAACUCAAUAUAUUAUAUUUUAAACAGUCUUUACAAAAUAAAGCACAACCUCCGGCCUUACUUACAAAAAAAGCGUCACACACUUGGACGCAAAAAAGACUAAGAAAAACCUAAAAACUAAAAAGCCUCACACCUGAGGCGGAGGAGGAGCAGGAGCUUCGGGAGUCUCUGAAACCUUAGCACCAGAUCCCUCCGGAGCUUUGGCACCAGUAUCACGAGCCUCCGCUUCGGGCUGGGUCGGAGGGCACGCCUCACUCGGGAGACGCGAAGGUCCGGCCUUGACAACCUUAGCCUUCUUCUUCGCAAUCUCCUACAAAAUACCAAACUUAACUAACAAUGCAAAGAUGCGAAGCAAAGUACAAAAAGAAAAACAAAUAACCAAACAAUACAAACCUCAGCUCGACGAUCCUCCGCCAUUUUCUUCGCCUCACCCCGCCCAAACCUAAUCCAGAACGAACUGAUGAAGUUCCGGACAGAUUUGCGCAGGGAAGAGGUCCCUUCGCCAACGUCCUCCGCCGCGGCAAAAUCCUCCUUGGCAACUCCCUCCGCGUGAGAGCAACCUCCGCGGCGCAACAGCCUCGCGAAGGAGCUAACCGCGGCCAAAGCCCCAAAAUCAACAGCACCUCCGACAAAGUCGGGGAGCAUGCGGAUAUGAGACUUCAGCCACGCGAGGGCAGCCCCAACAUCGCCGCCAGGCGGAGGAGCAGAGGUGCUUCCCCCAAACUUCGCAAGCGAUUCGGCAUAGAGCUCGACAAUAGCUGCAGCCUCCGCUUCCGCCUUCCGCAUGCGAGUCUGCAGCUCAGCCGCAGACGUCCGCUCAGCGUCAAGCUCUUUGCGAAGGCGUUCAGCAAUGUCCUCCGCCUUCUCAGCUCGCUGCAGGGCUACAUCCCUAACUCUCCCCGCCUCAGCAACACUUGUGCGGAGGACCGCCACAGAAGCUUCGGCAUCCUCCUUCUCCUUCCUUAGAGCCUCCGACCCAGCCUUGUAGUCAUCCCUCUCCUUCUUUAGGGAGUCAACCUCCCUCCUGACGGAGGAAAACUCCCUAACCUCCUCCGACAGACGAGCCUUCUCAGCCUCCAGAGUCUCGUUCUCCUUCUUCAGAACACCAAUUGCCUCAUCACGGCAGAUAACCUCCCGAGAGCAACGCUCCUCUAAGGCUGCAGCCAUGUGAUGACCCUGCGCAAAAAUAAAUAGUUACAACAAACCUCCAAGUGAAAAAACCGCGAAGGAAGAUUCGGCAAAGUGCAAACUUACAAGGCUAUGGUGCUCAUAUUGCACGCGAAGGAGCGUGUCAAAGUCCAUGCCGCGAAGCUUCUGACGAAAACGAUCUGUAAACCAAAAACAAUUGAGAAAAAACAUCGUAAGAAACAAAAAACCAUUGGCGGAGGCCAGAACACUAACCUCCGACCAAGGAAUGAACCUCGCGCAAGGCAUCAGUCCAACCUGUGAUCGAAGGUUCAGAAGCACCUGCACAUAACAAAAACGAACCUUAGAAUAAAAUGACAAAAACAAACCGAACCAUUGAAACCAAAAAAGAGGAAACUCACCAGGACCAAGAACAUCAGCAGGCGAAGGCCUGUUGGCCAAUGCGGAGGGCGCAGGCUCACGCGGCGGAGGAACGGCAAGCCCCUCCUGCGCGACGCUGGCGCCCUUAGCCAUUUCCUCCGCGGUAGCCAGCCCAGUAAAAACCUCCGCUGAAAGAUAAACAAAAAAACAUGAGAACAAGUCAAUCAAAACUUGCAUAAAAACAAAAUAAUCAAUAAAAAAUCAUUACCCAUGUAUAACGAGUUAAUACCGUCACCAGCCGGACAAAGGGGAGCCUCCGCCCUCCUGAUCCUCCGAACGGAGGCGGACUCAGCCUCGUCGCUGGACUCCACCUGAACCUCCUUAGGCGGAGACCCUCCGCCAACCGAAGCAACGCGCGGACCCUCUGACUCCGCAGGAUUCGCCUCCCGCACAGGGCUCGCCACGGGGGCCUCCGCGUCAGAGGACUCCUCCCCAAGCAGAGACGCGAAAGGCGCGCGCACAGAGGAAACCGCACGCGAAGCUUCAGCUUCAGGAGCUCCACCAGCAUCAGCUUCAGGAGCCCCACCAGCAGCAGCAGCCUCCGCAGGCGCAGAAGCUACCGAGUUCGACUCGGCACCAGAUGAGCGGGCGGAGGAAGACUCCACAGGAGUCUCUAGCACAACCUCCGCCCUCCGCUUCUUCGCAAGCUGCUUGACUGCGCCACCCCCUCUCCUCUUCUUCGACUCCGCCAAAGCGACAGCCUUCGAGGAGUCCUUCUUCUUCUCCAACCCAAGCAAAACAUCCGGAGGAAUAACAUAAUCCUCGUACUCAAUCCCCAAUUCCUCAAAAACGCGGUUAAACCGGGGCAUCGUCCCAAGCGCAGACCUCCGCUGGAGAAACUCCUUCUCCGAGAUCUUCCCGACGAUCCUCCGCGCAGAUACCUCCACGCGAUCAAGGAAGGACUCCUUGGUCUCAUCCUCCGGAAUACCCGCGCCGAACCGGGGAAACGGCAACCCCUCCGGAGGACCAAACACAGGAACUUGCACCAUCUCAAUGGUGAACUCAUCGGUCCUGCGGCCAAGUGGCCAGUAGUCAGCAGCGACCAUUUCCUCAACCAAAUCCCGGCCUCCGGAGUAUCGGCAUGCCAACGCAAAUGCCUUGUCACAAGCAACUCGUUCCUCCGACAUCUCCUGCGAAGGAUCAACCUUCGAAAAAGGCUUCAGCUCCUUCAUCAGCGACGCGUAAGGAUAAACUUUGUCAACGCUGCCGUCAUCCAAAGUCUUCGACGCAGCGGGGGUCCUCACGUAGAACCAAGCUCUCAUCCAAUCCUUCUCCCACUUCCCCUUUUGGCAGUAGGAGAUUUCGCACCUCGGCCCAGGCAUUGUGCGGCGCGGCAUGAACGCGCAGCUUCCGAACUGCGCAAUACACUCGACACCUUCGGCAUCCUUCACCUUCUUAGGCUGGCGCUGGAGCUCAAAGUACGAGCAGAAGGUGUCGAUGUGGGGCAUGGCUCCGUAGGAUUCGCACGCCCACGCGAAUUUGCUAAGGGUCAGUAUCCCAUUGGGGCUGAAAUGCUGCAGCUCCACGUUGAAGCUCUCCAUCACUUCGCGAAGGAAAUGAUACGGAGGCAUGCGAAGUCCGCAGGUGAAGAAGUCCCUGAAUACCACCGCAUACCCCUCUUCGGGCGCAGGCACCGUCUGACCAGCAGGAGGAGCCUCCGCACGACCUUCCUUGAAAAAUCUAGCCUCAACCAUGUCAGCGAUAUCCUCCGCCCUCACAGUCGACUGCCCGAAUUCAAAAGUAAUCGCCGCCAUCCCCUCAAACUCCUUCGCACUUAUCAGAUCACCAACAGAAGCUUCGACGUCAGACAACGUCUCCUCCAGAUCUUGAGCUUCGGCCGCCUCAAGCAUCCACUCCUCAAACCUCCGCAGCCAACCUCCAGACCUCACGCUAAGAAAAUUGCGCAAAGGACCAGAAAAAUCUGACCUCGAAGGACGCGGUGAAGGAAGAUGAGCCACCGUAAAACCUCCGACAACACUUGAACUAAACGCACGCAAGCAACUCAGAGAGAAAAACGUAGCGAAGGAAAGUGUGCAGGCAAUGAGCAGCAGGGGUGAGAGCUCAGGGCUCCCCAGCACCUCCUUUUAUAGGGGGGGGCCUGCGACCGCGCGGCCGUUGCGAUUCCCCGCGCCCAACGGCUAUAAGCGGAGGAAUCGGGCAGACCGUUGCGCUUCAUCAAUGCCAACGGCUAACUCCAACGGCAAUAAUAUCCUCCGCAAUCCUCCGCAAUCCUCCGCAAUCUAACGAGCGUAGGAUACUUAACAGCAAUGAUCGAAGGAUCCCGGCAAAAUAAAGAAACAAGAAAAAUUACGACUAAGUGAAAGAAACAGUUAUCCAACAUUUGCUAACAAGCACAUCCUGCGCACCAGGGGGGAAGGCAGCAACCAUGCUCGUGACCUCCGCAGCGUAGCAUGUUUUUGAGCGCAUGGACCGCAGGAGUGCCAUUAGCCCAAAAAGGGGGGAACUGUUGGGGAAAAGCUGCAUCCUUCCCCCUGGUAGCGCCGGAGGUUAUCCUUCACCUGAGGAACCUCCGACGUCUGGGACGUCGGAGGAUAACCUUCGACGGGGAAUACUAAUGUUGACGACUCGUCAGGUCAUGCAAAGUGUGCGCAGGAACUGAAGCACCGGCGGAGGUCCGCGAGCGAGGAAAAGGUUGGAACCUCCGACCCUCCCGAGUCCGAGGAUAACAGGAGAACGCAACCAGGCCGAGCAACCUCCGACCAGCCGGGCUGCGGAACCUCCGACACCGAAGCGUCGGAGGAUCCACAACUGGGCGGAGGCUCCGAGCCUUCGACCUGCUGAAGCCCAGUCGAAGGAUGAACAAAGAGUUUGCGACGUGAAAUUACGCGAGUACAUUGGGGUCAGUAGACUGCGAUGAAAGAAUAUGCUGGAAUAUUCCCCCACCGUCGCGGGGCAUUUAUGUAAAUGUCGUUGAGUCGGUCUCCGAGCCCUAUAUAAGGGGCGUGAUGCCGCCAUUAAUAGAGAGAGAGCAUUCACUGUAUUCACCUACUGUUGAGUCCACUGUCCGCUAUUGCUCAAGCCUCUCACGGCACCGAGUGAGAAGGUUCUCGAUCUACUGUACUGCUGGGGCGUGCGAAGAGCAUUUUCCCAACACCCCUAUCAAUUUUCAAUGUGAAAUUAAGCCCAACAACAAUUCCCUUUCAAGAAUAAAUCAAGCACAUGUGCCAUGUCAUGGCAGAUUUAACAUGGGUGAAUAAGUUCCGCCACAAGAAACUCAAUCAACUAAGUCACUAUGCUUAUUCCACACCUUAUUGAGUUAUCAGCUUGUUUAAUGUAGAAAAAGAAGAAGUGGAGAAGCCAGCAUUUAUGGAAACAAGUCUUGAGCAUAGAGCUCUCGAGAGCGCUUACAUGCGAAAAACUGAUUUGCUCAUUUAGAUAUCACACCACCUGCUUAUGUAUCAAUAAUGUUAAUCUCAAAGUGAACUCUUCAGUUCAUCAUAUUUUUAAUUUUAAUACUCCGUUCAUUUACGAAAGAAUACAAUUCAUAAUUUUUGAGAAUUCAGUCGAUUUAAAAUUUAACUAAAAUUAUAUAAAGAUGUAAUAACAUUCACGAUUAAGUAUUAUUAAAUUUAUUAUGAAAUAUAUUUUUAUAGUAAAUCUAGUGGCAAACAAAUGUUAAUACUACAUGCAUGCACUCGUUUCGGUGGGGUUGCAUGCAAUCCUCUCUAGGCAAUCAACGCAACCAGCGUCGCGGGCGUGCGAGAGCAGUAGUCGUAGAAACCGACUCAUUUUAGGGCUAUAUAUGAGUAGUAAGGCUAAUCUUAGGGUACGUUUGGAUUUUUCAAUUAAACUUUAGCCAGCUAAAUUUAGCUGCCAAAGGAUCUAAACGACCUAGAUAAAAGACUAGCUAAUGUUUAGCGAAGUUUAGCUGCUUCAACCCGGCUAAACACAGCCAAAAUUUAGCUAAGCCUAUUAAUUGGAGGAACCAAAUAUCCUAAUUAAGUUUAGCUGGGUGUAUACUUAUUGACCAGCUCGGUCGGGCACGAUGGGCCGACCUAGGCACAAGACUAAUAAACACGGCCCAAGCACGGCACGGCCUGGCUCACAUCAUGCAUGUGCCACCUGGCACGGCUCGGUGGUAGUGUCGUGUCUAAGCCGUAACUCUAGUCUGCAAUGCCAGCGUGAGCACGGUAUGAUUACUAGGCUGGAACGAUGUGACCCAUUUAUUCUCCACCAUUAGAUGAGCACUAAUGAAUCAAAGCCAUUGGAUACUAGUAUAUAAGCAUAUCUCCCUAAUUUCCUCCCUCUCUAGUUUCCCGACCCUCCGCCCUCACCUUCCUUCACCCCGAUCACUGCCACCCCACCACCGACUGCCUUGCUCGGCACCCCGUCUGCUCCCCACUCUCCAGGUCGACAAGAUCUGCAGCGGUGCCCUAGGUGACGACAUCGGCGCGAGGGUUGUGUGGCAUGGCGGCAUCACGGGCGCACAACGACGACACGUGCUGAUGGGCACUUGUUGGCAACGUCACGGGGCGUGUGGCUGCUUGGCGCAAAGAUGGUGCACGGUGGGCUAUGGCUGGCACAAGCACUAUGGGCCGCUGUGCCUAGAAGCAUGGCAUUGCAUGGCUAAAGCCUCGGUAGUGUCGUGCUUGGGCCGCAACCUUGGCACAGCAGACACAGCACGGCUAGGGCACCGUGUCAUAUAGUGUCAUGUCGUGCAGCUCGGUUGGCCAUGUAUAUAUAGCUAGGAAAACAUUUAGUUUUGAAAUUUUAGCUAGCUAACUUUAGUAGCUGGAUUUAAAUAGGGUCGUGGAUUUCAUGCGGUGGUGUUAUAAAAAUUGUCACGUCAAUUUAAUUUUAUAUCAGUAAUUAUGAUAAAACUCUCUCUAUUUUACAAUUGACUUGUCAAGUCAUUAAAAAUUAAAACUGCUGAAUCUUCACUCGAACAAGUCUAAAUAGGUUAACGAGGAAUUAAUAGUCCUUAGUCUCCAUUAAAAAUUGUCGUGCGCUUGUAAAUUCUAGAUGGAGUACUAGUUAAAUUUUUUUAAAAAAAAUAUCACUCUAUCACCACGUGCUGGCGGACGUGAAGCAUCCGGUUUAAUUUUUCGUGGAAUCGGCGUCGAGCCACGACGCAAACGUCAAGAGCUGCGUGCCCAAAUGUGAGACAGGAUCAGAUGGGCAAGGAAAAGCACCCUGUUUGCUGCCCGGAACGCCCGCCAUUGAUGGCCUCCUCGUGCCUUCGUCCGUCGUCUCCUAUUCAUCAGUCGACAAGAUGCUUUAAUUACCGCACGUUUCUGCAUAUGAAGAAGAGAUAGCUAGCUCUUGUUGCGCAAAAGGGAAAUAAAUAAAGCUAGCUAGAGAGAGCUCGUAGAAAGGCGUUGCCCAACAAAGCGUCGCCGUGCAUGGGACGCACUCCACAGUCGGAGUCGGAGCCCGGCGCCGCCGCAAGUACAAGCGGUCUCACCGUCCGGCUCCGGCCGGCGCGCACAAGGUAUUGGACGUAGGCAGUUGCACGCCUGAGCGUAUAAUCGAGUGGUGAGAGUGCACGACGGUGCCAAUCAGGAUAUCGUUUGGCAUGCAGUAGACAGUAUAGUGGUGGUGCCGUUUAGAAUAAUGGCGCCAAAAGGAUGCUCAACUUGGAGUAAAUAGUGUGCCUCUCCUUGAGUAUUAGUGAUGGCUAACACCAGUCUCAAUGGAGAGUUUCAUAGUGUUGUUUGUAAGAUUGCUAUGUCAUAUAAAAUAAAAUGAAAUUUGGAUGAAACACCUGUUCUCAAUGGAGAGUUUCAUUCUAUAGCUUAAUAGAUAUUUAAUUUCAAGAUUUAUAGAGAGUUGGUAAUCGUGACAUACUUAUUUCUUCUCUCUUCUUAAAUACACUACUAUGUCAUCCAAAAUAUCUAUGUGACAGUCUAUCUAAUAUGAAUGAAAUUUAGAUGAAACUCACUUAGACUGGCUAAGCGGCUGCUGUGUAGUAAACUAGUAAUCCUACCCACGGUAGCCAUGUCGAUCGAUAGAGGGAUCGUCCAAAUCCGAGUACCAAAGCACCCAACAUUAGAGGCCUUUAUUUACCGGCCCUAUACAUGAUAGGAUACUAGGAUAAGCAUGUUGAUGGCGAUAGUACUACAUCUUUUUUAACUGAUGACUGGUAGUGAUUGCAGUCCAGUCAGGAAGUGCUAGGUUCAAACAAUGGGAUGCCGAACAGGGGAUAAUCUGACUCAAGCUCCCUAAUCCACCUGCUUGCAGUGGUAUCGGCAAUGGGAUAAUCAUAUAUCUAUGAAGUAUCACCUAGACACCUACUGUAUUUGUUUAUGUAGACUAAGACUCAUCUGUACUAAAAAGGGAUCCGAGUGGCAUAUCAUAUGGGGCCACUUGAGUCGCUGACGAUGGGCCAUAUAUGGUGGCAAAUUAUAUGCCACACACCCCUCAUAAUAAUGCAUCUUGGACGAUGAUGUGGGUUUCUUAUGCAGAUCACUGAAGUUGCGGAUGGGCAAAAUUAGAUUUUGGCUGCUCAAAUCUUAAGACUUUAUCUCUCCAUUUCAAAACACAAGUUAUUUCAGUUUCAUCCCAAAUCAAAAUUUUCCUAACUCAGAAAAAAAAUAUAAUCUUGUUGAGUAGUGCUUUGAAAAUAUAAUCUUGCUAAGCGAAAAUAGUAAAGUACUCAUUCAGUUUUAAACUAUAAGACUUUCUGGCUUAUAUAGUUUUUGCUACACACACCUAGAUACAAAUUAUGUCUAGAUGUGUAGUAAAAGCUAUGUAUCUAGAAAAAAAACUGAAUGUCUUACAAUUUAGAAUGCAUGGAACAGUAAAACUUUUUUUUUGUGAUGAUUAAGAUGGAGACAAUUAAACACUUGUUUUUUAACUGCCUUUUUGCUUGUUCCCAUAUAUGGCAUGUAUUUCAGGAAGCUUUGGAUCUAUAUUUGGGAAUUAGUUAGGAAACUUUAGUAAAGAAUUAAAACUGGUAAUACUGUUAGGGGGAGGGCCGGCCGCUAUGUGUUUGGCCUGUUGGGCACUUUGGUUUACCGGGAAUUCUUUUAGUAUUUCAAGGGAGGUUUCUUUUUCAGGUUUUAUUCUCGAUUAUCUGAUGCUCCGUACUUGGUUUAUUCUCCAGAAAUCAUAUACUUGGAGUUGCAACAGUUGGUGAGGGUGGCCAAUAGCGUUUUUCUUCUAGACACAUGGGUCGCAAUCUAGUAACUAAUAUAUUCACUAGAUUGUGUGUGUUUUUUUAUUACACCCACGUCAAAACUACUUUUUAAUUUUUUAAAAGUCUUUACAUACAUCCACUGGACUGAAUUUGCUCUUGGAAUCUUGAUACUUGAUAUAGCUUUCCCAUCUAGCUUUUCAUCACGAUGGCAUAAUCCCACAAAAGAAUUGCAAUCUACCUAGCUAGUGCCAUUCAGUCCAGCUUAUACUUUUUAUGAUUUAUCAAGUCCAUAAUUCACUGUUAAGGCUGCUACGUAGUUACCCUAGUAGUUUAUCUCAAGGUAGCUAGAUAUGUCACAUCUUUUUCUUUUUUUGAAACUAUAUGUCACAUCUUGGCCGUGCAUGCAUGGCGGCCUGCAGCCCUCUGUUUAGGACAGGCGUCGUGAAGAGGCGUGGAGGCUAUAAAAAAUGGUGGGCCCGGGUGGCCCAGUUCGUUCGUUCUUCGUUCUGUUGCCUCGCGUGGCUAUAAAAUGGCAGCUUGCUCGUUUGCAGAAGACACACACAGCAGUUCACAGUAACAGAUAGUCUUCUCAAUUCCCAUCCAUCGAUCUCUCGCCGUCGCCGAGCUCGAUAUCUCAGUCCAUCGAUCGCCAUGCGUCCACCGCGCUCCGCUGUGCCGGCCAUGGCGCUGGCGCUUGCGCUGGUCGUGGCACUACUGGCACUGGCCACCACGGCGGUGGCCCGCCACUCCUACACCACCACCAUCGUUCCGGCGCCGGCGGAGCGGGCGGACGAGGAGGUGCGGCGUAUGUACGAGGCGUGGAAGUCCAAGCACGGCCGGCCGCGCGGCAACUGCGACAUGGCCGGCGACGAGGACCGGCUGCGGCUUGAGGUGUUCCGCGACAACCUGCGGUACAUCGACGCGCACAACGCGGAGGCGGACGCCGGGCUGCACACCUUCCGCCUCGGCCUCACCCCCUUCGCCGACCUCACCCUCGAGGAGUACCGCGGCCGCGCCCUCGGCUUCCGCGCCCGCCACCGCGGCGGCCCGAGCGCGCGCGCGGCAGCCAGCAGGGUCGGGAGCGGCGGCACCCGCUCUCACCACCGUCGUCCCCGUCCCCGCCCCCGCUGCGGCGACCUCCCCGACGCCAUCGACUGGCGCCAGCUUGGCGCCGUCACCGACGUGAAGAACCAAGAACAAUGCGGUCCGUAGCCUACUCCAUCGGCACCAUGCGUGCAUAUUCUUCUCCGGCGAGAAUUCGCAUCUAUUUAUCUGAUGGUCUCUGGGCCGUGGGACGUGUGGAUGUGUUGCAGGUGGGUGCUGGGCGUUCUCGGCGGUGGCGGCCAUCGAGGGGAUCAACGCGAUCGUGACGGGCAACCUCGUGUCGCUGUCGGAGCAGGAGAUCAUCGACUGCGACACCCAGGACAGCGGCUGCAACGGCGGGCAGAUGGAGAACGCCUUCCAGUUCGUCAUCGACAACGGCGGGAUCGACAGCGAAGCCGACUACCCCUUCAUCGCAACUGACGGCACCUGUGAUGCCAACAAGGUCGGCACUGUGUACUGUGUACUGUCGCCAUCAUCAUUCAUCAAAAGUGAAGCUGCAGCUUGCUUCAUUAAUCUCAGUACUAACAAUAAUGGAGAUCGAGAGGUACGUUGUAUGAAUAUAUAAUUGUUGGAUGCAUGCAGGCGAACGAUGAAAAGGUCGCCGCCAUAGAUGGGUUCGUGGAGGUGGCGAGCAACAACGAGACGGCGCUGCAGGAGGCGGUGGCGAUCCAGCCCGUCAGCGUCGCCAUCGACGCCGGCGGACGUGCGUUCCAACACUACAGCUCGGUAAGCACGCACACUGCCCAAACCUCCUAAUUAAACCUGACGAUCGUCGAUCGAUCGUCGUCUGAUCUUGGCUCAUCUGAUGAACCCCCCUACUCCGUUCCGUUCCGUUCCGGGUGGAUAUGAUGC
RNAcentral lists this long non-coding RNA (118742 nucleotides) under Sorghum bicolor (sorghum). RNAcentral describes it as "long non-coding RNA (SBIC_LNC018367)". The record is from RNAcentral. Lineage: Eukaryota; Viridiplantae; Streptophyta; Magnoliopsida; Poales; Poaceae.